UUGGGAUAUGAGAAAUCUUGGGCCACUCAGAGCCAUUCUCCUUUCUACAAUUUUCUUUAAGAUGUGGACAUCCCCAGAUAUACAAUUCCUUUAAUUUGGAGAGGCGUUGAAUGGCUGUUGAACUUGGCAUAUACUUGAGAUUCUGGCAAUUCUCAAUCCAAAGAGAUUGAAGAGAAGAAAGGUUGGCCAUCCAUUGAAAUCCAUUAUCCCCAAUUCCUCGAGGGCAGUGAGGUGUUGAAGUUGGUGUGGUAACUUCAGUUUAUCCCAUCCAUGUAUGUAUAGGGAUUUGAGGGACCCACUCAAGUUGAGGUGUUGGAAUGAGUUUAAAACUCCUACAGGAAAAGCCUUCAUCUCCUCUGAGAAACCACCGAUUCUCAAUUCCUGCAGUUGGGUGAGGCCACCCAACCAAUCAUCCUCUGGGAUAUCACUCAAACUGGGACACGCGGUGAUUUCUAAUUCAACAAGAGAUCGCAAUUGUCGUAAACCAUGCCAAUCAAUACUGAUGAGCUUAUCACAACCUUUAAUCAAUAAUCUUCGAAGCGAAGACAAUUCUUGAAAAUCAUUGCAAUGGAUAAGCUCACUCCAAUUAAUUAUCUCUAAUACCUCUAGAGAUGCGCAACAUUGUAGUCCGCUUGGAAGAGCUCCCAAUUUACACCUAUUAACAAUCAAUUUCUUCAAAGAAUUCAAAUCUCGGAAAUCACCAGGAAUUGAGAUCAACUCACCGCACAAAUAUAUAAUCAAUUCCACCAGAGCUGUGCAGUGUUGUACGCUUGGAAUGGAUGCCAGCUUUGGACACCUCCAUAUACUUAAAACUCGAAGAGACGUGAAGCCAUGAAAUUCACCAGACAAAUAUCUCAGUUCAUCACAUUGCUCAAUUUUAAAUACUACAAGAGAUGAAAGACGACAUAUCGGAAUGCUUUCCAACUUUCCACAACACUCAAUGCUCAACUUUUCAAGACUAGGAAAUACUGCAACAACUUCUCCACCUGGUACCAUCCAUUCUUCAAGACCAUCCAUCCUGGAUAGAGUGAGUAUUUGUAGUGCUGGAAACAGUACACCUGCGCUGUCUCUGCUACUAGAGAACUCAUUGCCUAUACAUUUCACAUUAGGCAUUCCACUCAUCUCUAGAAUCCUAAGGCGUGGAAGACAUCCAAGUGUUGGGAGUUGCCUCAACUUGCUGCAGCCUUUCAAUCUCAGCACCGUCAGAUUAUUGAGUUGCAAUAUCCAUGAUGAGAAAUUUUCACCUCCAUAACCCUCAAUUGUCAAGCUUCUUAUGUCUGGGUGAGGCUGCAGGCCUUCCAGCACAUCCUCGCUAUUGACACUGCUGUUACCUUCAUCAUCACUCCAUUCAAACACCAAUUUGUUCAUUCUUUUUCCACUCAGUUCUGCCUUCUCAGCUUCUUCUCUGUCUCUCACUUGCUCAAGCUUGCAUAUCUUCAAUGCUCCUCUUAGUUCUUUCAAACAUCCCAGCUCUUCAACCAUAUGAUCUGGACCCACAGCAAAUAUCGGCAGAGUUUGAAGGCGUGUUAAGAGUCUCACCUCAGCUGGCACUAGCUUUGGAUCAUCAAAAUGAAGAUGUCUCAAGCUCACUAAAUUCCUCACUUUCUGGGGAAGCUUUUCUAGACUCGCAAUCAGUGAAUCUUAAUGUUUCCAAAUGGUAGAGCUUGGUGAUGGAUUCCGGCAAUGCUCUGAUAGCAGUAUCCGAGACAUCAAGAUAUCUCAAAUGUCUCAGCUUGCAAAUUGAAUCUGGUAACUCUGUGAUAUCAGACCUGCAAUUUGAGAGUUCUCAAGCUUUUGAAUUUCCAAGCCCGUUGAAUACAUCAACCAUUGAGAAAACAGUUCGCAAUUUUCUAGCAUCAACCGCUGUUAAUGCUGCCUCGUCAUCCCCACGAGAUACGAGAUUUAGAUGACGAAUAUGAGAUGCACCAUCAACAGCCGAACCCUCUUCCAGAUUUAACGCUUCUGAUUUUGAGACCUGUAAUGCAAGAUCAUGCACUAGAUCAUGCAUCUUGCAACUUGUUACGAUCUCACACUCGUUCCUUUUAACAUCUUGGAAAAAGGAAUUUGCAAGCAAGUCAUUGAAACACUUGCUGCCUUCGUCUUCCAUCCUCCCAUUUGAUGGCCUGAGAAAACCUUCAGCCAUCCAAAGUUGAACCAGCUUUUCCCUUUCAAUUUCAAAAUCUUUAGGGAAAAUGGAACAGUAUGCAAAACAUUUUUUCAGUGUUGGCGAUGACAGGUAAUCAAAACUUAAUGUCAAUACGCGCAAAGCAUUAUCUCCAUCCGGAGAAUCCCAAAUUCUACUGUUUAGAAUCCCAAAGCAUUUUUUCCAAGGCCAGCCAUCCCCACUAUAGGGACAACCGGAAGGACAUGUCGGUGUUUGGUCAAGCUAGUCAGCAAUUCCAUAACUUUAGAGACAUCAUCCUCCCUUCCUACAACCUCUGAGCUGUCAAGGAUCGAAUGUGUCACUCGAUCUGGGUCCCAGCUAACUUCUUGAGCUCUAUGUACAGGUAGAGAUGUCAAUCCAAGCCCAAAUCCGGCUGCAUCUUUCCGGAUUUCAUCCAGGGCUUCAUUGAUCUUCUUAACUUUUUGACCCAUAAUCAAACGGAAUGCAACAGGAUUGUGGAGUGAAAACCAAUCACGUACCUUUCCCUUCUUUUGGUCUUUUCGGAGAAUCUCAUAAGCAAACUCGUCCAGAACAUCUUCAGCAUCGUAAGCUACAUCCUGUAGGUUCUGCAGCCAACGCUUCCAGACUCGUCUGUUACUGCCCUUCUGGCUGCGUCUUGGAGCACACCUUUGAUCUUGGUCAAGGACUGGUUGAGCUUUCGCAGCUGGCCCUCCAAUCCCAAGCAAGUCCGAUCCCUUCAGCAGCAAUGGAACUCACCCUUUUCAAAGUCUCCUCCAAGGCAAACGUAAGAGAAGCUCUGCUGCCAUUAUUCUCCGUCUCUGUGUUUUUUUUUUUUUUUUUUUUUUGGGGGGGGAAUCAAAGAAGAAAUUUUGAGCACAAGAGAGAGAGAAGCAUGGUGUGAAAUAUUAAAAGAUGAAACGGAGCAUAGUUGCAUGAGGGUCCCUUCCUCCCUAAUUGAUUGAUGGCUGUUGGCAGCAUCUUCCACGAACCACUACUGUCAUGUUGUUAUGGCAUGGCUAAGAAAAUUCCACGUACGCCUUUGUCGGCAUGGUGUUUGGUAUCACUUUUAAACGAUACCAAAUACCAUGCCGACAGGAGGAAACGAUUCCAAUCUAUUGAUCAUGAACAUGAGAAACUGAUGAUGUAUUUAUUUUUGAGAUAAUUUUUGUGUUUAUAAUUUCUAAAAAUUAAGUUUUAAAAAAGUAUAGUUGGAUGAGGUUAUUUGGAAUUAAAUAUAUAUUUGGUAAAAAUUAUGGUUGAGGUUUAUAUACAGUAAAAAAACAUGUAUAAAAUGUUUGGUUGUUAUUACUUUUCAAAAGUAUUUUUUACUUUGAAAUGUAUUAAAAUAUAUAUUUUUUAUUUUUAAAAAAUUAUGAUUGAGGUUUAUACGCAGUAAAAAAACAUGUAUAAAAUGUUUGGUUCUUAUUACUUUUUAAAAAUGUUUUUUACUUUGAAAUGUAUUAAAAUAUAUAUUUUUUAUUUUUUAAAAAUUAUUUUUGAUAUCAGCAUAUUAAAAUGAUCUGAAAUAUAUAUAUAAAAAUUUGAAGUAAGGAAAAAAUAAUUUUUUUUCAAUUUUGAAAAAAAAUGCUUUUGAAAUGCAAAAAUAAAAAGAAUUUUAUGAAACUCAGUUUAAAAAACAAGUAUAAACUGCUUUACAAAAAUCACGUUUUAAAUUCAAUUUUUUAGUAGGUCUUACAGAAUAAAACACAAUUUAAUAUAUUAUCAACUAUCUAACUUUAAUUUUUACACCGUAAACACAUAAACUAAGAAUAAACAAACACAUCCUGAGCUGAAUACUUCCGUUAUCAACAAGAGAAUAUGACUUCUUGUAGUGGUAGAACACCUCCUUCGUAGGAAGUCCCCAUUCCUACAUUAAACAAAAAGUGAUAUUUGAUUAGAAUUAACCUAAAACAAACUAACCUAUUUUUUUAGCGACUAGAGGUCACCAAAAUCUGGGCAGUUAAGGCGAUGUGUCGUUUGCUUGAGUAAGACAGGUGAUGUGUCGCCUCUAUUUUUUUUCAAAUCAUUAAGAGGGAGACGGGUAGUCAUUCUUCUCUUUUAUAUAUAUAUAUAUAUAUAUAUAUAUAUAUAUAUAUAUAAGGCUUAAUUAGGUGCAUGGGCUGCUCCAGGCUCGCGCACCUAUACCUUUUUGUAGAGGUUUAAAAGCUCUAGGCUUUCUUAGCAUGAGAGAAUGAGCUUCUUUUUUCAAUUUCAUCACCUAAAUAUUUGGUUGAUUAUUAAUUGGGUAACAUAAUUUACUUCAGUUUGAUUUUUUUUCCAAUCGCUUUGGUAUUUUGCAGGUUCUUAAUUUUAUAAAUGUAUAUUUUAGAUCAAAUAUUAUAAAAAGAUUGUUGAACCCUGUUAAGUUUGUGAUCUAGGUCAUGAGUUUGGUUGGUUUACUUUGACUGGGUAGGAAUUGAACUAGAUAAAACUUUUUUUUCCGCAUAAAUAGUUCUCAAUUUUUUUUUAAUUAUAUACAUGCAUGAACUUUUUAAAUUUUGCUUGACAUUUCUUUAUGUACAAAAACAUGUUGUAAAAAGUUUGCGCAUAUAUAUAUAUAUAUAUAUAUAUAUAUAUAUAUAUAUAUAUAUAUAUUUGAUCAUUGGUGAAACGCGGGUAAAAUAGCUAAUACUACUAUUACUAAUUCCAGCCUGACCUAGGAGUGAGACAACUAGCCCCCCAACAUCUACAUGCAGAGUGUGUUUAUUUAUGCGGUUAGACCGUGAUUUUGAAGGCUUUUUUAGUUUUAAAUUAAUAAUUUUUAGUAUUUUUUAUUGUUUUGAUGUGUUUAUAUAAAAAAAAUUUAAAAAUAUUUUAAUACAUUUCAAAAUAAGUUUUUUAAAAUAAUCUAAUAAUAUUUUACAAACAAGACUCGUAAUAGGUUAUGCCACUACAUGUGCACCAUUAUUUCCAUUUCUUGUGUGUCACAAUAUAUUUAUAUUUAUAUUUACAGUACAACUAUGAAUGAGAUGGUCAAAGGUUGAAGGGAAAAUAUUAAAUCAAUUGAUCUUAUUAUAAAACUAUAACAUAGGAUCAGGACACCGAAGAAGAAAGGAAGAAAAGUUGUCUCUGUGAGUGACAAUGAUACGAUGCUUCUUUUCAUGUGGAAUUUUUGGUCUAAGACUUUUUGUGCAUGUAAAAUUGUGAGGGGAUGCACCUUAAAAAGGUAGGGUGUCAUUAGCCCAUGAUUCUAUUCAUUGGGAUUUAUUACAUUGAUGCCAAUUCUUUUAAUAUCAAUUAACAAAAGCUCGAGCUUGAGUAAAAUUAAAAAAAAAUAAGUUUUUAUUUUAUAUAUAUAUAUAUAUAUAUUGAUUGUUUUAAUAUAUUAAUAUCAAAAAUAAUUUUUAAAAAAUAAAAAAAAUAUUAUUUUAAUGCAUUUCCGAGUAAAAAUCAUUUUAAAAAAGCAACCGUUACAAUAUUUUUAAACACCCUUUAUAGGGAAAGAGAAUGGAUGUUGUAUUUAAAUAUAAUAAAAUAAAUUUUAUAUUUAUAUCUCUAUUUUUUCAACCAAAUACGUUUCUAUCCCUUCUUGUUGCAUUUUUAAGAUUAGUAUAUAUCUAUGAGUCUUCCUAUCAUGAGCUAAAUGCAAUAUUCCUAUAUUGCUUUAAAGCUAAUAUUGGACCAACAUUAUUGUGUUAUAAUUUUGAGUUUGAAUCUUUCCUUUAUGAAUCCAAUGCCAAAAAAGAAAAAGAAGAAGAAAAGUAAAGCACACGAGAAUGAGGAAGUUGGCAAAGUAAUUGGAGUUUAAUAGUGUGAAUGCGAUUGUUUUUCAAAUAAUAUUUUUGUAUUAAAAUAUAUGUCAAUGAUAUUUUUUUAUUUUUAAAAAUUAUUUUUGAUAUCAGUCCAUCAAAAUGAUUUGAAAACACUAAAAAAAUAUUAAUUUAAAAUAAAUAAAAAAAAUUAUUUUUUUUCUAAAACAUUUUUAAAAUGUAAAAACAAAUACUAAAACAUUCAUCGAGGCUUUAGCUUUCUGGAUGCUAUGUGUCAAUGUGACACUCUUUCAAGCUCCAAGCUGACAAUUUCCCACAUAAAAAUAAGUUCAAAAUUGUAAUGCCAAAUAAUGUUCGUUCAUGGGCAAUUAGGCCUUUCGUUUUCCUCUAUGAAUCAAGCCCCAGGUGACAAUUGCAUAUCUCUUUUUCAUCCAUGACAAAAAUGAAUUGAAGUAAUGUUUUAUUUAUAUAGAGCAGGCGGACUUAUUAUUGUUAAUUAUUUGUUGUUCUUAUUGUAUAUGAGAUAAAUGGGGGUGUUUGAAAGUGUGAUUCUAAUUGUUUUUUAAAGUGUUUUUUGCUUGAGUGAGAUAGGUGAUGUGUCGCCUUUAUAUUUUUUUUCAAAUCAUUAAAACGCAGACGGCUAGUCAUCAUCCUUUUAAGAAAACUUGAAAAAAAAAAAAAAAAGUUUAGGUGCGGGAGCUGCUCCAGGCUCACGCGCAUAUGCCUUUUUAUAGAGGUUUAGGAGCUCUAGGCUUUCUUAGCAUGAGAGAUUGAACCUUUUUUUAAAAAAAAAAUCCAUUACAACUGGAUUUGUCUUUUUUUUUUUCUUGCUUAUAUUUUGUUCAAUUUCAUCACCUAAUAUUUGGUUGGUUAUUAAUUGGGUAAUAUAAUUUAUUUCAGUUUGAUUUUUUUUCCAAUCGCAGAUCAAAUAUUAUAAAAAGAUUGUUGAACCCUGAUAAGUUUGUGACCUAGGUCAUGAGUUUGGUUGGUUUACUUUGACUGGAUAGGAAUUGAACUUGAUAAUUUAUUUUUUUUGCAUAAAUAGUUCUCAAUUUUUUUAAUUAUAUGCAUGCAUGAAUUUUUUAAAUUUCUCUUGAGAUUUCUUUAUGUACAAAAACAUGCCGUAAAAAGUUUGCAUAUAUAUUUAAAAAAAAUAAAAAACAAUUGACCAGUGAUGAAGCACGGAUCAAAUAACUAGUACUACUACUACUAAUUCCAGCCUCACCUAGGAGUGAGACAACCAACUCUCUGACAUCUACAUGCAGAGUGUAUUUGUUUAUACGGUUAGAUCGUGGUUUUGAAAGUUUUUUUUAGUUUUUUAAGUUUUAAAUUAAUAUUUUUUAGUAUUUUUUUUAUUGUUUUGAUGUGCUUAUAUUAAAAAUCUUAAAAAAUAUUAUUUUAAUACAUUUCAAAACAAUUUUUUUUUAAAAAAAUAAUCUAAUAAUAUUUUACAAACAAGACUCGUAGUAGGUUAUACCAUGUUGCAACUAUGCCACUACAUGUGCAACAUUAUUUCCAUUUCUUCUGUGUCACAAUAUAUUUAUAUUUCCAGUGCAACUAUGAAUGAGAUGGUCCAAGGUGGAAGGGAAAAUAUUAAAUCAAUUGAUCAUAUUAUAAAACUAUAACAUAGGAUCAGGACAACGAAGAAGAAAGAAAGAAAAGUUGUCUAUGUGAGUGACAAUGUUACGAUGCUUCUUUUCGUGUGGAAUUUUUGGUCCAAGACUUUUUGCGCAUGCAAAAUUGUGAGGGGAUGCACCUUAAAAAGGGUGUCAUUUGCGCAUGAUUCUAUUCAUUGGGAUUUAUUACAUUGAUGCCCAUUCUUUUAAUAUCAAUUAACAAAAGCUGCUUGAGUAAAAUUAUUAAAAAUUAUUUUUUAUAAUUUUUUGAUUGUUUUAAUGUAUUAAUAUCAAAAAUAAUUUUUUAAAAAUUAAAAAAAUAUUAUUUUAAUACAUUUCCGAAUAAAAAUCAUUUUAAAAAAUAACCACUAUAAUAUUUUUAAACACGAUUUAGAGUGAAAGAGAACAAAUAUCAAAUUUAAAUGUAAUAUAAAGAAAUUUUAUAUUUUUGUCUCUGUUUUUUCAACCAAAUACGUUUCUAUCCCUUUGUGUUGCACUUGUAAGAGUAGUACCUAUGAGUCUUCCUAUUAUGAGCUAAAUGCAAUAUUUGUUUCUAUAUUUUAAAAUUAUUUUUGAAAAAAUUUAAAUUUUUUCAUUAAUUUUAAAUUAAUAUACUUUUAGUAUUUUCAAACCAUUUUGAUGUGUUGAUAUCAAAAAUAAUUUAAAAAAAAAUAAAAAAAAUCAUUGACAUGUAUUUUGACAUGAAAAAUUAUUUAAAAAAUAAUCAUAAUCACACUGCCAAACAAGCUCGUAAAGCUAAUCUUGGGCCAAGAUUAUUGUGCUAUAAUUUCGAGUUUGAAUCUUUCCUUUAUGAAUCCAAUGCCAAAAAAGAAAAUGAAGAAGAAAAGUUUAACACACGAGAACGAGGAAGGUGGCAAAGUAAUUGGAGCUUUGUCCCUUUACAUGGUGACCUUACCUUUCUGGAUGCUGUGUCAAUGUGACACUCUUUCAAGAACAACAUUAUUAAAUUCACAUCCUACCGACUAUUAUGGCUGUCAUAGAAUCAAGGUUGUUAAUUUCAUUUCGUUUCAUCUGGAAUGGCUAAAACAUUUUAUAUUAAUUCAAAAAAUAAAACAAAACAGAAUAAUUUUCAUCUCAUUUUAAAUCUUAGUCCAUUUUGAAUUUUUCGGCUAAAUUUCGUUUGUAAUGUUCCGGUUUCAUUCCAUAUGUUCCAUUUCGGUCUUAAAAAGCCAUUAAAUCAAAUUGAACCUGAUUCAAUUUAAUUAAUUAAAUCACUUAAUUAUAAAAAGCUUAUUUUCAUUACUAUUUUCAAUAAUAAUGAUAUUAAAAAUUAUUAUUACUAUUUUAAUUAACAAUGAUAUUAAUUUUUUAAAUUAGAUUUAUCACUAAUAUAUAUUGUUUAUAUUCAUGUUAUUUUUUUCAAGAUUAUACUUUGAGAAUUUGAGCAAAAUAAUAAAUGCUUUAGAUAUCAUUAGCCUUAAUAAUAUUAACCUGACUUUAUAUUUAAAAUGUUUGUGUUAAAACAUUUUAAUUUUAUAAUAUUUUGAUAUUUUGUUUAAGUUGAAUUAUUUUAAGUUAAAAAUCUAUUUAAUCUUAACUAUUUAGAAAUAUUUUAAAUUAUAUUUGUUUGAUAUUAUUUUUGUAUUGCAUAAUUUAUAAUUAAUUUAUCUUGAAUUUGAAUUAUGUUUGUUAUAUAUAUAUAUAUAUAUAUAUAUAUAUAUAUAUGAACAGUACAAUCUCGAAAUGGCACACCAAAAUACUUCAAAAUUAAAAUAUUCAAUUCUAAUUAAAAUAACAAAACACCUACUAAUACAGAAUUUACAACCUUGUAUAGAAUAGCAAUGGCCAUCAUGCCAUAAAAGCCUGAUUUGGAGCCAAUUCCUCUCUCUUGCCACUACUUUAAAAACCUUAAAACCACGGCAUGAUAAAAGGAGAAAGAAAGGAAUAGGACAACGGAAGAAAGUGAAUUUGACAAAGGAAGAAAGUAAGGUCACGUACUGUAGAAAAUAGGAGAUGAAAAUUAGUAUGAAAAAGAGGAUGAUAGAGUGGUUGUCCAAAUCAUAGUGGUUUUUAUAAUUAUAUUUAAUUUAUACAAAUAUUAAAUUAAUAUAUUUUUAGUAUUUUAUACGAUUUAAAAAAGUUUUUUUGUUGAUUUAAAAAAUCUAUGAGUAUAAAAAAUUAUUUUAAUAUAUUUUUAAAUAGAAAAUAUUUUUAAAAGUAUGCAUCACAGUACCAAAUUAUAGUAUAAAUUAAAAGAAAAUAGGGUUUUAUGUUCAUUACCACUCACUUAGACUCAUUUAAUUGUGGACAAUAAUAGUGUCUCAUUUGAAAACUUUCAAUUUUAUACUUGAAAUUUUUUUCAUAAUUAAUCAUUUUUAAUUAAAAUUAGAGUCCAAUUGCAUAUUAUUUUUAUGGAGGAGAGUUGAAUUAAAAGACAAGGAAUUGAAGUAAAAAACUCAGCUAAAAUAGAUGGCAGCUAUACCAUUUAUUUACAAAAUUUAUUUUAGUUUAUCAUCCUUUUUAAGUUAUUAAAUAAUAAGUCCUAAUAAUUUUUAUAUAUUUUUUUGAAAAUAAUUUUAAAAAUAAUGUUAUCAUUAAUACCCCUUUUCUAUGAUUUGUUUUUUGGUCUUAUGUAGUCUUUCUUCAAUUAUUUUUAAUUUUGUUGCUUUUGUUUAAUUUCUUAAGAGGUUAGUAAUAUUUAUCUAUAAAUAUUUUUUAUAUAUUUCAGAUAGAUUAAGUAUUUAAUUUUUAUAAUAAUUUGAAUAUGUGUAGCCUUGCAUAGUUAUUUUUUUUCCUUUUAUGAUAUUAAAAAAAAAAUUAUGUGUGUUGAUUUCUAUUAUAGAUUGAUUUUAGUAAAUAAAUUCAUUAAAUAUAACCAGAUAAAUGAUCCAUGUUGCAAUAUUAAAUACUUUAUUUAUAUUUGUUUCUUAAUUUUUCCACUUGCAUUUUUAAUUAUUGGUAAUGACUUUAUUUUUUUCAUUUAAUUUACACAAUUGUUUGUGAUUUAUUUAAUUUGAUGCAUGUAUAAGUUUUUUAAUUUAUAUUUAGAAUUUUUUUAAUGUAAAAAAACACAUUGAGAAAUUCUUAUUCUUAUGAUUUUAGUUUGAUCCUUAUUCUUAUGAUUUUUUAUUUUCUUUCUAACCCUUUUAUAAAACAAAAAAUUGUUUAUAAUUUCAUCCUUCAUUUCAACAUAAUGAUAUAUUUUUUUCAUUAUAUAUAUUCUUGUUUGUUAUCAUUGCUUGUUUUCCUUAUAUAAUUCAUAUAAAACCAGCUUAUUUAAUCGGUCAAGACUAAAUAAUAAUAAUAAAAAAGAUAUACUCUGUCUUCCCAUUUCCUCUCCCUGGUGAAUUUUGGCGACCACCCACACAAUGAUAGCCUAAACAACCACCAGCCAUGCCACGUUUCAAGAUCCCAUCUCUCAAUCUCAAAACCAGAAACAACCCUUUCUCAUAACUCCAGGAAAGUGAAGAACUAAACCAUAGUGGCAAAAAUCUAAAAGGGUCUAAAUUAUCUCUGUUACUUUCCCUCAAUUUUCUAGACAAGCAAAAGGAGCUAAAUUUAUUCCCGACCAAAACGCCAAGAAUUUCAGUAGAGCAAAAGAAGAGAUUGUUACUUGACCAUAGACAAUUAGUCCGCACCCAAAGAAACUGAGUGAAUGAGAGAAAAAGACUAUUAGCUAGAAAACAAUCAACACAUCCAAGAAUUUUCUGUAUGGUUUCCAAGAAAAUGAAACGAAACAAGAAAAGCUAGAUCGUUCAUUCCUAUCAGAAAUUAAGGAUUAAUUGUAGCAGAUCUUAUAAAAGUAGAUUCCAUUGUCAAUUCCUCAGCAUUUUCCAAACAAAUCCAUGCUCCUCAUUUUUUACUGUCUUGAGGGUUUCUAUUCUCUUAUUACCAAUUUCAGUGAGUUUCAUAAUAAGCUGCUUAGAAAGAAGCAAUCUAACAGGAGGGUGGGGCUACUCUUGGCCAAUGAAAACAGCUUCACAUGCUAUACAGCAACGUGAAAAAAAGAUUCUCAGCCUGUUCUCUCUUUAAUGAACACCCUCUUGGAUUCUCUAGCACUAGCCAACAAGGUAUCUACUUGGAAUUACUUCCACCAAUCUCUGAAAAGAAUAUACAACCUAUUUAUUAUACUUAACUAAGAGUCUAUUUCAUAACCCUAUAUAUUUUUUAACUGAACUAGUUAUUUUUCUCAAAAACCCACCAAGUUAAUGGUUUUUCAUAAAUCUAAUUCAUAAUAAAACAAAUAAUGAGACUUGAUAAUAAUUCACUAAAUAAACAUCAAUUAUUCAUCAAAAUAAUCUGAGAAAUCUAAUAUUAAAGUUAGGGACCAAUAUGGAAUUUUAUCAUAUUUUUAGGGGUCAAAUUAUAAUUUUAUCAAAUUGGAGGACCAAACUAAAAAUAUCAUAAAUUCAUGACUAUACUGGAAUUCUGCCCAUAAUUCAUCCUAAAUUCUGCCCAGAAUCUCAAAUUAUGCUCCAAGGACCACUAUAGAAUUUUAUCAAAAUUCUAGGGUCAAAUUGUAAUUUCAUCAAAUUGGAGGACCAAAGUGAAAAUAUCAUAAAUUCAUAACUAUACUGGAAUUCCUCCCAUAAUUUAACUUUAAUUUUGUCCAGAAUCUCGGAUUAUGCUCCAGGGACCAAACUCUAAUUUUUCUAAAGUUCAGGGACUAAACUGUAGUUUUCACAAAUUGAGGGACCAAGCUGAAAUUUCAUAAUCUUUAACCUCAAACCCAGAAUUUACACAGAUAACCUACUGAUAUAUCAAGAUUUCUAACUUAAAUUCACCAUUUGAAUAAAUCAUAACUCAAAAUCAUCAUUUUUACCUAAAAUCUUUUAAAAUCAACUAAAUAACUCAUUACCCGUUACAAUCGACUUUCUGUAAUGUAAUUGUAAUUCCUAGCAUAAUGCAUAUUCGAGGGCAAGCACAACAACUCAAGAGCAAAGAAACUCGAUGAAAUAGGAAAAGAAAAAGAAUUGAAGGACUGAAAUAAAAUAAAACCAAAAAGAGGGAUGAAAAAAGAUUUUUGAUAAAUUUUCAGAAAAAAUCAAAAAUAGCAAAAAAACAAUGAAAAACCCAAAAAAUAUAUUUUUGAUGUAUUCGCAUCGUUUUUAGCAUUUUCAACGUCAUCUCAAAAGAAUUUAAAUUUUCAAAAGUAUUUUGAACGCGUUCAACUCUUAACGCGUAAAUUUUAUGAUCAUUGACUUUCCUUGUUGAGCCGACGUUGAUAUUGCCCAUUUUCAAAAAUACAAAAAAAAAAGAGAAAAUCAAAAUUACAAAAAAAAAGAGGAAAAGAAAGGGAAAGGAAAGUUGAGGGACUGGUUUGGAAACCCCAGAAUAUUUCUUCUAUAAAUACUAAGCUACAGUAAAAUUUGGAGGGGGGCGGAGAAAAUGAACUGAGGGGUGAAAAUUGAUUCACGAGGGAGAAAUUUACACAGAAAGAAAAUUGAUUCACGGGGGUGAUGAAAAAAUUGUGGAGAGAAAAAAAGAGUAACCCUACAAACCAUCUUCCCUGCGCAGCCGCCCCGGAGGAUAAAAAAAACUAAAGCUUCCACCUUUUCUUCUUGGCAAGCCGCCGGCCUGGCCUUUGAAAGAAAAACCUAAGCCAUCAUCCACCCUUCUCCUCCAAAAAGAAACAAAGAGACCCCCUCUGUUGCGAUGUCGCGGUCGCACAAAUUAAUUACCCUAGCUUAAACACAUAAAAUAAGAUAGUAUAGAGAAAGCAAGGGGUCGAUCCCACGAGGAAGUUUGAAGUCAGAUUUUUAUGUUAUACGUUAUGUAAUUGGGGGGGAUUGAUUUGCAAUGAUUUAAACUAUGGCAGAAAUUAAACUAGCAAACAAAAUCAAUUGAAAUUGAAAUAUAUCAAGAAAACAAACCUUGGUUGCAAGUACACAUCCACCAACGGAAAUUAGAACCGAUCCUUGAAACGAAACUCCAGUUUAUAUUAUGAAUUCUAUCUUUUCUUAAUAUUGGUUAAUUAACGGAUCCGCCGUAUAACUAGCCCUAACCAACAAACAAUCACAGUGUUCGCACUAAUGAUUUAAUCCAAUGGCAACCUUAAGAUCCAGAUAAAUUCAUUAAUCUUAACAACCAAGUUGUCAAUUUGUGUUGCUAUGAUCGAAUGUUCUCCCUAAGUUUAAUAACGUAGUUCCGCUACAAUUAUCAAGCUUAGUUGCUUCGCAAGUUUAUAUACCACAACUCCGGUUUUGAUAUCAAACUUAGCAAUAGAUUGUUCACAAUAAUAACUUAGAGUCCGCUCUAGCAAUUAAGAUAAACAAUCAUAGGAAAUAUGCAUAGGAAAACAAACAUACUCAUUCAUAACAUAAACUGAAAAUAAAAGGAAGAAUAAAUCUCACGGUUCUUGAAAUCCGAAGGUUUGUUGUGUCCUUGCAACCAAGAAAACGAGCUUAGCCUUGCAUAUCUAAUGAACAACUACUCCUAAAGAUGAAAGAAUACAUAAUUUCUGAUUUGUAGAGAGGAGAGUUUGUGUUUCCUCCCUCUUCUUGCUUCUUUCCUCUCUUUUUUUUACCUCCUUCUACUCACCCUCUAUUUAUACACAAAUUGUAAGUAAGAAAAUCAAAGUUCAAGUGUGAACAUCAAUAGAUGGUGGUAGUGUGAAGGCGGCUGGUGGCUGUGGCUGGUGGCUGCUGGCUGCUGAGGUUGGUGGCUGCCAUGAGGUUGGUGGCUGCCAUGAGGUUGGUGGCUGCCUUCCUUGACCUUCUAGAAUAUUUACUAGAGGAGCUAAAUUGCUGGUCGGUUUGGAUGCUUCUAGAUGAAAUUUGAUUCGUUUCUUCACGCAACCUGCUUGCUGGCAGAAUUCAGCUGUCAUCUUUGAAAAAUCAUAUAUCCCUCAUAUGACAUCGUUUUUGGCUGAAAUUUGGAGCGUUUAUAGAUCUUUGAGUAAGGAAUCCAACAAAAUUGAGUUUGCAUCAAUUGGACUUCUGAAGCUCCAGAUAUUGAAUUUUGAAUGGGCAAAGGUCAACAUUGGCAGACUGCGAGAUUUGACUUUGAAGGAUGUGAUUUCCAUGAUCUUUCUCUUUUUAUUUUUCUUGCAUUACAUUUCCAAAAAGGUAUGGAUGUUAGCUUUUUAAUGCCACUGGAAUCACUUCAUUUCGAUCUCUGGAACUCACGCUCUGCACAAAAUACCGACUGAACGUCAAAUCUGCCAAUUACCUCCAAUUUACUCCUUUUUGCAUCUUUCAUCCAAAAAUGCCUUCAAAACAUAAAACAAAGAAUAUCAAGGCAUUUUAUAUAAAUAACAUAUGCAAAACACUAGUUAAAUGCGGGUGAAACUAUCGAAUAAUAUGGUUACAUCAAAUACCCCCACACUUAGCUCUUGCUCGUCCUCGAGAAAGGAUAAAUAAAAUUAAAUUGAAAAUAACUAUGAUCAAUUUCUUAAUCUCCCAUCAAUGUCUAAGAGUACAAGCAUUAUAAACAAGAAUACAAUCAUGAAGGAUAAAUAAUAUAAUUCUCAUGAAUUUAUUUACAUGCAAACUUCAAAACUCAAUCAAUCGUCUGGAUUUAAAUGAAAUCUAUGCCAUGCCAAAGUGAUAGGUCCUCUCAUUGAUAUACACUCCAACACUCAUGUGUUUAGGGUUUAUGUGUUUAAAUCUCUCAAAUUCAAUCAAAGAGUAUGUUCUACCAUAAGCUUGCUUUUCAAUCUCAUCUCCAUUAGCAACUUAUUACAAGUAUUACAUGAAUCAAAAGGUCUUAUUUUCCGGUUGUAAUGGGGCUGAGGUUAAGGUGAGGUAAAAGAAAGUAAAAGGAAAGGUUCAAACCAAUGAAAGUAGAGCAUUUUGAAAAAUGAUACUUCAAACAAGAUAUUCCAUCAAAGCUCAUAAAUUUUUCAUCUUUAAUCACAAAUGCUUAACUCCUUUUGAUUUCAAGCUCUUUCAACAUAAAACCUUAAGAACAUAAAGGAAUACUUUUUUUUUUUUUCUUUUUUUCUUUUUUUUUUGGCAACUUUGCCCAUUUUUUCAUCAAGCAUCACUUCUUUCUUUUCAUAUAAUUUCCAACCAUAAUUCCAUUAAAUAUUACAAGUAUAUGCUCUACUAAUCCUUGGCCAGGGGAAAAGAAAAACAUAUAUAAAGUUAAGGCUUAUACAUGGAUAAAGCAAAGAAAAGAUAAACAAGCUCAAAACGGGCUCACUAAGGAUAAUAUGCUUUAGGUUGGCUUUUUGGCUUGAGGGGUUAAAAUUCCUAAUCCCUUUAUCAUCUUCAUGUAUAUUUGUAAUGGGAUAUAAUCUCAAUAAGAUAUGAAGCAAGUUCUAGAGAUACUUAUCAUUGAAAGAAUGCACACUCAAAGAAUAUAAUGUUGAAGGCUCAAAAGCUUGCAUUGGUAUAACACUAUAAAGUCAACAUGGCAUAUUCUCAAAGUCAAUCCCUAAACCAAUUAAACCUUAAAAUUUGCAUGCAUACUCCUUCAUUUGAUUUAUAUCUUCAUCUAUCUCAAUUAAUUCUCAUAUAUAAUACUGAUAUUCUCAAAAACCAAUAGGAGUUAAAAAGAUCAAACAUAAUGUUUUUUUUUUUUUUUAAAGAACAACAAAGAAAAUGAAAAUAAGAAAACCAAAAUUCUCCCAAUACCCCCACACUUAAAACACAACAUUGUCCUCAAUGUUGAAAUAAAAGCAAAGGAACAUAAGAGAAUGACAAAGAUAAAGUAAAAUACGAAAAAUAAAAGAUAAGGAAAAAGAAAGCAAAUCUGAUUUUUUUUUCUUUUUGUGCUGGGUUGCCUCCCAGUAAGCGCUUUUGUUUUAUGUCAUUGGCUCGACAUAUUGCAUGCUCAUUCUUCAUAGAUUGGUUCAGCUAACUCUGCAGAAGCGGUGAGUUCUGCCGUCCAACCUUCAUAGAAAGGUUUCAAACGAUGCCCAUUGACUUUGAGUAUGUUGUUAGUUUCUAAACUUGUAAUUUCAACUGCACCAUAAGGAAAAACAUUAGAAACAACAAAUGGUCCAAUCCAAUGAGAGCAUAACUUUCCAGGAAAAAGUUUCAAACGCGAAUGAUAAAGAAGGACUUUGUCUCCAACAUGAAACUCCUUUCUUGUAAGCAUUCGGUCAUGAAGAUUCUUAGUCUUUUCUUUGUAAAUCCUUGCAUUCUCGUAAGCAUCAUUUUGAAUCUCUUCCACCGUAAUUCCAAUCUUUUUGGGCACCAAAAGGAUAGGCGCCACCCAUUCACUGUUCGUGAUGGGGUAAAUGACACCUGCAUCAUGAAGGAUAAUUUGCAAAGCUUGCAAAUCCAAUGCUGAUUCAUGCAUGUUUUGGGGAACACAUAUAUGCCUUUCCAUCUCUUCUAUCUUGGUAAAAGCAUAGUCAUUGCUCAAAGCUAUGCUUAAUCCAUCUUCGCAAUCAAAAUUAAAAACUUGCUGCACACACUUAUCAACUUGGUCAUAACAUGUGAUAGAAUAAACAUUGCUAUAAGGAUAUGUCAUUGCAUCAUGAAAAUUAAAUUCAAUUUUUUCAUCUCGUACCUCCAUAGACAAGGUAUCCUUACCACAAUCAAUCUUUGUGUUGGCAGUUUUCAAGAAUGGUCUCCCAAACAAUAUAGGAGUGCUGGUUGAUGAAUCACAAGAAUCAUGUUCCAUAUCAAGAAUAUAAAAGUCACAUGGAAUAACCAAACUAUCAAUCUUGACUAGGACAUCUUCUAUCACACCAAUUGGGUAAACAAAACUACGAUCCGCAAGUUGUAUUACAAUACUAGUUUUAUUCAAAGGCUCUAGACUAAGAGAAUCAUAAACAUGUUUAGGCAUAACACUAAUGGAUGCACCUAAAUCGCAUAAAGCACUUUUAAAACUAGAAUUACCAAUAACACAUGGGAUAGUAAACGCACCUGGGUCUUUUUGUUUCAAAGGCAGAUUCUUGACCUUUCAGUUUGAAAGCUCUCUUGGUAGUACACAACUCCUUCAACAAUUUUGCAUACUUGGGAAUUUGCUUGAUAGCAUCAAGCAAAUGAAUGUUCAGUUCCACUUUGUUGAAAACUUCUAAAAUCUCUUUUUCUUUGUCUUCUUUCUUUGACCUAGAAGAACUCACAGGAAAGGGUGGAAUUGUUUUAAAACUAGAAUUCAUUGAGUGAGGAGUUACCUUUGGAGUGUUGGUCGAUGUUUCAGUUUGGAAAGGAGAAGGAUGAUGUAUCUUCUUUGUACUCAAUUCAGUUUCUAUCUCUUCUUCUUCCUCCAUCUCAAUUUGUUUUGACCUUUUCUCUUCAAUUUCUUUCCCACUUCGCAACAUGAUCGCACUAACAUGCUCUAUUUGAUUCCAUGCUUGGGAGGGCAAUUUUCCAUUCAUUUGUGCUUCCAAUUUCCCUACACUUGAAGCUACUUGCCCCAUUUGCUUUUCCAAGUUGUGAAUACUUGACCUUGUUUCCUGUUGAAAAGAUAUGACAUUUUGUUGCAAGGUAACAGUAUUAGAAGCCAAAGUUUUCAUCAUCUCACGAAGAUCAUCAUUGGAUGACGACCCCAUAACAUUGGAGUUUGUGAAUGGAGGGGGUUGUCUUGCAAUGAACAACUACUCCUAAAGAUGAAAGAAUACAUAAUUUCUGAUUUGUAGAGAGGAGAGUUUGUGUUUCCUCCCUCUUCUUGCUUCUUUCCUCUCUUUUUUUUACCUCCUUCUACUCACCCUCUAUUUAUACACAAAUUGUAAGUAAGAAAAUCAAAGUUCAAGUGUGAACAUCAAUAGAUGGUGGUAGUGUGAAGGCUGGUGGCUGGUGGCUGGUGGCUGGUGGCUGCUGGCUGCCAUGAGGUUGGUGGCUGCCUUGAGGUUGGUGGCUGCCAUGAGGUUGGUGGCUGCCUUCCUUGACCUUCUAGAAUAUUUACUAGAGGAGCUAAAUUGCUGGUCGGUUUGGAUGCUUCUAGAUGAAAUUUGGAUUCGUUUCUUCACGCAACCUGCUUGCUGGCAGAAUUCAGCUGUCAUCUUUGAAAAAUCAUAUAUCCCUCAUAUGACAUCGUUUUUGGCUGAACUUUGGAGCGUUUAUAGAUCGUUGAGUAAGGAAUCCAACAAAAUUGAGUUUGCAUCAAUUGGACUUCUGAAGCUCCAGAUAUUGAAUUUUGAAUGGGCAAAGGUCAACAUUGACAGACUACGAGAUUUGACUUUGAAGGAUGUGAUUUCCAUGAUCUUUCUCUUUUUAUUUUUCUUGCAUUACAUUUCCAGAAAGGUAUGGAUGUUAGCUUUUUAAUUCCACUAGAAUCACUUCAUUUCGAUCUCUGGAACUCACGCUCUGCACAAAAUACCGACUGAACGUCAAAUCUGCCAAUUACCUCCAAUUUACUCCUUUUUGCAUCUUUCAUCCAAAAAUGCCUUCAAAACAUAAAACAAAGAAUAUCAAGGCAUUUUAUAUAAAUAAAAUAUGCAAAACACUAGUUAAAUGCGGGUGAAACUAUCGAAUAAUAUGGUUACAUCACCCUCCAUUUUUGAUCUUCUUCUUCUUGAGUCCGCCUCCCACAGCCCCUCUCUCGGCUGCUCACUUCCCCUCCUUGAAAAACAGAGUCGGCCGCCCCUUUGAAAAAUACAAGAGCCCUAUCUUCUCCCCAUUUUCCUAGAGACAACCGGCCGCCCUCAUCCAAAGAAAUUAGAGGGAGACCCUGGCCUUGAGGUUUUUGAAUCGGGAGCUUCUUCUCCCAAACUAAGGCCAGCCACACGUCCCUCCCCCCGGCCAUUUUCGUUUCUCUUCUCCCCAACAAAGCCAGCCGAAUAGACGCCAACAGUAGCGGCGCCAUCUUCACCAGUGAGCCAGCAAUCAACACACGGCAGCGCCGGGGCAACACUCUCUUCUUCAUCCUCUGCAACCAACCACAACAGCGCUGCCAUCACUGGAGACCCAGCAUCUUACAGACCUCGUCUGUUACCUCACUGUCGGCCACGACAUCCCUCUCCCUGUGCAGCGGCGUCUCCUUCCCCCAUCACAGCAACGUCGCCGCUCCUCUCAACGCUGUUUUCUCCACAACAGAUCUGAAGAAGGAGAAGAAAAAACAGAUCCGUGAAAAAAGUAAAGAAAAAUUAAAAUCGACUGGAUGUGGUGUUUGUUUGGCUUUGUAGGUGACGCUGUUCUCACCGCCGACAAGGAAGGGAAGAGGGGAGGAGGUCGUUGCAGACCCCCCUGUUUCCGGGUUGUUUUCACGGCGGCGCGUGGACCCACGCGCUGCCAGUGGCGGUGGUGCGUGAGAUCCACGCGCCGCCACUGUCCCUACUGAUCCAAAAGUCUUCCCAGCAUUUCUAGAUUUUGUUUUGGGGCUAUUUUGUAAUUUUUGGUUUUUGUUUAAUGUAAAUUUUUGGUUUUUGUUUAAUGUAAUUUUUGUAACAUGUAAAUGUUGCAUGCGGGUGUAAUAAAAAGAAAUAAUAAAAAGAGAUGUGUGUGCGUGUGUUAUUGUAUUUUCAUUUAUGUUAUUGAAUUAUAAAAAUAAAAAAUACAAAAAAGAAUUAAGUAUUUAAUUUAAAUAUGAUUAAAUAUCUUAAGGAUAAAUAAAAUCAUGUUAUAUUUUCCAUGAAAAUGUAAGAACAUGUUUCUACAUAUAUUCUGGGAUUUAAUAACUGAUUUAUUCAAGCCUUAGAAUUUGAUUAAUAUUUUAAAUUUUCAAAUCACAUCAAACCACAAAGCAGCUUACCUCAGGUAGGGUGUGCUAGGGGUGCUAAUACCUUCCCUAGCCACAAUCAGUCCCUUACCCACAAAUCUCUGACCACGACCAGUAAAUCUGGGUUUCCUAGUAACCCUCAAUCCAAUACUAGGUGGCGACUCCCAAGACCCCUAAUAAAGCAAAGAAACGAAAAAUCGCCAAAGUUGAAUCGCCGCGUGGAUUUUGACGUGCGACAGAAUGGCGACUCCACUGAGGACAGGUAUUGUUUUCAAACUUUAUUGGACUAAGCUUUGUGUUUUUGAUGUGUUUAAAUUUUUUACCUUUUGUCUUGUUUUAUUUUUGUUUUGUUCAUGCAUUGUAUAGAUUUCUAUCAUACAUCACAUGUUUUAAUUUUUGAAAGCACACACAAGCUUUAGGUUAGGUGGGGGACUAACAGCUUGCCUUAUGCCUUGAGUCAAGGUUUAAGUUUGUGUAAACCCCAGCUCUUCGUUGAGUGCUUAGACUGGUAAAUAUUAGCACACGUGUUGACCAUUACCUACUGGGCCCCUAUAUUGCCUUUACGAGGGUGAUCACUAGGACAACAGGAGACCCUUUUUAGAGACCAAGUAGCAAACUACCCUUUGUCUCACGUAAAAAGAAUAGAACCUGCCUUUAGGAUGAUUGCUCCGUAAAUAUUUGUUUUGCAUCUGAGCAAGCCCUUCUUGAAGCAUCUUGAAUUCAGGACUUAUGGGGGAUAAAAUGGUCAUCACUCAAGAAAUUUCUAUUGUAGAGUUUGAUCAAGAAUAAAAAUUCUUGUUUCAUUAUGCAAGAGUUAUGACCAUAUGUCACCCCUCGAAGGGUGAGUUCAUCAUAUAGAUUACAUGUUCAUACAUUUAUCAUGCAUGUGUCGGGAUGAAAAAUAGGUUCCCCUACCCGAGGUCUACUACACUGGACUGAAAGAGAUUGGGAAAUGAAGAAAGGGGUCAAAGAGAGGCUCAUUGUCAAAAGAAAGUUGAGAGCAUCAAAGAUAAAGUAGCUAGACUCAGAUUUGCCCGAACAAGUGUAAAACAUCAAAUGGAAAGGGAAUGUCUGCACAGUCUUCUGUGGGAAUACAACUUGUCUACAUCCCAUUGAAGUUGCACCUCUCCUUUUCAGUCAUGAACAACGGCAACAAUGCUUUCAGUCAUCAAUUAAUGACCAUCUUUGUUCAUGUGGUAGUGCUCUUUCUGUAGAGAUUUGUUUGUGGAUCUGCCAGUGGGGAAUGCAAGAGGGGAUGUAGUAGUUUCAUAUGCUAUGAAACUUUCCCCCGUCAAUUUCAGCACCGAAACACAGAAGUAGGUUGAAAGACAGACCUAGGAUGAAAAGCAAGGAGAAGAUUGAAACUUCAACAGAGCAGAACUCCCUCUACAUGUGUUUGUUUGCUACACCGUCAAUGAGGAAUCAAAGAUGAGACAGAGGAGCUUUUGAUUCAUCAGGCUCUCCUACAAUAGAGACAGCGCAUGAUUCCACACGUCGGCAGUGGCGAUGCUGCCAGUUUCUAGGCGCUGCCAAGAUUACCAAGUCGUUGGAAAGUUUUCUAAUAAUCCUCAAACAACCACAACAACAUUGGAAGAUUGACACGAUGUUGAGAGGAUUGCUGAAAUAAUUGAACAUGCUGGGAAAGAUUGAGGGUUUUACCGUGGAUUCCAGAACUGUGAAGAGAGUUGAAUCAGAAGAUGACUCUCAGUUGAGAAACCUCAGUUAUUUUGCUUAGUCAGGUCUUGCCAUAGCAUCAACUGCUCAAGUGUCUCUGCUAAGAUUGACAUCCUUCUGCCACCCAAGUUGACCUACCAACAUUUGUCAGAUUCCAUACUUGUUGCCCCAACUUCGAUAAAUUGCAUCCAACCACCGUGGUAUAAUUCAGACGAGAUGUGUUGUUAUGGUGGGGUCCUCGACCAUUUUAGUUGAACAGAUGCAAGAGUUUCAAUAAUCGAGCCGAGUUUGUGAAAGAUGAUGUCACUGAUUAUUUUUGUCACCAGAACAUCCUCAGAAUGACAAAUGAUCAGAAUUGCUUGGCAAAACAUAGAUAUCGCCAGAGUAGCUGAUCCAAGAAGGAGUUAAACUGUCAAUCAUCUUUGUUAUGGAUUUUUGCCAUGUUGCAUUUUUGUUCUGGGGUCACAUCUCAUCCUUGAACGAAGCAUGUCUUUCUUUUGUCUUAUUGUUGUUUUGAAAUCAAGAGAUACUUUUUUCAAUGCGUGUUUUGACAAAAUUUGUGAUUGAACUCCAACAUGCAAAAUUAAGGCUAGUGAAUCCUUAAAGAUCAAAAGUGCUUUGAUUACAAAAAUGACUCGAUGCUUGAAGAUGACAUGAGGUGACCAAACAAUUUUGAACUCAUACCUCCUGAAACUGAACCACCCAUUAUGUAGCUAUGUUUUAACAGUAUGCAUAAUGACAUGUAGUGGAUUCGGUAGCUAUGGACUCGUGAAUCAUUGACUCUUACAAGUCCAAAUCAUUACACUGGAUGAGGUCAAAAUUUAUCGGUUUUAACUGACCUUGCUUGAAAUGAGAAAAGGCCAUCUUUGUUAUCCCUUCACGUUUCUUGAAAUAUUAUCCCUUGCAGUUCUAUUUUGAGCCUGGUGACAUAUUUUCUUUCAAAAAGAAACCCUGACUAGGAUCACACCCCACACUGGGGGCAAAUGAGAAAUAUUUUGGAGACAAUGAUAAAAUCAAUGGAUCAAAGAAAGGCUUAGAACAAAAGUCCAAUGACUGAGAAAGGGCUAGAAGAAAAAACCUUAGAUUGAGGGCCAUCCAAGAAAAACUUUGAGGAAGGCUAUGAAAAAAAAAAAAAAAAAAUGAAAAUGAAAGAGAAUGCCUAUCAAUUCUAAGAGGGGCAAAAGAUGUUUCAAUUGAAGAAAGACACAGCAAAUGCCAAAAUUCAACAAAAAAAACCAAGUUUCAUGUCUUUUGGUGUGUCUAGGAUAAAGCCUCUAAUGUCUUCAGAAAAAUUAGAUUGGUUAUUCAUCAAAGAAAAAGUUGGAUUUGCAUUAUGACCUAUGUUAAGAGAAUUCUGAUAUUUGAAUUUAACAAGGUUAUAUGUCACUUUCUCUACAAUGACAACAAGAGAAAGAGAGUUGAUGAAUAGUUGAUGUUGAUCCUAGGUCUUUGAAACCCUCAAACACCUUUUGAGCCUGUGAAUUUUUUUUUCAUAGCCAUGAACCAUAGCCUGCAUUACGUGCUUUAAAAGCCCUUUUUGAUCAAGUAAGCAAUCUGAACCGAUAAAUGGCGAUCUCAAAACUUGAAGAGCUUUCCAUAAGAGUCGUGGCUUCAUAGAUUAAGCUACUGUUAUUAUGCAUGCUGAUAAAAUUGAUGCUAAAAAAGAAAACAAUCUUUCUUGAUGAAUCCUCAAGUUUUGACUUGAGCCUUUUGUUUUUUAAAUUCACAGAAGGUCACCUCAUCGCAGACCAUCAAAAGAUAUACCCAAGAUCAAAGAUUAAAACUGACACAAAGAACCAUGAAAAAAGUCAUUUUAAUCUCACAAUGGGUCAUUUCUGUUUUCAAAAUACAAGACAAUCAAAGGACUGCAUUAAAUAGUGUGUGUUGGGUCUUUGACCAAAGAAGCUUGAUUUAUGAAAAUACUUUCAAAAACAGACAUCUCUUUGAUUUCAUUUCAACAAUUAGACUUGAAUAGACAUGAUCGUUGAAAUAUGAGAUUUGAUUCCAGAACAAGAAAGAUUUUCAAACAAGAACAUCGAUUGAGUUUGCAAAAUCCUUGACAAAAAUGACAUCAACAUUUCUCGACACUCCUUGAAACGUUGACCACCUGGGGGCAAUACAGCAGACCCUAAGAAGGGAAACAAACAAUGUUCAGAUCGACUGGGGGCAAUUUUGUUCAAAGACAAUCUGUGAUUUAGUGAACUUCAGCAGCAAUUGAUGAGAAACGCUGCACUUGAAGGGCAUUUAAUUAUCAUCAGCUUGGGUUAUCCUCUGAAACAUGGUUAUGACUCCUGACAGAUGUUAUCACGUGAGUGCAUUUGAAUGAACAUCGAACGAAUGCAUACCACCAAGACUGACUGUGGUACCAUCUGUUUUGAAACCCAAAUGUGCACUUCACCGCAUGAAUAUGGGUAAUGAACAUUAUUGGUAAUGCCAAAUCAUUUCUUUGCAUAAGCUAAUUUGACAAGCUGAGAAAUCCAUGAGAAAGUACAUUAAGCUUACAACGAUGAGCCUUUCCCUGCAAAGUAUGAGAUGCAUGUCGGAAUGACGUGGCAGUUCCAUGAUUAUGGAUGACCAUAUAUACUUGAAUGGUGUUUCAACUGGAGGCAAGUUCAUGACUAAUUGGCAAUCUUGAUGGGUGUUGGCAUGAUGCACACAAUCAAUCAAAGGAUAAUCCUCGAAAGAAUCUAGGAGAGAAAAUCCUUCAUAAUGAAUCAAGCAACACCACACUUGGGGGCAUUGUCAAGCUUGAUGAAUGACGAGAGCAGUUACCGUCGAAGACAGCCUAAGAUAGGCACUGCAUUUACAGCUAAGUGACGGCUAUCACAUGAAUGAGCCAAUGCAUGGAAAGAACAAAGAAUGCUUUGUAAUGCAAACAAAGGCACCAUAUGACGAUGGAGCAUCAAGGAGGGGGGACCUAUAUUUCAAAUCAGGUAAGGAUGCAUGCAUAUCAUCUAACCUAAAAAAAAAAAACAAAUUGCACAGAUUGUUGAUUUGUUACAGGAAGAUCCUCAAUGAAGUCCAGCAAAAUUGUGGACAGAAUGAUCCUUAUUUUUAUAAUUGUUAUUUGUUUUUUCCUUAUCAUUUUUUAAUUAAAAUUUUUUUUUUAUUAAAUUUGAUCCUCAUUCUUUUGAUUGCUACUUAUUUUAUUUGAAAUAAUUGAUGAAAUGUUAAUUAUUAUUAUUUUAAUUUCAUUAUAUUUUAAUUUUUUUUAUCUGUUAGAUUUGAUCUCUAUUAUUUUGAUUAUUAUUUAUUUUUUUGAGAUAAUUUAUUAAAUUAUAUUUUUUUCAAUUUCAUUCGCAUUCAACUUUUUAAUUUGUUAGAUUUGUUUCUUAUUAUAUUAAUAAAUUUUUAAAAAAUAAAACAAUAAUAGACUAUUUUUUCAUUUUAUUUUUCAUAACAUAACUAAAUACUGAAAAAUAUUUUUCAAUUUACUUUUCAUUAAACUAUUAGUUAUUAUAAAAUAAUUUAUUUUUCUUGAAUUUCUUUCUUACUACUUUUUAAAAGAAAAAAAAUUACUUUUUAGUAAAUAAACACGGGGCUAAAUAAAGUUAGAUAAUCAUGAGAAAAGUAAAUUCUGCUCACCUUGACUAAGAGAUAGUACUUGUUCUUUAGACAACCGACAGUUUUUUUCUAGAACAAAAUUAGUUUUUUUACCAAUGGUAAGACGUUAAAAGAACAUUCAUGGGCAUGAUUGAGAGGGUACUUUUCAAGGGACCCGACAUUUUUUCAUUAUACAUCAGAUGAUGCAGCUUCUUUUGUAUUUUUGUUACCAAAUUAUUUGGAAAAUUGACAUAUUUACCUUAACAAUAAUUCAAUCUUACUUGAUCUCCAUCAUUUUAAAUUUCCAACAUCAUCCAAUUAAACUUUUUUUUUGGCUCAAACUAUAAUUUAAUAAUAAAAAAUUAUAAUUUUCAAUAUGAUUAUUAAAUCAAAAUCAAAAUUCUUUGAAUUAUUCUAUAAGUUCAGUUGUAUAAAAAAACUCAAUUAACUUUGACUAACUGAGCUCUAAAAUAUUUUUAAAUUAAACUUUGAAAAUAUGAAUUGAGUUAAUUUUGUUAUUUAUUUUAAUUUUUCUAAAUUUAAAAGUAUUGAUUGUUCCAAUAUUUACUCUCUCUCUUUUUUUUAUCGUGUUCAAGAGUUGAAAUCUUAAUAUGUUUGUUUGUCAAUAUAAAAAAUAUAUUUUUAGAACAAGUGUGUAUUUUGUAAGGCAGUACAUAUUUUUUUAAUUAAAAUUUUUUAAAAUAAAAUUUUUUAUUAGUAUAUCAAAACCAUCAAAAAAUACCUAAAAAUAUUAAUUUUAUACUAUUUUAGGUGGAAAAGAAAUUUAAAAAGCACUUUAAAAAAUAUACUAAACUACAAAAACAAACAUUUUCUAUUUAAUUUAUAAAUAAAUAUAUUUCUUAUAUUAUUAUCACUUAUUUAAAUUUUACAAAAAAUUAUAAGAAAAUUAUUCCUCAUCAAUACAUCAAUUCAAGUAUGAACACCACAUUUAAGACUAGUCAAUAUUUUUUUAUAUAUAAAUAAAAAAAAGAUAGUUACUCCCUCCACUAGUUAGGCUGGUUACUAUAUAAUGAAUUGUAUCUUUUGGUAAGAUGUGUCCAGUGAACAACUUGUAUUGGGAAAACCUAAAUGAAACACUACUUUUUCCGAUAGCUAAGAAAUAUGGUGGAUGUGAUAUUAUCAUCACAAGGGUAGCAUGUGAGUCUACUCACCAAGGUAUUGCUCCGAGUUUAUUCGUAAAAUUUAAUUAAAGAAGGAUAUUUAUGAAAAUUAAUUAAAAAAAUCGAAUGUACAACAAAAAUAUCUUAUUAUGUCUAAUAAUAUAUUAGAAGAAAUAAACCAGCAAAAAAAAUAAAAAUGUGUUUGAUCAUAAAGAGGUGGAGAUGAAAAUAUAAAUUAAAUUUCUAUACAAUAAUUUUACAGUUAAUUUUUAUUAUUUCAAAAAAAAAUAAAAAAUAAAAGUAAUGGUUGAUUAUUGUAUUUGAACAAAAAAAUAAAAAAUAAAAACAAAAAUAUAUUUCGUUGAAGAAAAGCAUAAUUUAAUCAUAAUUUUUAAAAAUAGCCUUCUAACCUUAUGUUCAAAAUAUUCUUAAAUGAUUUAAGAAUUAAAUUUUUAAAUAGAUGGUGUAUUUAAAAAACUAAUAAUUAUAUAUAUUUUUAAAAAUAUAUCUGUAAGUCAUAAUUAUAAAACCUGAGUAAUCCGGUAAACAAUUUGAAAUCUCACGAGAACUAAACUAGUUUAGAUUGAGAAAAUAAUAACAAUAAUAAUAAAAUUAACUUAGUAAAAAAUCUGGGUUUGUGCAAUAAUUUACCAACUCUUCACCCGUUAAUAUCUUUUUUUAAAAAAAAAACAAUGAAGUUUUAAUUUUAAAAUAUUAUAUUUUAACCUAGAUUUACCCUUCAUAUCCAUAACAUCGAUCAAUCCCUUGUGUCGGGUUUUAUAAGUAUACUUUGAAGUUAAGGUUAAAGAAAAUAAAAACAAAAUUGUAAAAAGAAAUUGUUUUCUUAAAUUAAUUUUCAAACCUCUCGCUCUCAUGUUCUCAUAUUUCGACAACAUGGAAAGCACAGAGAUUUCUACGCCUAUUACUACAACUCUUUCAAACGUACCUUAGCAACCGGAACUCCUGUCUCUCCUCUUCACUUUUCGCUUCUCGUACGUUUCUCUCGUUCUCUCCCUCCAAUUUUUUGACAAUUCUUUUCUCUCUCUUUUUUAAAAUCUUUAAUUAAUUUUUGUAUUUAGUUCUCUUUAUCUUUCUUACGUUUUCUUGAUCAUCUUGUGGUGGGUUCUUUUCAUUUCUCUCGUGACUGCAUGUCCUUAAAUUUCAAGCCUUUUCUUCCCUUUUAAUUGUAUAUUUGUGUAUAGUAUAUAUAGACCCUUUUGUGUUCUUGGGAGGUUUGUGAUUGUUAUUGCUGUUUCCAGGUGCUGUUUUGAUGUUAAAAAGUGUUUUUGUUUUAGUAAAUUGCUGCUUUCAAAUAUUUGAGCUAUUUUUGACUGACUGGCCCUCUUUUUCCCCAAGAUCCAAAUGGACCAGUAAAAAGUAGGAAAUAAUUUCAAACUCCGUUUUUCAUGUAGAAAAAUAGGAAUAAUAUGCAAAAGGACUCGAUGGGAUCUCUGCUUUAGAACAUUUCAAGCUGUCAAGCCUGUUAUAGGUAUCUAAGUUCAAUGAAGGUAACAUUUCAAGCUGUCAAGCUUGUUAUAGGUAUCCAAGUUCUAUGAAAGUGAGGUAAGCCUUUAAAAUGGCUUCAGAUGUAUCUACUUGUUAAUGCUUGUGAUAUACUGUGUUCUUUAGUGUGGUUAUAAAUAAUGUAUGAGCAAGGUGUCUUGAAGCCUCGUAUUGUGAUUACAUGCCCAAACUAGCUAGUCGAAUAAAUGAAGGGACAAUAGAGUUUCCGAGGUGAUUAUUUUUUCUUUUUGGAAAAUUGAUUUUUCUUAGUUAUUAUCUUUUUUUUCUAUUUAUUUUAAAAUAUUAUGUUUAACAAUUUUAUUUUUUAUUUUGUUUAUGAAUUUUAUUGCUUUUUAUUAUUAUUAUUAUUUAUUUUCAAUGUUUUUAGUUUGUUUAGGUGUUUUUUUAGUUUAUUUAAGGAGUUGUAAAUCUCUUACAAAGGAAACUACUUGACAUGGUAAAUUAUUAAGAAAUAAAAUUUUGAAUUCUGGUUUUUGGUGUGAUGAUCCUUUUUAGUAGAAUUGUGUUGUUUGUUUUUGCUAUUUUUUUGUAUUAUUUCUGUUUAUAUUAGUUGGUAUCAGAACCUAACAAUCUUUGAUUAUUGUUUGCUUGUUGUAUGCUGCAAAACAACCAUAGCUGGAAAAAAUAAUAAAACUAAACAUGUUCAAGGAGAGGAUGAAGAGGUUUCCUCUUUAGAGAAAAAGGUUCAUGAGCUAGAAAUUGAGGAUAUACAAAGGUAGAUCGCAAAGCUUACGUGACAAUUGAAAUAAAACACCCAACAAGAAUAGGAGGAGAGUAAUUGUGAACCCUGGCUAAUCUAGAGGAGGCAACCUUUUAAUUGGGCAGCACUUCAUGGAGAUUUUGAUUUUUAAAUUAAACUUUCUAAUUUUGUAGGAACUUUACAAGUGGAAGAGUUAUCGUUUAGUUGAAUGAAGUAUAAGGGAUUUUCAAGUGCAUAAAAGUUUAAGAGCAGAUAAGGGUGAAGCUUAUUGGUAUUAGAUUAAAAGGGCGAGCUUAUGCUUGGUGGAAGCAAUUAAAGAGAAAGAUAAAGGAACAUUUUUUUUCUGUUUGGAUACAUUUAAACUUUUUACCAAUGACUUCAUACAUUGGGAUGGGAGAACUAUUGCUAAGUACAUUGAAAACUCUACCAACCGGUGGCUAAGAAUGAUUUUUCAGAAAGAGUAGUUGAUUGCUAGGUAUUUAAAGUAGAUUAUGAUAGUUCAUGCAAGAUGUAUUGUGUUUGCAUUCUUUAUAAAUAGUUUUGUAAGCCUAUAAGAGAGCUUUGAUUAUGGAUAAACAAUAGGUUAUUAGGGUAAUUAACAAAGGUGGCUUUUGAUUUGACCAAAAUAAUAAGGAGGUGUGCGCUAACAAAAAAAAAUAUCAUUCAUUUAGCCCGAAUCGAUAACUAAAUAUAUCACAAGUUAAAGUUCAAGUUCUAGAUAUGAUUUUAAAUUUUAGUGUUUUAGAUAUGAUGAAUUAGGACAUUGAAUUUAUAAGUGCCAUAAACCAAAGAGUCGUAAGUGUAAACAUUUGUAAGUAAAAUAGCAUAAUGAGAAGAGAAGUGAUCCUAUUUAUGAUGAUUAAUAUGGUAGUGAGGAGGUUUUCUAAGAUAAUGAUGGUGCUACCUCAAUUAUCCAAAAGAGUUUGCUUAUUCUUAAAAGUGAUUCAAAUCAUGAUUGGCUACACACUAGUCUUUUUCUUUCAACUUGUACCUUCAAGGACAGUGUAUUUAAUUUGAUUAUUGAUAGUGGUAAUUGUGGAAAGGUGGUGUUAAUUGAAGUAGUAGAGAAGUUGCAACUUAAAAAAAAAAACACCAUAUACCCUACAAAUUGAAGUAGAUGAAUCGAGAUCCCAAUGUAAUCAUGGAUGAAUAUUAUCUUGUUUUAUUUUUUAUAGGUAAGAGAUAUUUUGAUAGUAUUUGAUAUGAUGUUGUGUCUAUGGAUGUAUGUCAUUUAUUGUUGUAUAGACCAUGAUAAUAUGAUAAGAAUAUCAUGCAUAACAAACAAUGUAAUACUUAUACCCUUAAUAUAGUAAUGAAAGAAAAGGGAAGUUGUUAAGAGUGAACAUAAAAAUAUGUUGUUUUUAUUCUAAUUUAUUGAAAUGAAAAAAAAAACAGAGAGAGAAAGGAGAUUUUAGAGAAUCAAGAUGACAUGAAAAAGGGUAUGAUGUGGAAUAAGUCAUUGGUGGCUACUAAUGGUUCUACAAAGAUUGAGAUUAUACUAGUAUAAAACUAUAACUAAUCUUCAGGAUUUUUUAGCCAUUCUCAUCGUGUCAUUUUGCAGCAACAAAAAUAAAAAUAAAAAACUACUACAUGCCUUCAUCUCUUUGCUAUCUUCUUUUUAUCUCUAAAAAGGAGAUAAAAAUGAAUAAAAUGAUCAUUGAAGAGUAAAAAAAAAAAACAGAGUUUAUUUUACUUGAAAAAUAUUAAAUUAAUAUAUUUUUUUAUGAUUUUAAUGUUAAAAAAAAAAAUUCUUGCUUUUUCUUUGGACGAUCAUUUAUUUUGUUUUUAAAAAAUGUAAGGCAAAUAGUAUAUUUAAACUCUAUUUGUUUUUUCAUUUCAAAAGUGUUUUUCAAAAAAUUAAAAAACUAUUUUUUUAUCUGCUUCAAAUUGAUAUUUUUUUAGUGUUUUCAUAUCAUUUUGAUGUCCUGAUAUUAAAAAUAAUUUUUAAAAAAUAAAAAAAUUAUUUUAAUUUAUUUUUUAGUAAAAAAUAUUUUUAAAAAUAACCAGAAUCAUACUCCCGAACACCCUAUUAGUGCCUGUUGGAGAACUAGUGGCUUUUGUCUCCUUUUUUUUUAAAAAAAAAGGAUAACAAGUGUUUGAAAGAUUUUUAAAAGUUAUUUUGAAAGCUCUCUCAACAUAUAUAUAUAUAUAUAUAUAUAUAUAUAUAUAUAUAUAUAUAUAUAUAUAACCUGUUAGUGAUAUUUAUAUGUAUUAGAUGGAAUUGAGAUUAUAUUUAUUUUAAAGUCCAAUAUGAAGAUAUUUUCGUGAAUAGAGUAAUAUAGCAUAUAGUUGCUACCGAUCAAGGAUUAGAUAUCACAAAUUAAACCACAUUUUUUUAAUCAAUUAAAUACUUUUAGCUUUGAUUUUUUUUUCCCAUUCGACAAUGUAAAAAAUAUUAUUAUACAAUUACACAUCUUGGUUAAGUUUUUCUUGUGUCGUGAAUUAUUUUCUUUUAUAAUUUACUAUAAUGCCAUCGAACUAUUAUAAAACCACUAACAACACUAGGAGCAAGUCGGCGGUGGAUUGGGACGGCCAUUUCCAUGGCCAUUAAGAGCCCGUUUGGCUACGCGUUAGAGUUUGCAUUUCUUCAAAAACACACUGAAUAAACAUUUGGUUAAGAAAAAAAAACUACUUAAUAUGCAUCGGUCCCACAACAAAUUGUGUGCGAAACGUAGGGAGAUGGAAAGCAGCAAGCUGCUGCUUUCUUGCGCGGCAACAAAAGGCAACCAUGCUACACUGCUCACUGAACAGUGUAGCAUGGUUGCCUUUCGUGGAGCAGCAAAAUGCAUUGAACCGGGUCCGACCCAGUAAAAAAAUAUAUUAUUUUUAUUUUUUAAUUGUGUUUUAUUUGCUUGAUGAUAUAGUAUUUGCAGAAUUUGAUCACAAUUCUAAUUUGUUCCUGAUUAUAUUUUACAAGUUAUGUUGUUGCGUAUUAAAGAAACCAAGAAAAUUGUCGGAUGUAUUUCAGAUGUGAUGGAAUUGUAGAUCGUUCAAUGGAAUAAUAAAAAAAAUAUUUUAUAUAAAGUAUGAUUUAUUUUAUGAUGUAAUAGCAAUAGUUAAAUCCACAAUAUUUAAAUUAAAAAUCAUCAAUAGUAAUAUAUAUUUUUUAAAAUUAUUUUAUAAACUCAAUUUUAAAAGCAUUCUUAACCAAACACAUUAAAUUAUUUUUUCUUCAACCUCAAUUUCAACCACUGUUUUAACCAAACAUCUAUUUUUUCAAACCACCUCAAUUAAAAGUACUUUUUAUAAAAUAAUUGUUUUCAAACCACAAUCACAACAGCUACAAUAAUACCAAACACACUCUAAGUAUCCAUUUCUGACAAACACACUUAUCUCAUAAAUACCACAGAAAACUGUGCAAGUCACACAUUUUAUCCACCAUUUAGCCCGAUAAACACUAGUUUGCAUAAGCUUCAAAUAACCAUUCCAUGGCGUCGCGUCUUGGAGGUUCCUACAACAGUUAAAAUAGCUAACAUGGUGUCAGCCAUUGAAAGAUAAACAACGCUAAAAUUCAAAAUGGUUGGAGUUAGAUAAUAUAUUAUCAAUAUAUAAUUUAUAAAUCUAUAUUUUAUAUAAACUGGAGCCAAGUUUGCCUUCUUUUUUUUUUUUAAUCUUGGUGUCAACUAAAGAGUGUUUUUAGCGUUAAUUGUAUUUGUUACUAAAAAGUAAUUGGUUAGUAAUCUCAGUAAUAAUCUUGUUGGUUGUUAUUAAAUGAAAUUAGCUAAGUUAAAAUUGGUUAGGCAAGAAAUGAUUAGGUAAUUUUUUUAGAAAGCAAAAGUCUAAUGACAUUUUAAAUUAUUGACUUCAUGGUUAUAAUUUUUCAAUUUUAACAAAUCAUCAUUAAAUUCAUAUGUAUAUAAAGUAUUUAAUUUUAAGAUUUAAUGGUUUGUUUUAAGAAUCAUAUAAAGUUGAUGAUUUUAAAAUAAAUAAUACUACAUAGACAAUGCAAUAAAUAUAAGUUAAAUUAUUUUGUAAGAAUGAUAUUAGAAUAAUGCUGGAUUGCUAUUGAUUUUAUCAUUGAUAUGUGUAUAUUUUGAUACAUAGUAGAAGCUAAAUAAUAAUGGCAUUUGAUAGUGUCCGUCCUAUAUAUUCCACAGAAAUAAUGAUUUAUGGUUAUUGAUAUUAUCAUUGAUCACAAGUAUAAAUUUGGUUAACAUAAUAAUAAAAGAUAAUAAGAUAUUUGUAAAGAAUGUUGGGAUAUGAGAAAUAAACCAUUCUUAAAAGAAUGAAGUCUAAUUAUUGCUUUUAUUAAUUUGAAUACUUUAAUUGGUUGUCUCUCCUCAACAUACUACAAAGUAACGGAAUAAUUAAAACCCCAACUUACCUAUACACGUGUACCAUCUAUCACGAUAAAUGGGAUAUGAGAAAUCUUUGGCCACUAAGAGUCAUUCUCCUUUCUACAAUUUUCUUUAAGAUGUGGACAUUGCCAAAUAAGCAAUGCCUUUAAUUUGGAGAGGCGUUGAAUGGCUGUUGAACUUGGCAUAUACUUGAGAUUCUUGCAAUCCUAAGAAAUCGAAGAGAAGAAAGGUUGGCCAUCUAUUUUGGCAAUGCUUCCUCUAACUCAGUUUAAAAUAAAAAAAAAUAAUUUUUUUUUUCAAAUUUUAAAAAAAAAUGCUUUUAAAAUGUAAAAAAAAAAUAAUUAUUAAACUCAGUUUAAAAAACAUGUAAAAACUGCUUUACAAAAACCACGUUUUAAACUCAAUUUUUUAAUAUGCCUUACAAAAUAAAACUAAGAAUAAACAAACGCACCUGAGCUGAAAACUUCCAUUAUCAACAGGAGAAUAUGACUUCAUGUAGUGGUAGAACACCUCCUUCAUAGGAUCUCCCCAUUCCUACAGUAAACAAAAAGUGAUAAGCAAGUAGCAUCAAGCCACCGACACAUAAUUUCAUAGUUGGAGCAGGCAAACCCUACCUAAGCAGCCGACAUUUCAGAGAAGAAAAAAAAACCAGCCGACAACCUCUGUUCCUGGGAUUUUGGUCCUAUAAAACUCUGUACACGUGUUGAAUCUUCUUGCCCAUCACUUUCUAGUGGAAGAGUGUGUUUGUUUUUGCUGUAAUUGUUAUUGUUGCGGUUGAAAAAAAAAACACUUUUUAAAAAAAUCACCUUUCUUGUUGUUCGUUUAUAUAUUUGAGUGUUUGGUUAAAAGUGUGGUUUGACUUUAUUGUGGUAAAAAACAUGGUUGGUUAAAACUGUGGUUGCGGUUGCUUUUGUACCAAAAAUGACUAAAUAAAAUAAAAAGGACAUUAAUAAUAUAAUUCAUUGUGUUAAGAGGAAAUAAAACAUUUUUUCCAUAUAAAUACCGGCAAUAAUAAAAGCAUGCUUUGUUAUUACAAUUAAACAUUAUUGUCCCAUCAAAGUAUUUGCAAUGCCAUCAUGAAUAUAAUCCAUACGCGACGCCCUCUGGUGUCCACUUGUUUGUGAUUGUGGAACGACAUCGGGAAAAAUAUCUUGAGGAACGAAAUCAGGAUGACUAUCAAACUUGUUGAAUGCAACAUCUUGGCCCUACUUCCGUCGAAUAUAGUUGUGUAGCGCCAUUGAUACGACAACAAUUUUAACCUGUGAUUUAUAUGGAAACUCAUGCAUGGUUUGCAAGAUUCGCCAUCUUUUCUUCCAAACUCCAAAUGUACGUUCGACUACACAUCGUAAUGACGAAUUGACUCGAUUAAAUAGUUCCUCUCGACUCCGUGGUUGUCCUCGUCGAUGAAAUUCUGGAAGAUGAUAUCUUUCCCCUUUAUAUGGACCCAAGUAACCGUACUCAUUUGGAUAUCCUGAAUCAACAAGAUAAUACUUCCCUGCAUAAAUGUUAGAAUUGAUUAACGCUUACAAAAUACUUCAUAUAAAACAAAUUAGACUAGUUGAACAACAAGCACAAUUUUAUUUUUUAAUACCUUCUGGUGGCCGUGGAAAUUGUAUGUUUGUAUUUCCAAUCACCUCAUAAAAUAUUCUUGUAUCAUGAGCACUACCUUCCCACCCAGCCCAAACAAAUGUAAAUUGCAUGUCAAAGCUACAUGCUGCCAUUAUAUUUUGCGUCGGUAUACCUUUUCUACCAAUAAAAGGUAUUUGAUUUUCUUGUGAAACACACGCACGUACAUGUGUUCCAUCAAUCGCUCCAAUGCAAUUCUACAUACACAAAAAUAUUUUUUCCGAAUCAAUUUAAUUGCACGUAAAUAUUUGAUUGUAACCUUUUGAAAUAUUUAACAACUUGUACUAAGUAUUGCUUACCUUGAAAUAGGGCAUGUAUCUGGGAUUCAUUUCAAUUUCCAAUGGUGUUGUCGUGAAUUCUGGAUCUAUUGGUCUGAUUAAAUCAGCUGCUAGCAAGCACACAAAACGAAGAACCUCGUUGAAAUUUCUAGAAACGGUUUCACCUGAAUGCUGAAAAUGCUCCUGCACUUCCCUAUUCGACGCACCGAGAGCUAAAGUGUAGAGAAACAUGCCUACUUUCUCAAUAACAUUCAUCCGUCUAGACGGUUUCAACCCGUACAUCGUUUCCAACUCAAAAGACAAACUCUUCAAUGUCUCAGCAUCCAUACAAAACAUGUUCACACAACGAAUCCAAUGCCCAUUUAAAAUUUCAAUCAACCAGCGCAUGCCAGUGUUGUAUGAAUCCAUACAUGGCUCUUUAUAAAUAUAUGUAUUGUAAUACAUCGCCAAUGCUCCAGCCAUGCAUAUGACUAAUUUAGUGCGAUCACACUCUCUAUGCCAAAAUAAAUCUCCAACGGCAUCGUCAUCCUAUUGAUUUAGGUCGUCGUGCUGAGCCUCACUAUUAUAGUUUACAUAACUAUCACCAAAACUACCUCCAAAACCACUUACAGAACUUGUACCAGCAAACCCAUCAGACACAUAUCGACCAACAUUAUUCAUAACAUUUUCAUAAUGCUCAUCAAAAAGCGCAUUAAACCAAUUCACGUCCAUAUCUACAAACAAAAUUUAAUAUCAAUUUCCAACCUGCAUAGUAUCGGUACAAAAUACAUGUUCAUUGAACGAUUUGUUUUUAAAUUUUCUGUCGUUAAUGCCGGUCUUAACACAUGCAAUAUUUUUCAACACAACAAUAAUUGUAAAUUUCAACCUGCAACGUUACGGUAACAUGAAAGUUUUGUCUAUGUAAUUUGUUUACAAUAUUUAAAACAGUAAUGGCGACAUUAACUUAUCCCACAACAUAUAUAUUAUAGGAAUCCCAGAUAAGGGAACGUAUUUAUAGCGUCAUUAACAUAAGAAAAAAAAUAUAUAAUUUGAAGCGACCCCUACGAAAAAAAAUACAAGGCUAAAAAAGCAGCCUAAAGACAAUAAUUGUUCAAAUCAUCUCAAACAUAACUAAUUAUCCUACAACUACAAAUACAAAGGCAGAAUCCAUACAUGUGAUAUGUUACAAGCUAAUAAACCUGGAAAAAACAGCAAAGGCAUAACUGUUUGCAUCAACCAUUAUACAAUUCUACAACCACAAUAAGACCUCAUGAUCCUCACCCUUUUGUGGACUGUUAACUGUGAAAAAAACAGGUAAAAUACAAUAUGUUAACAGCUCAUUGGAAUACAAAACAAACAUGAUAACUUUGCAAAACAUUAAAAAAACGUGAAAUAUGGAAAGCAUGCAAUAACUACCAAAACCUAUUAAACACAACAACAUUUAAUUGCUGCAACAUAUAACAAACAAUAAAAUACAUAAAUGUAAGUUUUCCAUAUAUCAAAUGAAAACUUACUUCAAGGUCGGAAGUUAGCCCUUCGCUCAAACAUUAAUUUCAGCCACUGAAAUUUUUGGUCCAUAUCACCAAUUGUUUCCCACAUUUCCCUCCUACUUCUAACCAUAAAAAACUCAGUUGCAAAGCAAUACAGCUCACUGCCGAACACCACUUCCUCAAUGGAGUGAAACUCCUUCAUCACCUCUUCUAUGCUACAUCCUUUUUUUUUUAUCCAAAACACUUGAUGUGCACUCACUCUUGGUAGAUACACUAUCCAUUAACUUAUCUAAUCGCAAAAACAAUUGUGAUCCCCUUCCGGCACCCCUUUUCUUUUUCUCAUUUUGUUGGGAACUUUGUUACACACCUUUUAUCUUCCCACUACUACCAGUGGGAUUGGGAUUGCUUGUGCUAUUGGCAAAAUUGACACUAGCCACCAUGUUAUUGACAUCGGCAAUGAAAUUUGAAAGACUCCCCUCCUCAGAAUCGCCACUACCUUCCUCAAGAUGAGGGUCUUCAUUAACUGCAUUAUUUUGCGUUUGACCACCACCAUCUUCAUCCAAAUUCAGACCCUGUGAUGGAGCCCAAGCAUCUUGAUCGGUAGCAACAGUGUUUGUAAACAUGAUAUCAUAUUUACAACACAAUGUUGGAUCAAUGCCAGCAUGCCUAAACUUUCUUGCCCCGUGUAUCUCCUACAACAAGGGAUAAAGAACAACAAAAUGCAUAAAAAAUUAUGUAAAAACAUGAAAGCAAACUGGUUAUAACAGCUCUAAACAUACUGAAAAAAGACAGACCUGGUUUUUAGCUUUCCACAAUUCAUCAGGAGCCAAAAUUGUUCCAAGUUCAGCACUCCAUCCUACUCCUGUUUUCGAAAGCAACCUUUUCCAGAUUCUCCAAUCUUUUUUAAUUUUGUCCCACUUAUUUUUUAAUUGUGCUUUCGUUAAUGUAUGGCGAGUUUGAUCCUUAAAGCAAUUGAUAACAUAUUUCCACCCAGCUUUGUUGAAAUGUGUGUUAGGUCGCAUACCUUGCUCAAUUGCUUUAAUACAUAUGUCACAAAAAGCGUGCAACAUCUCUCUACUCCAACAAACCUUAUCUUGUGAUUGAGAAUCGUCCAUGUUGUCGGUUAAAAUGUGUUGUCUAAUUAACAAAUAACAGGUUACUUUCCUAGAGGCGAUGUAAAGGACAUGGAAUGCACAAUCUAUCCUAAUUAAAUCGCAAGCUGAAAUAGAAACUGCAAAUUGAUAACAUAGACUUAACAUAAUCAGCUUAACACUUUCAUUGAUAGGUUUAUUUCCAUUAAAGUGUGUACAAGCCAAUGUAUUCAUUGCCUAAGCGUAAGAAGGCAUGCUAAAGAGACAAUGUCCAGCCUUCAGUGUAUAUAGCAAUAUUCAAGUACUGAUUUGCAUUGGAGUUUUGAAGGAAUUACUAAAAACAUGUUAAAAUGGAAUCCUCCUUCAGUUUUGAAAAAAGUUUCUAAUGUUAAACACAUCAGCUAGUUAAACUCAACUUUAGGCACUCAGAAAAACGCACAUAUUUGAACUCAACCUCAGGCCAUCAACAGAACCCCACAUGAGCAACAACACAAUACAUUUUAAAAAUAUUUAAAGAACCUGAACAAACACUAGAUGAUAGGGGGAUUACAAAUAUAGAAUAUAUAUGUACAUAUGUUAUACCAUGAAAGACAAAAAAGACAAGAGAGAUAGCUGAAUAAAUCACUCGUAGGUACCACUCUCUUUGACAUUAAAAAAACAGAGUAUAAUUAUAACACAUAAGAAGUUGUCCAAAUAAAAAGGAAAAGGAACACAAACACAGUAAUAGAGCAUCACAAACCGGAAGAAAAGCAGAUCAUGCAGCAACAACGCAGAAAAUGUAAUAUACAAUUGGCAUAACAAAGUAACAGAACAAUUCAACCGAAACAUACAUAAUCAAACACAACAAUAACAUAAAUUUUUAUUCUCAAACAUCACACAACAAAUGAAAAUUAAAGACUACAUUAAUUGUGCAACAGAAACAGAGCAACUGACCUUGAUUUUUCCUUUACAACCAAGACAGAGAUUGGUAAGAUGCUUAGCCUUCAACUUUCCAGGAGGAUGAUUUCGAUGGUGUAUUUGGUUCUGGCAAAGAAAACACACAGCAAACGAAAUUUUUGGUUAGAGAAAACAGUGUGUUUAGCAAAUAAGGCAUGAUCUAAACAAUUUUUCAGGUGAAGUGCGAAGAACAUUACCUGGUAACACGACUAAAAGAUUGAUGUUUUCUCCCAAGUGCAGGAGUGUCGAAGUAAUAUAUAACCCGGCAAGACCGGGGUCGAACCACAGAGAGGUUAAUUGUAUAAAUUAUAAACAACAACAACAACAACAACAAUAAUAAUACUCAGUAUGUGGCGUUGUUAUACUUGAGAAUGAUCUAAAAGAUCGGGUCACAGGUUUCCAGCCUAUAUACUGAAUUUAUGAAAAGAUCAAAGAGAUAUAUUAUAUCAUAUAAACAGAUUUUUGAUGUGAAUGAACAAGGCAAGACCAACAAUGUCAGGAUCCUUGAUCAAACAUAGAGCAUACUUAACGUACAUAGAAUAUAACAAGAAUGUAAAUAAUAAUAAUAAUAAUAAUAAUAAUUAUAAUAAUAAAAAGAAGAAGAGGAAGAAAUUAAUGAGAACUUUGAGAUGGAAGAUUACUGUAAAGAUUAAACAAUGAUAAAAACAAAUGUCAAGGUUAAAGGAUCCACUAAUGGUAUUUCAAACAAGUAUAGUAUAAACUCUUAUUACUCAACUGGAAACCACACACAAAGGAGGUUUCAAUCGGCUGAUUUCUUAUUAAUAGCUCAUUAUAAAUUGUUAACAUGAUCAUAUUAAUGAUCUUAUUUACGUAACACCAAACUUUUAAAUAUUGUUAGGAAUUCAUGAUGCUAACUUAUGUUGACAACAAAUCAAGUUCCUUUCAUAGCACAGGUGUAGGUAAUACCAUACGGUUGGGCUAUGAGAGUGCCAAGCAUUUGUUGUACCAAGUGUUAUACAACACAAAUCUAGAUUAACCAUUUAACAAGCAAGGUAUUAAGAAUUAGUAAGAUAAAAAGAUAAGACAUGUUAAUAUUAAACAUUAAGGUCCAUGUUGAGUUGUAGGAAAUUGACUCAUAUUUCCAGGAAAAAAAAUGGAGGUCAUUUGGACUUCUAGAACUCCAGAUAUGGGCUGAACACUAAACAGUGUCUGGGCUACAGGACAAAUUCGGACUUCUUUGUUAUUGCUAUAAUUUGAACUUGAAAAUGGCCUUCUUAGAUCUUGGCCUCCACAUGAAAGUUGUAGGCCUAUGUCUUACUGAAUCUGUGUAAAAAUUUGAGAUCAUUUGGACAUCUAGAACUCGAGAUAUGACUCAAUUACCGAAUAGUAUUCCAGUUUGGACUGCACCAACAUCUCUUUUCUAAGUUUGGCCCUCUCUUUGUCCUUUCAAUUUCCAUACUUGAUCUCAUAAAUCAAUCCUUUGAUUUAUGUGAUAGGCCUGCAUUUAAGAUGAACAUUUAUUAUAUAUUAAGGCAUUUUAUAGUAUUAGACUUGUUAUUAUAAAACAUGCUUUAGUUAAGGAGUUAUUGAUACUUUAAGUGCAAAAUGAUGAUAUAAAAACUUGAUAAAUAUGCACUUUUAAGUACUAAUCACCCCCCCAACCAGUUUAUCACUAGUCCCUAGUAAUCAAAGCAUUAAAAUAGAAAAACAAUUUGCAAAUUCCAUAAAGCAAGGCAUUCAUCAUUCAACUUCCAUUAAUCUAUCCAAAUAAACAAACUCUCAUUAUAUGCAUAUAUCUACUCAAUACCUCUUAAACAAGAUAUUACUAAUCCUUUCUUUUGUGCUCAAAAUAUCAAUAUAUAGUUAUGGGGCUUUACUUGGAAGAAAAACAAAUUUUUGCUCUAAUUUUUAAGGUUAACUUCCUUGGGUUAGGAUUGUCGCACGUCGAAAAAUCCCGUGCGCGGCAUCGGCUGGCGAUUAUCGUCUCGUUGUUUGUAUUGCUUGAAUUGGUUCAUUAGGAGUCGCCACCUAGUAUUUAAUUAAGGUUACUAGGAAACCUGGUAGACUGGUCAUGGUCAGAGAUUCGCGGGUAAGGAACUGAUUGUGGUUAGAGAAGAUAUUAACACCCCUAACACACCCUACCUGAGGUAAGCUGCUCCGUGGACUUGAUAUGUUAAAGAAGUUUUAACAAUUUUAUCUUUUCGUCGGAUUUUAGAAAUACAACUUCCGUACAAGUUUGUACUUCUACACUGUGAUCCAAUCAAAAUAUUAAAUCCUUUUUUAUUCUUUGCCGUCUUAUCAUAAAAAUUCACAAACAAAUACAUACACCACAUUCAAGCUUCGUGAGCUUGAGGUCAUUUUUAAAAUAAAAUUUUAGCCCACUUCUAAAGCUUCGAUACAUCAGUUAUUAAUUCCCAGAAUAUAUGUAAAAACAUGUUCUUACAUAUUCAUGGAAAAUACAACAUGAUUUUAUCCAUCCUUAGAAUUUGUGCAUUAAAAUAUUAAAAACAUUUUUCUUUUUGUCCUUUUUUAUUUUUUAUAAUUCAAUAACAUAAAAUAAAAUAAAACACACCAACACACACACUCUUUUUUAUUAUUAUUUUCUUUUCUUUUCUUUUCUUCUUUUACAUUCACAUUUACACAAAAUACAAAUUUAAAACAAAUAAACAAAAAUUACAAUAAGGGCUUCAAAACCAUCUGAAACUACAUGAAUGCCCCUUUGCAAGCUGAAACAGUGUUGGGAAACAGUGGCGGCACGUCACUGGCGGCGAGUGGGUUCACGCGCCGCCGUCAAAAAACCAGCAGCAAAGGGGGGUCUGAAAACGUGUUCCUCCCCUCUUCAAUCUCCUGCUGCCCGUCACCUGCAAAACAAACCCAACACACAUCAGCAGUUGAUUUUAGUCCUUGUUUUAGAUCUAAUUUUGAAUUUUUUCUUCUGCCCGUUUCGGGUCUGUUCGAUUUCUGGUGAGGAUGGCCUUCAACCCUGUUGGUGGCGGCUGGGUUUCAUCUUCUUCUCCUCUACCUCCAGUGUCAGAUCGGAUUUUUGUUUCCUUUCUCUUCUCUGUCGUGGACGGGUCUGCUGUAGAGGAGAUGAGAGGAGCUGUUCAGUUUCUUUGGAGAAGAAGGCAGUUGUGGCGCCGGUGGGGGACGGCUCUGGAAGGACUGUUGUUGGCCGGUGGAGAUGAGGCUAUUAUGUGGCACUGCGCUGCUCAUGGUCGAUUGCCCUGACCGCUGCUGCCGGAGAGGGGCGGCGGGUCUGCCACCGGUUGAAGGAGAUGAUGACAGUGUUGCCCCGGCGUUGGAUCUGUUCGGUCGUCGCUACUGUGGAAGGAAACCGAAGGAGAAGCAGCCGUGGCUGAGGAGGAGAUCGUGAAGGCCGACGUGCAGGGGAGAUGAAGGAAGGAAUGGGUUCGGUUUCAAGCAGGGAAGAUGAAGGAAGAAACGGCCUGAGGAGGAACCGGCUGGAUUUUUUUGAAGGAGAAGGCUGCGGCUACAGUCUUGGAAAAAUGGGGAGAAGGGAGUAGAUUCCCAUGGCUGAGAGGGGUUCUCUUGGUUAUAAGGAAGUAGUGAAAACCGGCUGUAGAGGAGGUUGGUUUGGCUGCAAGAGGCAGAUGACGGGGAGAUGGGGAACUCAAUCGAAGGAGGGAGCUAGCUGGCUGGCUUUGGUUAAAGGUCGGGGGCCAGUUUUUUUCGGUUUGUUUUGGGGCUGAAGGGAUGCGAAAACUUUGGCUGGCAAGAGGGGAAAAAUGGCUGGAUGGAGACGAGGGAGUCCGGCUGGUUUUGGGUCAGGAAAAUCAAACCCCGGGGAAGCAGCUCAAGGAGCCAAAAAAUGGAGACCAGCAGGGGGGCGGCUGGCGUGAAAGGCAGAGUUUUUUUAGGGUUAGGUUUCUGCAUUUUUUCUUUUGAAAGUGUCAAAAUUACCCCCCUACAAAAUAAACCCCCCUUAGCUUUAAGUUGAAAGCUGCUAUUUAUAGGCAAAUUAUUUUUUCGGGCUUCCAAAUUGGUCCCUCAAUUUUUGUGUUCAAUUCACUUGGUAAAAAUUAAAUUUGGUCUUAAAAUUUCAAUCUUUUCAAUUCAGUCCAAAUUAAGCUCCCAAACUUAAUUUUUCACCAAUUAAGCCCCCAAAUUAAUUUGACCCAUUUAAAGUAUAAUUAAGUCCUUGCACUUAAUUAAAUCCUUCAAUUGGACCUAAAUUAAUUCUUAAACAUAAUUAAAAUUUAAUUUGGCCCAUGAUUAAAUCAAAUUGGCCCAUUAAAAAUUUAAUUAUGUCAUUGGACUUAAUUUUUAUGCAAAUUCAUCCAAUAAUCAUUUAAUUUGACCUUCGAAUUUGCAUUUAAUUUGACCUUCGAUUUUUGCCUAUUUUUGCAGUCUUUUUUUAUCGGCUUUCUCCACAGUGCCAGCCUUUAUUUUAUUUUUUGAUUUUUUAUUUUAAAAAAAGUGAAUUUUGGGAAUAACCCAAAAUUGGGUUAUGACAAGGAUUAUUAUCUUUAUAUAUAUAUAUAUAUAUAUAUAUAUAUAUAUACAUACAUACAUAUAACUUAAAACACAAUGCAUCUUUAACCCAUGUAAUGAGUUUUCGGCUAAUGACUCCUAGACCAGUUGGUCUUAGGGCAUUAGGUGUUGAGACACCCCUACGAGCUUAGUAACUCGAGUUGUAGAUACUGAUACGUAGAUAGUGCAAUGUUUGAUUUCCUUAAGCUUUUCUCCUCAACCCAUGUAACAAGCGUUGUGUCAAUAGCUCCCAAAUCAGUUGACUUUAGGGUAUUAAGUGUUAAAACACCCCUUCAGGCUUAAUUGCUUAGGUUAGGGAGGCUAUGAAACCAAAUUUAUCUACCUUUUUAUUAUCAUUAUUUUUUUGUUUUUCUUUUUUUUUUGUUUUUUUUUGUUUUUUUGCAAAUUAUGUACUAUCCAUUUCCCUUAGUUGUUACCUUUAACAAAAGAGCAUAAAUAAUGUAAUAAUCCAAUGUGCAACCCACAAUUAUAUGUUAAAGUGUGUGUGUGAAAAUGAAGAUUUAAGAAUACUUGUUAAAUGAGCAUAUGAGCAGAAUCAAGUGCUAACAAUACGAGAGUUUGGUAUUAUUGUACCUGUUGUGAUUGUGGUUUGAAAAAAAAAAUUAUAUAAAGUACGAUUUAUUUUAUAAUGUAAUACCAAUAGUUAAAUCCACAAUAUUUAAAUUAAAAAUAAUCAAUAUUAAUAUAUAUUUUUUAAAAUUAUUUUAUAACCUCAAUUUUAAAAGCUUUCUUAACCAAAUACAUUACUGACAAAAUGAAUGGUGGAAUUGUCAGGAAUCGUAGUCAAGCUGAUAAAAUUACUGACAAGAGAUAUGUGCAGAAAAACGGAUUGCAAGAAGAAGUGAUCAUCAGGCUUUUCUUGAAAGGGGCUAUGGUGAGGAUUUUGAAGUGGAAAGGGCUGCCUUCAAAAGCUUUGAGCAAUCCAAUGAUGUUAUUGGCAAGACAAAAGUUCCGAUGUGGAAAAUAGAGGAGAAGAUUCAGAAGCUAGGAAACUGGUGUGUAAUCUAUACUCUUUUAUAUCCUCUCUUUUUUUCUUCAUAAGCUCAAUUGAACUUAACUAUCCUUUCAUUACAACUAACAAGAUUUUAUUGGCAUGUGUGUGCAAAUUCCGUGUAGCUAAGCUAUUUUGUAUUUUGAUCUAUGCUGUGUAAUUGUACCAGUCUUCAUGUAACAGAGCAAAGCAAUCUGAUUCAUGUCAAAAGAAGCAUUUCCAAUACAAUGUGUCCGUCCCGGUUUAUUUUUCCAGCUUUGUGUACUGAUACCUGAUAGAUUUUUGAAUUCAUUGGACUCUUAUUUGCCACUGUAACAAGUGGUCCAGAGAUUAAUGUGCCCCUUCUCCUCACUCCAUGUUUAGAUUACAGUCACACCAAGCAGUUUUGUUGUGGUGGGACAGCCUUAGCCUUGGGGGGCAAGGGGUUUCACUGGUUUCUUACCUGGUUUGUUCUUUCCAAAAAGCAGGACAGUUCAUAUAAAGGUAAACAAAUUAUGGAGUAACAAGUUGUUAGGACAUCAAUGAAGGGAAUAGCUGUAUGGACUUGUUAUGGAGGUAAUAGCUGUUUUUACUAUCCACGGUUCUUAUCAAUAUUUCACAUCAGCAGAACCUGUAUCUUAGAUUCUUAGCAAUACCUUGUUGUAUGAGUUUAUCAUUGUUCUGAUAAACAGCUAGUCAUGUUUGCUGACUUGCUACUAUGAUUAUCACUCCAUAUUUCAACUUUCAUAGAGCUGUUCAUAGAACUAGACUUCUAAUCUAAGCAUAUGGACUUAAUUUUUCUGAGUAAAAGUACAUCAUGAACUGUUAGUUCAAAUCCUACCACCAACCUCUUUGGUGUCGUCCAGAGAUUCAUCUCACCUGUUGCGUGGUGCAUGAUGGCUGAGAGGUUUGAACGUACCCCAGGUUUUACCCAGUGCUAAAUAAAAGGUUUAAUUCAGAAAAAAGACUUUUGAUUUUUGCAGUAUGAAGUUAGUAACCUAACCUAGGUACAUCAGUUUGGUUGAAUAGGGUGUCAUAUGAACUUGCUGUACAAUAUUAAUUCUCUGGUUGGGCUUUCCGUUUCUCAUAUUCAAUUUUAUGGUUCAUAUUCAAAUGACUGCGCCUUGAUACUUCACAAUCAAGAUAAUUCCAAGGGUUGUUUGAUCUUGAUUCACUCUCAUGUGUUCAUGUGGUAGUUUCUACUAUUUGUUAAUGUUGGAUUCCAAUGUUAGUUUUCAGUAGUAAGAGGGGGUACCAUUUCAUAGCAUCAUGAAGUGAUAAUUUCCCAUCAUUUUUGGCUCUUUAAGAUAGGUGCUCAAUCUAGCAUCUUUUAGGGUGGUUUUGGUGUUAAAUAUCAUUGUCAAAGCAUAGGAGCAUGAGCUAUCCUUUUGACCUGCAUACCAUCAAGAAAAAUGUUUCCUAUGAAAAGCCUUGUUGUAUUAUAAAGUGGACUUAUGGAACUGGUAACAGUUUGCUAGAUAUUCUCAUUUUCUUGAAUAUACAUCUUAGUUUUUUUAAUAACCAGGAAAUGAUAAAAUGGUUUUCUGCCUCGUACUUGAGCAAGUCAUGCUUGCUUGUGGCAAGUACAACUUGGUUCAUGAGUUCUUCAAAAAAGUUCAGAAGUCUUCCAUUCCAAAUGCCUUAGUAUAUAAAGGUGCUUGACUGGUCUAUCAUUUCUUCCAUUUGAUUUUAUAGAACCUCAUUUUGAAAUCAAAUUCUUGUUACAUACAGUUCUCGUCAAUACUUUUUGGAGAGAGGGUAAGACAGAAGAGGCUGUGUUGGCUGUCAAAGACAUGGAAAGACGCUGUCUUUGUACAUCUGGAAGGUGUCAAGAAGCACUAGAUCUGGUAAUCUUUUUAUGCUUAGUCUACUAUCUUUUUAAAACUGAAUAUAAAGAACACUGUAUUGUAGCUAAACGAUCAAAACGCUAUCUUUUUAUGCAUUGAAUGGUGUGUUUCUAAUUAGAGUUUAUGAGCACGGGGAGCUAUAUCACUGCAAAAGGCAAAAAUCUGUGUAUUGAUAACUGUUGCCUGCCCAGUUAAGGUUUUGCAAGUGCGUCUUUGGGCCCUUUCCUAACUGCUGGGAUGUCUCUUUGGGCAUUUAAUAGUUUGCAAGCUUUAAAGCUAUAUAUUUUGUACACUCAUUGAUGCUUUUGUAAAACUCCAUGUAUAUAAACAAGUAGAUUGCAACCGGUUUGGUGUCACUUCGACCACCUACAAUUUGUGUGCUUAUUAUUACCACUAGCUUUUCUUUGAACAAACAGUCCAUCACAACCUCCUUUCAUUUCACAGAUUGAGAAAAUAUGCAAGGUUGCUAAUAAGCCGCUUGUAGUAACUUACACUGGCUUAAUCCAAGCUUGUCUGGACUCUGGAAACAUUCAAAACGCUGUGUACAUCUUCAAUCAAAUGAGGAACUUUUGCCCCCCAAAUCUUGUUACUUGCAACAUAAUGCUGAUAGCGUAUCUAGAACAUGGAUUGUUUGAAGAAGCAAACGAGCUUUUUAAGAAAUAAACCAUUCUUAAAAGAAUGAAGUCUAAUUAUUGUUUUCAUUAAUUUGAAUACUUUAAUUGGUUCUCUCUCCUCAGUAUAUAUAGAUUGAUGGGAUAUGAGAAAUCUUGGGCCACUCAGAGCCAUUUUCCUUUCUACAAUUUUCUUUAAGAUGUGGACAUUUCCAAAUAUCCAAUGUCUUUAAUUUGGAGAGGCGUUGAAUGGCUGUUGAACUCGGCAUAUACUUGAGAUUCUUGCAAUCAUAAAUCCGAAGAUAUUGAAGAGAAGAAAGGUUGGCCAUCCAUUCUGGCAAUGCUUCCUCAAACUCCUCUCCAUCAAAAUCCAUUAUCGCCAAUGUCUCGAGGGCAGUGAGGUGUUGAAGUUGGUGUGGUACACUCUUCAGUUUAUCCCAUCCAUGUAUCCUUAGGGAUUUGAGGGACCCACUCAAGUUGAGGUGUUGGAUUGAGUUUAAAACUCCUACAGGAAAAGCCUCCAUCUCCUCUGAGAAACCACCGAUUAUUAAUUGCUGUAGUUGGGUGAGGCCGCCCAACCAAUCAUCCUCUGGGAUAUCUCUCAAACUGGGACACGCGGUGAUGUUUAAUUCAACAAGAGAUCGCAAUUGCUGUAAACCAUGCCAAUCAAUACUGAUGAGCUUAUCACAAUAAAUUAUCUCUAAUACCUCUAGAGAUGCGCAACAUUGUAGUCCGCUUGGAAGAGCUCCCAAUUUACACCCAGAAACAAUCAAUUCCUUCAAAGAAUUCAAAUCUCGGAAAUCACCAGGAAUUGAGAUCAACUCACCGCACCAACAUAUAAGCAAUUCCACCAGAGCUGUGCAGUGUUGUACGCUUGGAAUGGAUGCCAGCUUUGGACAGCUCCCUAUUCUUAAAACUCGAAGAGACGUGAAGCCAUGAAAUUCACCAGACAAAUAUCUCAGCUCAUCACAAAUGUUAAUUUCAAAUUCUACAAGAGAUGAAAGACGACAUAUCGGAAUGCUUUCCAGCUUUCCACAACACCUAAUGCUCAACUUUUCAAGACAAGGAAAUACUGCAACAACUUCUCCACCUGGUACCAUCCAUUCUUCAAGACCAUCCAUUAAGGAUAGAGUGAGUAUUUGUAGUGCUGGAAACAGUACACCUGCGCUGUCUCUGCUGCUAUAGAACUCAUUGCCUAUACAUUUCACAUUAGGCAUUCCACCCAUCUCUAGAAUCUUAAGGCGUGGAAGACAUCCAAGUGUUGGGAGUUGCCUCAACUUCCCACAGUGAUCAAUGUUCAACUCUUCAAGACAAGGAAAUACUGCAACAACUUCUCCACCUGGUACCAUCCAUUCUUCAAGACCAUCCAUUAAGGAUAGAGUGAGUAUUUGUAGUGCUGGAAACAGUACACCUGCGCUGUCUCUGCUGCUAUAGAACUCAUUGCCUAUACAUUUCACAUUAGGCAUUCCAAUCAUCUCUAGAAUCUUAAGGCGAGGAAGACAUCCAAGUGUUGGGAGUUGCCUCAACUUGCUGCAGCCUUUCAAUCUCAGCACCGUCAGAUUAUUGAGUUGCAAUAUCCAUGAUGAGAAAUUUUCACCUCCAUAACCCUCAAUUGUCAAGCUUCUUAUGUCUGGGUGAGGCUGCAGGCCUUCCAGCACAUCCUCGCUAUUGACACUGCUGUUACCUUCAUCAUCACUCCAUUCAAACACCAAUUUGUUCAUUCUUUUUCCACUCAGUUCUGCCUUCUCAGCUUCUUCUCUGUCUCUCACUUGCUCAAGCUUGCAUAUCUUCAAUGCUCCUCUUAGUUCUUUCAAACAUCCCAGCUCUUCAACCAUAUGAUCUGGACCCACAGCAAAUAUCGGCAGAGUUUGAAGGCGUGUUAAGAGUCUCACCUCAGCUGGCACUAGCUUUGGAUCAUCAAAAUGAAGAUGUCUCAAGCUCACUAAAUUCCUCAUUUUCUUGGGAAGCUUUUCUAGUGACUUGCAAUCAGUGAAUCUUAAUGUUUCCAAAUGGUAGAGCUUGGUGAUGGAUUCUGGCAAUGCUCUGAUACUGGUACGUGAGACAUCAAGAUAUCUCAAAUGUCUCAGCUUGCAAAUUGAAUCUGGUAACUCUGUGAUAUCAGACCGUCGCAAUUUGAGAGUUCUCAAGCUUUUGAAUUUCCAAGACCCAUUGAAUACAUCAACAUCAACCAUUGAGAAAACAGUUCGCAAUUUUCUAGCAUCAACCGCUGGAAAUGCUGCCUCAACAUCCCCACGAGAUAUGAGAUUCAGAUGACGAAUAUGAGAUGCUGCCUCAACAUCAACGGCCGAAUCCGCCUCCAGAUUUAACACUUCUGAUUUUGAGACCUGUAAUGCAAGAUCAUGCACUAGAUCAUGCAUCUUGCAACUUGUUACGAUCUCACACUCAUUCCUUUCAACAUCUUGGAAAAAGGAAUUUGCAAGCAAGUCAUUGAAAUACUUGUUGCCUUCGUCUUCCAUCCUCCCAUUUGAUGGCCUGAGAAAACCUUCAGCCAUCCAAAGUUGAACCAGCUCUUCCCUUUCAAUUUCAAAAUCUUUAGGGAAAAUGGAACAGUAUGCAAAACAUUUUUUCAGUGUUGGCGAUGACAGGUAAUCAAAACUUAAUCUCAAUAUGCGCAAAGCUUUUUCAUGUACAUCCCGAGAAUCCCAAUUUCUACUCUUUAGAAUUGACUGCCACACAUCUGCCUGCUUUCCGUGAAGAGUUCCUCCCAAAACAUUAGCAAGCAACGGAAGCCCUCCACAUUUCUUUGCAAUCUCUGUUCCAAUAGACUCCAAGUCUGAAGCUAUUGUUUCUCGUCCACCCCCACUCACCUUUUGCUUAAUAAUGGACCAACAUUCAUCAUCUGUAGUUUUCCUGGCUCGUGCUGAAUACCAGGAGAAGUCUCCAUCAUGUCUGCGACUUGCUUUUUGCGGGUUGUAACAACAACACCAUUCCCAUUCAUGCUGUUAAUUUUUAACAGUUGCUCCUUCAAAUCAUUCCACUUAUCAAGGUCUUCAUUCCACACAUCAUCAAGAACAAGAAAAAAUGUCCUCUUUUCCAGCUUUUUCUUAAGGUUUUCCAUAAUUGCAUUUAGGUUGCUCAACCUACUUGUAGUUUCAUCAACAUUUUGCAACAUCUCUCCUAAAAUCCUCCCUUUACUAAAAUCAUUAGAAACACAAACCCAGAUUGUUAUAUCAAAGUGUUUUCUCUCCCGCACUACUUCACAAACUUUUUUUGCUACAGUAGUCUUUCCAAGGCCAGCCAUCCCCACUAUAGGGACAACCGGAAGGACAUGUUGGUGUUUGGUCAAGCUAGUCAGCAAUUCCAUAACUUUAGAGACAUCAUCCUCCCUUCCUACAACUUCUGAGCUGUCAAGGAACGAAUGUGUCUCUCGAUCUGGGUCCCAGCUAACUUCUUGAGCUCUAUCUACAGGUAGAGAUGUCAAUCCAAGCCCAAAUCCGGCUGCAUCUUUCCGGAUUUCAUCCAGGGCUCUAUUGAUCUUCUCAACUUUUUGACCCAUAAUCAAACGGAAUGCAACAGGAUUGUGGAGUGAAAAGCAAUAACGUACCUUUCCCUUCUUUUGGUCUUUUCGGAGAAUCUCAUAAGCAAACUCGUCCAGAACAUCUUCAGCAUCGUAAGCUACAUCCUGUAGGUUCUGCAGCCAACGCUUCACAGACUCGUCUGUUACUGCCCUUCUGGCUGCGUCUUGGAGCACAUCUUUGAUCAUGGUCAAGGACUGGUUGAGCUUUCGCAGCUGGCCCUCCAAUCCCCAAGCAAGUCCGAUCCCUUUAGCAGCAAUGGAACUCACCCUUUUCAAAGUCUCCUCCAAGGCAAACGUAAGAAGAAGCUCUGCUGCCAUAUUCUCCGUCUCUGUUUGUUUGUUUUUUUUUUUUUUUUUUUGUGGGGGGGGGGGGAUCAAAGAAGAAAUUUUGAGCACAAGAAAGAGAGAAGCAUGGUGUGAAAUAUUAAAAGAUUAAACGGAGCAUAGUUGCAUGAGGCUGUCGGUAGCAUCUUCCACGAACCACUACUGUCAUGGUAUUUGGUAUCACUUUUAAACUAUACCAAAUACCAUGCCGACAGGACGAAACGAUUCCAAGCUAUUGAUCAUGAACCUGAGAAACUGAUGGUGUAUUUAUUUUUGAGAUAGUUUCUGUGUUUUCUAAUUUUUAAAAAUUAAGUUUCAAAAAGGUAUGAUUGAACGAGGUUAUUUGGAUUUAGAUAUUUAUUUAGUAAAAAAUAUAGUUAAGGUUUAUAAAUAAUAAAAAAUAUGUAUAAAAUGUUUGGUUGUUAUUACUUUUUAAAAGCGUCUUUUACUUGAAAUACAUUAAAAUAUAUAUUUUUGUUUUUUAAAAAUUAUUUUCGAUAUCGAUCUGAAAAUAUAUAAAAAAAAAUUUGAAGUAAAAAAAAAAAAAAUUUCUUAAUUUCUUUUUGAAAAACAAUGCUUUUGAAAUGUAAAAACAAAAGAAAUUUUAUAAACUUAGUUUAAAAAACAUAUAUAAACUGUUUUACAAAAAUCACAUUUUAAAUUUAAUUUUUUAUUAGGUCUUAUAGAAUAAAACAUAAUUUAGUGUAUUAUCAAAAAUCUAACUUUAUUUUUUACACCGUAAACACGUAAACUAAAAAUAAACAAACGCACCCUUAUAACUGAAUACUUUCAUUAUCAACAAGAGAAUAUGACUUCAUGCAGUGGUAGAACACCUCCUUCAUAGGAUCUCCCCAUUCCUAUAGUAAACAAAAAGUGAUAAGUGGUAGAACACCUCCUUCAUGCAGUGUCAUUUGCGCAUGAUUCUAUUCAUUGGGAUUUAUUACAUUGAUGCCCAUUCUUUUAAUAUCAAUUAACAAAAGCUAGAGCUUGAGUAAAAUUAUAUAAAAAAAAUUUUAUAAUUUUUUGAUUGUUUUAAUGUAUUAAUAUCAAAAAUAAUUUUUAAAAAAUAAAAAAAAUAUUAUUUUAAUACAUUUCCGAGUAAAAAUCAUUUUAAAAAAUAACCACUAUAAUAUUUUUAAACACGAUUUAGAGUAAAAGAGAACAAAUAUCAAAUUUAAAUGUAAUACAAAGAAAUUUUAUAUUUUUAUCUCUGUUUUUUCAACCAAAUACGUUUCUAUCCCUUUGUGUUGCACUUGUAAGAGUAGUACCUAUGAGUCUUCCUAUCACGAGCUAAAUGCAAUAUUUGUUUCUAUAUUUUAAAAGUAUUUUUGAAAAAAUUUUAAUUUUUUCAUAAAUUUUAAAUUAAUAUAUUUUUAGUAUUUUCAAAUCAUUUUGAUGUGCUGAUAUCAAAAAUAAUUUAAAAAAAAAUAAAAAAAAUCAAUGACAUGUAUUUUGACUUGAAAAAUUAUUUAAAAAAUAACCAUAAUCACACUGACAAACAAGCUAAUCUUGGGCCAAGAUUAUUGUGCUAUAAUUUCGAGUUUGAAUCUUUCCUUUAUGAAUCCAAUGCCAAAAAAGAAAAAGAAGAAGAAAAGUUUAGCACAUGAGAACGAGGAAGGUGGCAAAGUAAUUGGAGCUUUGUCCCUUUACAUGGUGACCUUACCUUUCUGGAUGCUGUGUCAAUGUGACACUCUUUCAAGAACAACAGUAUUAAAUUCACAUCCUACCGACUAUUAUGGCUGUCAUAUAAUCAAGGUUAUUAAUUUCAUUUAGUUUCAUCUGAAAUGGCCAAAACAUUUCAUAUCAAUUCAAAAAAUAGAACAAAACAAAACAGUUUUCAUCUCAUUUCAAAUCUUAGUCCAUUUUGAAUUUUUCAGCUAAAUUCCGUUUGGAAUGUUCCGGUUUCAUUCCAUAUAUUCCAUUUCGGUCUUAAAAAGCCAUUGAAUCAAAUUGAACCUGAUUCAAUUUAAUUAAUUCAAUCCCUUAAUUAUAAAAAGCUUUUUUUCAUUACUAUUUUCAAUAAUAAUGAUAUUAAAAAUUAUUAUUACUAUUUUAAUUAACAAUGAUAUUAAUUUUUUAAAUUAGAUUUAUCACUAAUAUAUAUUGUUUAUAUUCAUGUUGUUUUUUUAAGAUUAUACUUUGAGAAUUUGAGUAAAAUAAUAAAUGCUUUAGAUAUCAUUAGCCUUAAUAAUAUUAACCUGACUUUAUAUUUAAAAUGUUUGUGUUAAAACAUUUUAAUUUCAUAAUAUUUUAAUAUUUUGUUUAAGUUGAAUUAUUUUAAGUUAAAAAUCCAUUUAAUCUUAAGUAUUUAGAAAUAUUUUAAAUUUUGAAAUUAUAUUUGUUUGAUAUUGUUUUUGUAUUGCAUAAUUUAUAAUUAAUUUAUCUUGAAUUUGAAUUAUGUUUAUAUAUAUAUAUAUAUAUAUAUAUAAACAGUAAAAUCUCGAAACGACACACCAAAAUACUUCAAAAUUAAAAUAUUCAAUUCUAAUUAAAAAAACAAAACACUUACUAAUACAGAAUUUACAACCUUGCAUAGAAUAGCAAUGGCCAUCAGGCCAUAAAAGCCUGAUUUGGAGCCAAUUCCUCUCUCUUGCCACUCCUUUAAAAACCUUAAAACCACGGCAUGAUAAAAGGAGAAAGAAAGGAAUAGGACAACGGAAGAAAGUGAAUUGGACAAAGGAAGAAAGUAAGGUCACGUACCGUAGAAAAAAGGAGAUGAAAAUUAGUAUGAAAAAGAGGAUGAUAGAGUGGUUGUACAAAUCAUAAUGGUUUUUAUAAUUAUAUUUAAUUUAUACAAAUAUUAAAUUAAUAUAUUUUUAGUAUUUUAUAUGAUUUAAAAAUGUUUUUUUUUGUUGAUUUAAAAAAUAUAUGCGUAUAAAAAAUUAUUUUAAUAUAUUUUUAAAUAAAAAAUAUUUUUAAAAGUAUAUAUCACAAUACCAAAUUAUAGUAUAAAUUAAAAGAAAAUGGGGUUUUAUGUUCAUUACCACUCACUUAGACUCAUUUAAUUAUGGACAAUAAUAGUGUCUCAUUUGAAAACUUUCAAUUUUAUACUUGAAAUUUUUUUCAUAAUUAAUCAUUUUUAAUUAAAAUUAGAGUCCAAUAGCAUAUUGUUUUUACGGAGGAGAGUUGAAUUAAAAGACAAGGAACUGAAGUAAAAAACUCAGCUAAAAUAGUUGGUAGCUAUACCAUUUAUUUACAAAAUUUAUUUUAGUUUAUCAUCCUUUUUAAGUUAUUAAAUAAUAAGUCCUAAUAAUUUUUAUAUAUUGUUUUGGAAAAUAAUUUUAAAAAUGAUGUUAUCAUUAAUACCCCUUUUCUAUGAUUUGUUUUUUGGUCUUAUGUAGUCUUUCUUCAAUUAUUUUUAAUUUUAUUGCUUUUGUUUAAUUUUUUAAGAGGUUAGUAAUAUUUAUCUAUAAAUAUUUUUUAUAUAUUUGAGAUAGAUUAAGUAUUUAAUUUUUAUAAUAAUUUGAAUAUGUGUAGCCUUGCAUAGUUUUUUCUUUUUCCUUUUAUGAUAUGAAAAAAAAAAAUAUGUGUGUGUUGAUUUCUAUUAUAGAUUGAUUUUAGUAAACAAAUUCAUUAAAUAUAACCAGAUCCAUGUUGCAAUAUUAAAUACUUUAUUUAUAUUUGUUUCUUAUUUUUUCCACUUGCAUUUUUAAUUAUUGGUAAUGACUUUAUUUUUUUCAUUUAUUUACACAAUUGUUUGUGAUUUAUUUAAUUUAAUGCAUGUAUAAGUUUUUCGAUUUAUAUUUAGAAUUUUUUUAAUGUAAAAAAACACAUUGAGAAAUUCUUAUUCUUAUGAUUUUAGUUUGAUCCUUAUUCUUAUGAUUUUUUAUUUUCUUUCUAACCCUUUUAUAAAACAAAAAAUUGUUUAUAAUUUCAUCCUUCAUUUCAACAUAAUGAUGUAUUUUUUUCAUUAUAUAUAUUCUUGUUUGUUAUUAUUGCUUGUUUUCCUUAUAUAAUUCAUAUAAAACCAGCUUAUUUAAUCGGUCAAGACUAAAUAAUAAUAAUAAUAAAAAGAUACACUCUAUCUUCCCAUUUCCUCUCCCUGGUGAAUUUUGGCGACCACCCACACAAUGAUAGCCUAAACAACCACCAGCCAUGCCACUUUUCAAGAUCCCAUCUCUCAAUCUCAAAAGAAGAAGAAGAAGAAAAAGAAAAAGAAAAAGAAAGGAAAGAAACAAAGAAGUUCGAGGAAAGAAAAAGUAAGAACGUUCAUUCCUUUAUAAACAUUGACUUUGAUUUUUCCUUUAUAAAACCAUAAACCUGCAAUUGUCCUACAAAUCACGAAAAGCUAGAUCAACAUGAAGACUUAUCAGAUCCUAAUGAAAAGCUGUCAAAAUCCUAUCAGAAAUUAAGGAUUAAUUGUAGCAGAUCUUAUACUGUCUUAUAAAAGUAGAUUCCAUUGUCAAUUCCUCAGCAUUUUCCAAACAAAUCCAUGCUCCUCAUUUUAUACUGUCUUGAGGGUUUCUAUUCUCUUAUUACCAAUUUCAGUGAGUUUCAUAAUAAGCUGCUUAGAAAGAAGCAAUCUAACAGGAGGGUGGGGCUACUCUUAGCCAAUGAAAAGGUUCUCUCUUUAAUGAAAGCACUAGCCAACAAGGUACAAGGUAUCUGCUUGGAAUUAUUUCCACCUAUCUGAAAAGAAUAUACAACCUAUUUAAUACACUUAACUAAAAAUCUAUUUUAUAAUCUUAUAUAUUUUUUAGCUGAACUAGUUAUUUUUCUCAAAAACCCACCAAGUUAAUGGUUUUUUAGAAAUUUAAUUCAUAAUAAAACAAAUAAUGAGACUUGAUAAUAAUUCACUAAAUAAACAUCAAUUAUUCAUCAAAACAAUCUGAAAAAUCUAAUAUUAGAGUUAGGGACCAAUAUGGAAUUUUAUCAUAUUUUUAGGGGUCAAAUUAUAAUUUUAUCAAAUUGGAAGACCAAACUAAAAAUAUCAUAAAUUCAUGACUAUAUUGGAAUUCUGCCCAUAAUUCAUCCUAAAUUCUGCCCAGAAUCUCAAAUUAUGCUCCAAGGACCACUAUAGAAUUUUAUCAAAAUUCUAGGGUCAAAUUGUAAUUUCAUCAAAUUGGAGGACCAAAGUGAAAAUAUCAUAAAUUCAUAACUAUACUGGAAUUCCACCCAUAAUUUAACUUUAAUUUUGUCCAGAAUCUCGGAUUAUGCUCCAGGGACCAAUCUCUAUUUUUUCUAAAGUUCAGGGACUAAACUGUAGUUUUCACAAAUUGAGGGACCAAGCUGAAAUUUCAUAAUCUUUAACCUCAAACCCAGAAUUUACACAGAUAACCUACUGAUAUAUCAAGAUUUCUAACUUAAAUUCACCAUUUGAAUAAAUUAUAACUCAAAAUCAUCAUUUUUACCCAAAAUCUUUUAAAAUCAACUAAAUAACUCAUUACCCAUAACAAUAGACUUUCUGUAAUGUAAUUGUAAUUCCUAGCAUAAUGCAUAUUCGAGGGCAAGCACAACAACUCAAGAGCAAAGAAACUCGAUGAAAUAGGAAACGAAAAGGAAUUGAAGGACUGAAAUAAAAUAAAACCAAAAAAGAGGGAUGAAAAAAGUAACCGCACUCUGGUUGCCAUCAAAAACAUAUUUCUUUUAGUAUUUUUUUUUUUAAAAUAUUGUAAUAGGUCAAUCAUAUUACCCGAGUGUGUGACAGAGAUGAUCAUCAUAGAAAAUUACUUUUAAUUGCUUGAGUUUUAUCCUUAGAUGACAAACUUACCUUGUCCUACUAAUGCUUUUGCUUUCAUUGUUUCGAAAGUACAAGAGACAUAAACAUAAUCAUUUCCUUCCUUUUACUUUCCACUUCUUUGUAAUUAAUGGAUUGCAAACGGGAUGGUGCUUAGUGGGGCCAGUUUUUCUUUUCCUUUCUUUUUAAAAUCUUAUGCCUAAUUGGGUGAGGAAAUUAGUGGAGCAUUAGACUUUUUAAAAGACAACAAAAAGAAGUAAUGUCUCAUCUUUUGAUAUGGUGGUCUUCCAUGAUCAGUUUGUUGAUGAAGAUAUCGAAAGAUUCGAGUCUCCGUUCUAGCUCAGGUUGGAAGCUAGCCCGAAAGCUAAGCUUCUUUUAAUUAUGAAUUGUUUAUGCAAAGGAAACCCAGAAGCUUGAACAAACAGAAAUGCCUUGUUGAUUUCUCUGCUACUACUCAUUAUUUCCAAUAUUAUUCCAUUAUCUUACCCGAAAGCAAUUAUACAAGAAAUUUCAUUAUCCUGCCCCAAAAGGCAAUUUAUUACAAGGACUUCCUUUAACCUCCUUUAAGGCAAUUUAUUUGAUGAAAAUUCCUUUAAUCCACCUCAAAGACAAUUUAUCUUGGGGAAUUCCAGCGACCCAGGCAAUUUAUUUCUUGGAAAUUCCUUUAACCCACCCUAAUUAAGUCAUUUUAUCUAAGGGAAUUCCAAAAUCAAUUUAUUUCUUGGACGCAGUAUUCUUUGAUACUAGUUAUUUAUAUAUAAUUUAACAUCACUUAAUCAUCUUGCAUUUAAGAAGAAAUUCAAAGGAAAGGAUACCCCUUAUCUAGAGCUCCUGUGGUUCUUGCUCCCGAGAGAAUUGGCUCCAUUCCUGACAAAUCUAUUACCAAAAACCCAAGUUUCAACCAAUCAAUAACAUCAACACCCAUUUUAAUUCAAUGCAAUAAGUUUUUCUUAACCAAUUUACUUGAUGCAAGUUCUUAUAAUCAAAGUGACAGUAUUCAGGAUGAAGACAAGCAGAAGGGCAUGUAUUAAUUUUAUUUUUUAAUGUUGAGCUUUUUUAUUGAAUUUUAUUUGUUAAUAUUGAAUUAAUUAUAAAUUAAUUUUAUAUUUUUUAAUCAUAUAUAAAAAAAAAACAAAGUAAUCUCAUCUUUUGAUACGGUGGUCCAAGAUGCACCAUGAUAUGGUUGUAGUUUUUUUUUUUUUUUUUGCCUUUUUCUUUUAAAAAUGUUAUGUCCAUGGUAAGGAAUCCUUGGUUCCCAACAGCAGCUGAGAUUUUAAGUGAAAUUGAAAUUUAUUUGUUUUUUUUUUUUAAAUAAUACAAGAUAUAAUGUCUAUUUCAGACAAAAUAGGAUGGAACCUUGCUUAGAAGACCUAAUUUUAGUGAAACUCCAUCGUGUCAAAGAAAAUGUUCUAAAAAAAUGUUUUGAGCAUUGACAAAAUUUAGGCUAUCAGUGUUGCUGCUAUUGUUGGUGUAUACUCACCGUGAAUUCACAUAGUGCAAUUUAUUUGUUUUUUUUUAAGAGAAAAUUCUAUGUUAUUUAAUAUAAUAUAAAUUAUUAAAAAAGCAUAUGCAAUAGAAGCAUAGCAUCAAACUUAUUAAAAAAUAAUAUAAAUUAUAUAAUCGAAAUCUUUUACCUAAUAGUUUAACCAUAGCUAUUACCAGUUAAGUAAAAGUUAUCAAUAGUUGUUUAAAUCAUUGAAACUGCCACAAAAGCAACCCAAAUUAGUUAUGAAAUUGAUUCGAUAAAGGAAAGAGGGGAAGAGGGGAAAUGGGCAACGAGAAAAGAGAGAUGAAGAUCUACCCAUGGAUACCUGUUUUGAGAAUUAUGGAUUUUUAUCCCUAACUCAAAACAACACCAAUUAUAAGUUAAUCUGCAACAGAACGGAUGGAGAAAACUCAAAACAACUUGGCUAGAAUAUGGGAAAGAAAUUCAAAAUGAGAUGAAAUUUAUUGUAAUUUGUUCUUAAAAAAACAAAGAGAUAUAUUGUUUAUUUUAAGCGGAACAAAAUGGAAUGGACAAUCUUGCAUAAAAAACCUAAUUUUAGUGAAACUUGAAUUUAUUAUGUCAAAGAAAAUGUUCUAAAAAAAUAUUUUGAGCAUUAACAAAAUUUAGUUGUUCGUAAUCCACUAUUGUUGUUGUUAUUGGUGGUUCAUAAUUAAUUACUAUUAGAAAAUAAUAUAAAUUAUAUCUUACGGUCUCACUUAACAACUUAAGCUUAGUCACGAGUUCAAAUCUCAUCAUUUUUAUUUAUUUGAUAAAAAUUAAGCACAAGAUAAUAUGAACUUAUGCAAAUUUCAAGCUUAAAGGGCUUUCACUUGAGGAGGUGUGUUAAAUAAUAAUAUAAAUCAUAUUUUAGAACCUCACCUAACAACUUAAGUUUUUGGGUUGAGAUGAUUUUUUGACAAUUACACUAUAAAUUCACAUAGUGCAAUUUAAAAAAAAACAAAAACAAAAUCCACCUUAUUUUUUUUAUUUCAACCUUUUCUAUUAACAUGUUUCAUAAUUGGUCAUGGUAUUUUGUUUUGAUUUUCUCUAUGUUGUCUUCUUCUACCGUUAAAAAACAUCAAGUUUUUAGGUUUGAGCUUUGUCGUGCAAAAUUUUGAUGUAGUUGGAAGCUAAAAACAUAAUAAUUAAAAAACACAAUUUUUAAUGAAUGAAAAUGAACUGCAAAUAUGAACUUUUAAAUUUACAAGUUUAUUUUUUUUAAAAUAAUAAUAAUAAAGUCUACCGUUUUAAAAAAUUUACAAAACCAGAAAUCCUAUUUCAACUAGAAAAAAAAAAACAAAAACUCAAAAUUACAAAGAAAAUAUGCAUAACAUCCAAAAUAAGCAAGAAAUAAAAAAAUGAAAAAUCACAAAAAACUAUCAAAAUCAGGGACCUCAUCAAAAAUUUUUAUAUCUAAAGAUUUGAAGGUUCAUGUAAGAAUUUGUGCAUGAUCUAACAAUUGGAUAAAAUAUUAUGGUCCUUUUGAGUUGUUAUUUUGGUCCAUAAAUUUAAUGCCCCGACAUAUAAAAAGAAAUAAAUAGCUUCCCAACCGAGUUCACACGUUCUAGUUCUUUUUUCAAGAUUCAAGUCGCAAAUUUAGCAUUUAUCCUGGGUUGAAUGUGUGUGAUCUUAUAUAUGAACAUCUCUAUAUUACUUGUAAUUGUACUUCUACCUUUUAUGAAAUUGAAAGAGAGCAUCAAACUAAAGAGAAAACAUGCUGAUGCAGCAAAUACCCAAUUCGUAGAGCCAUUAAUUUGAGCAGAAGGGAGAAUGAAAGUCCACACAUUAAACUGUAAACAUUAUGCCUUUGUUUUUGAAGAUUCAGACACUUCAAAAGAAACUUAAAUGGGCCAACACACACUUAUUUCUGGGAACUUCACAUAGCAAACACAUACAUAGAUAAGUCGAAAUGUUCUUUUGGUAAAUAAGACUGUUACAAUGUGAAGCCAAUUUGUAUCCCAUUGCCAAUGAAACAUUUGGAAUUACUUUAAAGAAGAAGGAAAAGGAGAGCAGACAAAUAAUUGCAGCCAUAUUACCUGUUUAACAUGUUUUUCAAAUUCCAAUGCCAAACUAAUCAUCAGACCCAUCAUCAUCAUCAUCACUGUCGCACGUCAGAAAAUCCGCGCGGCAUCGGCUGACGAUUUUUUCUCGUUGUUGCGUUUGCUUGAAUUGAUUCGUUGGAGUCGCCACCUAGUAAUUGAUUGCAGGCUACUAGGAAACCCGAUGUACUGAUCUUAUCAGAGAUCGCGAGUAAGGGACUGGUUGUGGUUAGGGAAGGUAUUAGCACCCCUAACGCACCCUACCUGAGGUAAGCUGCUUCGUAAAUUUGACGUGUUAAAGAAGUUUUAAUAAUUGUUUUUUCAUCAGAUAUCAGAAAUACAACUUACGUAUAAGUUAAUAAUUCUUGACCGUGAUCCAAUCAAAAUAAUAAUGAAUAAAACAUUCAUAAAACAAAUACAAACAAGACAUACACUUUCACUAUUUUUGUUUCUUUUCUUUUCUUUUCCUUUCCUUGUUUUGCUUCCACAUUUACAAAAUAUAAAUUACAAAAAAAAAAAACUCAAAACUAAACAAAUAUUACAUUAAACAAAAUAAAAUUACAAAAUAACCCCUCAAAAACACAUAACAGUGUCGGGAAGUCCUUCUGAUAUAGCUGAACAGUGGCGGCGCGUGGGUCCACGCGCCACCGUACAAAAAGACAGGCGGAUGGUAGGUCUUGCUCAUCUUCUUCCCCUCUUCCUUUCCUCGCCGGCGGUGGCCUGCAAAACAACCAAAAAUACCAUAGGCAGUCGAUUUUAACUUUUCUCUUUGUUUUCAAUCUAUUUUUCUCUCUUCUCCUUCGUUUCGGGUCUGCUUUCCUCUCUACAGAUCUGUUCUUGUCUUUUGCUUUCCCGUCCUUCUCUGUUUCAGAUGGCGGCAGAGUCGUGGGUAUCGCCGCUGUGGUCCAGGCGUUGAGAUUUUCGCUCCUCUUGGUAGAUCUGGCGGUGGCCGUGGAAGGAGCGACGGAGGCCGGUCGCUGCAAAUGAGAGCUGGUGGAUGAGGAAGGGGACGACGUUUGUGGGUGCUGCUGCUGUCGGCCGCCGCUGGGUUCUUCGUUGGGAGGAGGCUGGUUUGUGGACGGUGCUGAUGGUGUGGGCGGUGCUGAGGUUGAAGAGAGAGUGAAAAAAGAGGGAAAGAUUCUUUGAUUUUCAGCCAAAAUAGAGGGAGGCCACGAUUUUGUGGGGGAAGAGAAGGAGAAGCUAGAACCGGCUGGUAGAGAGGAUGGGUUUUUUGUUGUUGGUGAAGAUCACUGUGGGGAGCGGCUAAGGUUGAAGAUAGGGAUGGUCUGGAAAUGGGGGAGAAACAGAUUCAAGCCGGGGGAAGGACGCUUGAGCGGCUGCUUUGGGUAAAAAAAAAAAGAAAACCACCGGGGGGAGAGUUUUUACUUUCAAGGGAGGGAGCGGCGACUUGAGCAGAUCAGAGGAAAGGGAGGGGGCGCCACUCCUUUGAAAGAGAUGGGUUUAGGGUUAGGGAUUUUUUUGUAUUUUUUUUUUAUAUUUCAAAAUUGCCCCCCUUAGUGUGUUGAGCAUAGUUAUUAAACCCGGCCCGGGGGUUGACCUGGCCAAGGGGCCGGGUCUCGGGUUUCAUGGGUCAACCCGGGUUGAUUAAAAAAAAUUAAUAUUUUAUAUGAAAUAAUCCAUGUAAAAUAUGGGAUAAAAAAAUUGGUUUAAAUAUUUCAACUUAAAAUGAUAACAUAGUAUCUUUUCAAAGUGGGGUUUAAAGCCCUUUCAUAUAUAUACUCUAUGUUUACAUGAAAAAAUCAUGUUUUUUCAAUGUGGGAUUUGAAACCCAUUGGUAUAUAUACUCUAUGUUCCCAUGAAAAAAGUUAUGUUUUUUCAAUGUGGGAUAAAAAACAUAGAGUAUAUAUAUGAAAGGGCUUUAAACCCCACUUUGAAAAGAUACUAUGUUAUCCCUUUAAGUUGAAGUAUUUAAACCAAAAGGUUUUUUAUCCCACAUUGAAAAAACAUGAUUUUUUCCUUGGGAACAUAGAGUAUAUAUACUAAUGGGUUUCAAAUCCCACAUUGAAAAAACAUAACUUUUUUCAUGGGAACAUAGAGUAUAUAUAUGAAAGGGCUUCAAAUCCCACAUUGAAAAGAUACUAUGUUAUCUCUUUAAGUUGAAGUAUUUAAACCAAAAGGUUUUUUAUCCCACAUUGAAAAAACAUGAUUUUUUCCUUGGGAACAUAGAGUAUAUAUACUAAUGGGUUUCAAAUCCCACAUUGAAAAAACAUGAUUUUUUCAUGUAAACAUAGAGUAUAUAUAUGAAAGGGCUUUAAACCCCACUUUGAAAAGAUACUAUGUUAUCAUUUUAAGUUGAAAUAUUUAAACCAAUUUUUUUAAUCCUAUAUUUAAAAAAAAAAAAAACCCGGGUCUCGUCCGGGUUUGCCCGGGUCGCCCGGGUCCCGGGUCGACCCACCGGGUCGCCCGGGUUUGGCCGGGCUGUUGCCACAGCCGGUCUUUUAUUAAACCCGAAUCGGUCCAGCCACCGGGUCGACCGGGUCCCGGGUUGACCCGCCGGGCCGGGCCGGGUUUAAUAACUAUGGUGUUGAGGGGACCAGUAUUUAAAGGCAAAAAUGUUACUAAGUUUCCAAACUGGUCCCUCAAAUUCUUUCUUUUUGUAAAAUUUGAUUUUUUCUUGAUUUUUUGUAUUUUUUUAAAACGAGCAAUAUCAACGUCGACUCGAUGAGGAAAAUCAAUGAUUUAAAAAAUAACGCGUGAAAAGUUGAACGCGUUCGAACGACCCUUAAAAAAUUAAAUUCUUUUUAGACGACGCUGAAAAUGCUAAAAACGACGCAAAUAUAUUAAAAAAGUUUUUUUUGGAUUUUCGAUGUUUUUUUUCUCUAUUUUUGGAUUUUUCUGAAAAUUUAUCAAAACAUGGGUCAAAAAUUGGGUAGCAAUAAUCACCAUCAUCUUCCUUCUCCUUCUUCCCAACCAUUAUUUCGGGUCCACGUUCUGUAAGUGCUGAUUGGUGCAGAGCAAUGUGUUUUCAUUGAUGCAUGUGUUUUCAUUUGGUAUUCAAUUUCAUAAACAUUACUUUACUCUCAAAUUAAAUUGCUACAAUUAUAUUAUACCCUUAACCAAACUACUAGUUUACUAUUCCUCAUAUUUAUCAGACCAGAUUCGGAGGUUCACCGGUCAAGAAGCCAGGUCCUGGGUUAUAUGGGUUGACCCGGGGCAACCUAGAAAAAAAAUAUUUCAAAUUGUAAUAUUUCAUAUGAAAAAAAUUAAGAAGCAAUCAAUGUGAAUAUAGGCUAUACAUAUUAUAAAUAAUGAAGUUUAAAAAAAUAUUUGGAAAGUAUUUAAAUCAAAAAGAUUUGUUUUUAUCAUACAUUGAAAAGAUACUAUGUUAGUAUGUUAUCUUUUUAAGUUAAAGUAUUUAAACCAAAAAGAUUUUUUUUAUCACACAUUGAAAAAAAUUAACUUUUUUCUUGUGAAUAUAGAGUAUAUAUACUAAAGGGCUUCAAAUCCUACAUGGAAUAAAUACAUUUUUUCUUGUGAAAAUAAAAUAUAUAUACUAAAGGGUUUCGGAUCUCACAUUGAAAAAAUAGAGCAUUCUUUUAGUAUUUGUAUAGUGAACUUUGAAUAGGGUUACUAAUCAACUAAUAUAUAUAUUUUUAAAAAAGAUGAGUCACUGGCUAGAAGAAAAAACACAUUUGAAAAAAAAAAAUCGAGUCUCAACCAAGUUUUGCUGGGUCACCAGGAUCACGGGUCAACCCAGCAGAUCAACCAUGUUUUUGUUUAUCCCAAUCUUUUACCUUAUAUAGACCUAUUCAGCCAUCAAAUCAACCCACCAGACCAGUCUAGAUUUAAUAAUUAUGUUAUUCCUAACUAGCUAUUGUAUCCUUUUGGCAAGAGUCAUUGCUAAUUAUUAUAAUCCAUUAGUAGUCCAUUAAAACUAGUUCUCGACAACUUCACUCACUACUUCUACUUCAUUUAUAGCAUACGUGAGUCAUUAUCCAUUUUCAAUUUCAUUCCAAAUCACUUUCUUUUGAUAAAUCAAUUUAUAAAACAUUUUUACAAAACCUCCUGUUGAAGAAUAAGGAGGAGGAUGUAAAGUUGUUAAAAGAAAAAGGAUGAUUAGUUAUUUUUCUUGUUUUACAGCUAUAGUCAGUCAUGCAUUCUUUUCCUUAUAACCACCUUGUUAAACAUGCUGCUGGUGUGGGAAUAAUUUCCUUUUGCAUGGGAAAGGCUGACUCAUCAGCCUUGAUACUUGUAUAUAUAUAUUCCUUCUGUUUCUGCAUUGUAAUUAGAACGAGACAAUCAGAAUAAUAAGAUUGCAUUGGAGAGUUAACAACCAAAACAUCUUUGUUCUCUAUUUCUCUUCUUUUCCUUUGGUUUUCCGCCUCUGCAACCCUCAACAUGUCUUUCAUGGUAUCAGAGCUUCGGUUAUUUAACUAGCAAUGGAAAAAGACGCUGAAAAUCAACAAUCACCACCAUUUACUGCAAAAUCAACCUCACGUUUCCAUAACCUCUCUGAACCAAACAAUCCAUACCGACUUGAUUAUUGAGAUAUGUCAGUUCUUGGUUUGGUGACUGAUCUCUUAACUACAGAAAACUAUGUUACUUGGGCAAGAGCCAUGUAGAGGGCCCUUAGAGCCAAGAACAAACUUGGUUUUGUUGAUGGCAGUAUCACAAAACCUUCAGAUCCCAAUGAUCCUUUUCUAGAAGCGUGGGAAAGAUGCAAUGAUAUGAUUGUUUCAUGGAUUCACAACUUUGUAAGUUCUUCAGUAAAGUCUUCUUUCAUUCUUUUCGACAAUGCAUAUGAUAUUUGGAAUGAGCUUUGUGAGAGACUUACCUAGCAAAAUGGUCCACGAAUAUUUCAACUAAAAGGGGCUCUACCUAACUUAACUCAGGGAAAUGAUUUAGUCAAUGUUUAUUAUGGAAAGCUGAAAACAAUUUGGGAAGAAUUAACCUUACAUUGUCCCAUGCCAAAGUGUUCUUGUGGACAGAUGAAAAUGCUGAUUGAUCGAUACCAACAAGAUUGUGUAAUCUAGUUUUUCAUGGGUCUAAAUGAAACAUAUUCCAAUGUAAGGGAUCAUAUCAUGUUAAUGAAUCCCAUACCACAAGUCAGUAAAUUGUUUUCUCUUAUUCAACAGUAGGAAAAACAACACCAAAUGUUAUCUCGUACAUCUACUUCUGAAUCAAUGGCUUUUCUUGCCAAAAACAGAUCCACAACCUUCAGGUCAUUUAACAGACCCUACUGUCCAUACUGCAAAAUUCAACGACAUCUCUAGAAGAUUGUUUUAAAGCAAGAAAUGCCACAUCACCUACUUGCAGCUAUUGUCAUAUGAGUGGCCAUCUGGCAGAAAAAUGUUACAAGUUAUUAGACUAUCCUCCUAGUCAUAAAUUGCAUAACAAGGGAAGACGAUCAAAUAUGCAUACUAGACAAUUCAAUAUCAUUGUAGCUGAAGAUUUUCCCAAAAAUCAAGUUGACAAGAUGAAUUUGAUUUCAAAUCAGUAUUAGAAAAUCUUGCAGUUGCUUCAUGAGAAACAAAAUCCAACAGACACUCCUCCAAUGGCUAAUUUUACGAGUCUACCAUCAAUGUCUGGUAUCACAACUUGCCUCUCUACUUACUCUCAUAAAUCUUUUGAUAUUAAUAAUGUUCAUUGGAUCAUAGACACAGGAGCUCCAGAUCAUAUGAUCUGCAACACCAUAUUUGUUUUACAAAAAUAACAGCUAUUGUGCCCUAUAAUGUUAAACUUCCAAAUGGUCAAGAGGUUCCAGUCACACACAUAGGCACUGUCAAACUCUCCACAUUAAUCACUCUUGAGAAUGUUUUGUGUGUUCCUUUUUUCACUUUCAAUCUCCUUUCGAGUCCUACAUUAACCAGAAAUGUCUUAUGUUGUUUUGUUUUCCUUUCCACUGCUUGUUUUCUAUAGGACCUCAUGUCAUAGACAACGAUUGGAUUGGAUGAAAUGAAGAAUGGUCUCUACAAUAAGCAUGUUGAAGUAUCUCCAGAUGCCUUGAUGUGCACACUAUCCAAGUAUUUCGACAAUAAUCGUUUGCAUUUUGUUUGUACCACAAAUAUCAAUCAUCGUUUUGGCUUAUGACAUUAUCGCCUAGGCCAUAUUUCGAAUUCCAGAUUACAAUUGAUUAGAGAUCCUGUUGUAAUCCAAACCACACGUUCUAUUAUUAACACAGCUUCUUGUUCGAUUUGUCCUUUGGCAAGGCAGCAUAGACUUCCUUUUGAUCAAAGCCUACAUAAAUCUUCUUCCAAUUUUGAACUUCAUUGUGAUCUAUGGGGGCCAUGUUUUGUUGCAGCUUAUGAUGGGAAUAGAUACUUCUUAACCAUUGUUGAUGACUUGUCUCGUAGUAAAUGGGUAUAUUUGCUCAGAUAUAACUCAGACACACGUAAAUUUAUAAAAUCAUUUUGCAACCUUAUUCACACUCAAUUUAGAGCUAAGGUUAAGUAUCUAAGAAGUGACAAUGGAGCUGAAUUUCACAUGUAAGAUUUUUUCCAUAAAAAUGGCAUCAUUCACCAAAGAACCUGUGUAGAAACUCCCCAACAUAAUGGGAUAGUUGAGAGAAAACAUCAACAUAUCUUAAAUGUUGCUAGAGCUCUUAGAUUCCAAGUUGAUUUACCUCUUGAGUUCUGGCAUGAUUGUGUCCUCACUGCCACAUACAUUAUCAAUCGCAUUCCUACUCCUCUACUACAAAAUAAAACACCUUAUAAAGCAGUUUUCCAUACUGAUCCCACAUAUCAUCACCUGCGAGUGUUUGGAUGUCUUUGCUUUGCAACCACCAUAGGUGAGGGCAGAAGGAAAUUUGAUUCUCGAGCAAGAAGGUGUGCUUUUAUUGGUUAUCCUUUUGGAGUCAAAGGCUAUAAAUUGGUAGAUUUAGAAACACAUGAAAUCCUUUUGUCUAGAGAUGUGGUAUUUCACGAACAAAUUUUCCUUUUCAAACUACCUAUACCCCAACCUCUCCAUUCUGAUACACUACUUCCUCUGGCUCAACCUCAACCAUUUGAUUCUGGUUAUUUUCCUACUUUAGAACCUUCACAACAUCCCAUUCUUGAUACUUCUUCCCCACCUACCACUGCCAUCAAUUUAUCUUCAGGCACGAAUAUUUUCCCUGACACACAUGAUCCAUAACUUCAGCCUGACUUACAACCAUUGGAUUUUGUUUCUUUUUCACCUCACAUACCAUAAACUCCUACCCCUCACCUUUAUGUUCGCAAAUCUGCUAGGCCAAAACAGGCUCCCAAAUACUUACAUGAUUUUCAUUGUCAACUGGCUUCUUUCAAUUCAUCCAAUCCAAUCCAAAACACAACAGAUGAGGCUCCUUCAGGUAAUGCAAUUCAUUUGAGUAAAUAUCUUUCAUACAAUACAUUCUCUUUACCAUUUGAAGUCUUCUCUACUUCCAUUUCUUCUCACACCGAACCACAAACCUAUGCUCAAGUUGUUAAUGACCCUCAUCGGUGCAUGGCCAUGAAGGAUGAAUUGAAAGCUUUAGAGGCUAACCAGACAUGUAUGUUGACUAAUCUGCCUGCUGGAAAAAGACCUAUUGCCUGCAAAUAUGUGUAUAAGAUAAAAUACAAUUCUGAUGGUAGUAUUGAAAGAUAUAAGGCAAGGUUAGUGGCCAAGGGUUACACUUGAGAAGAAGGUAUUGACUAUCACGAAUCUUUCUCUCUUGUUGCUAAACCUGUUACAUUACAUUGUCUCUUAGCCAUAGCAGCUGUGAAAGGUUGGGGCCUGUAUCAGUUUGACGUCAACAACACUUUUCUUCAUGGCAACUUACAUGAAGAAAUAUACAUGAAACGUCCUCCUGGAUACACUCAAGGUCGUUCUCAUCAAGUUUGCAGACUUCUUAAGAGUCUUUACUAGUUAAAGCAGGCCUCACGACAAUGGUACUCAAAAUUAUCUACCUCUUUACUUAAGUUCGUUUUUUAUCAGUCCAAGGUAGAUUAUAGUUUGUUCAUCAAACAAGACAAUCGAUCGUUCACAGCCCUACUAGUAUAUGUUGAUGAUAUUGUUGUAGCAAGUGACUCUCCUGCUGUUAUCGAAGAUAUUAAAGUAUUUCUCAACAAUCAAUUCAAAAUCAAAGACUUGGGACAAUUGAGGUAUUUUCUAGGACUUGAAAUUGCCAGAACUUCACAAGGAAUAUAGAUUUUUCAAAGGAAAUAUGCUUUAGAUAUUCUAGCUAACUUUGACAUUCUUGGCUAUCGACCUUCUAAGCUUCCUAUGGAUCAAAACUUAAAGCUUAGUAAAGAGGAGGGCACCCUUCUAUUUGAUUCUACCUAUUAGAAGCAGCUCGUUGGAAAACUUUUAUACUUGACCAUCACAAGGCUAGACAUUUCCUAUAGUGUUCAAAUUCUCAGUCAAUUCAUGGAUCAUCCUACUGAUUUUCACUUAGCUGCAGCCUUCAAGAUCCUGAAAUACAUCAAAGGAGCUCUAGACCAGGGUCUCUUCUUUUCUUCAGAACAUAACCUAGACAUCACGACAUAUUGUGAUUCAGACUGGGCAUCUUAUCCUGAUACCAGACAUUAUGUUUUUGGUUUCUACAUCUUCCUUGGUUCAUCCUUAAUCUCUUGGAAAUCCAAGAAGCAAUUAGUGGUCUCUCGAUCGUCAGCAGAAGCUAAGUAUCACGCAAUGGCCAUCACUAGCUCAGAAAUAACUUGGCUGUGUUUUCUUCUAAUAGAUCUUCGAAUCCAUCAUCCUCACCCCGCUGCAUUACAUUGUGACAACCAAGCUACAUUGCAUAUUGCUUCGAAUCCUUUUUUCCAUGAAAGAACCAAGCAUAUUAAGUUAGAUUGUCACCUUAUUCGUGAUGACCAAAUCCAAGCAGGUGUCUUAUGGACUGCCUAUGUCUCUAACAAAUGUCAAUUGGCAGAUGUGUUCACAAAAGCAUUACCUGCCUAUCUAUUAUCUUCUCAUAUGUCCAAGAUGGGCAUUGUCAACUACUAUGCUCCAUCUUGCGGGGGGGAUGUUGAAGAAUAAGGAGGAGGAUGUAAAGUUGUUAAAAGAAAAGGGAUGAUUAGUUAUUUUUCUCGUUUCACAGCUAUAGUCAGUUAUUUUAAUCCAUUUCUAAAUAAAAAAUCUUGAAAAAAAUAAUAUUUACCACUACUCUAAACACCCUCUGACAACAAAGGAAUGCAAAAUGUGUAAACAAAAAAGGUUUUGUGAGCAUAUUGAAAUUUGAUCAUAAGACGCUAUGAACUGAACUUGGAGCUCUUUUUGAGUUACCAUAUUAGAAAAAGUAGAGGUCGAUUUCAACAUCCUUCAUGCAAGCAUGAAAAACCAAAUUCAUUAUGAGAUAUAUAUCCCCAAAAUUAUAACAUCAUAAAAACAAGAAGUAGAGGUCGAAAUCCCUAUUUAUAUACUUGAUAUGUGUAUGUUAUGAUGAGGAAACAAACAUGCAAACAAAUUAUUAUAUGUGUAAUGAAUGAAUAUGGAUUGCCUAUAACAUUUGACUUGAAGGAAUCAUGACCAAAGACUUCCUUUGUGAUUCAGGAGGAGCGACCAGGAUUAAAUCUUCUGUUGGAGGAGGUCACAGGAUAGGUGGAGCAGGUGCAUGAUUUUCCCUCCCCUUUACACUUAUACAAUUUAAAGUCUUCCCGAUGAAUGCAAUUACAAUAAUGUUAUGUUCAAUGUAAAUAAAGUCUAGCCUAUUAACAAGAUUAGCUUUGGCUAAUGGUGUCCAUAAUAGGAUUUUCGGGAUAUGAAUUAUAAGAUUAGUUUCGGCUAAUGACAUCCGUGAUAGGAUUACCGGGAAAUGAAUUACAAGAUUAGUUUCGACUAAUGACGUCUGUGUUGGGACGCCUGGGAAUGAUCAACAAGGCUUGAUUCUUAAAGGGUAUCCGUGUUUGGAUGACUUGGAAAAAUUGAAAAGUAUAAUUGCCUAAAAAUGUUCAGGUUAGACUAUACAAAGUCACCUGAUUCAUGCAAGAAAAUAAGAGUAUUCAAAUUAAAGAUAUGUAAAUGAUGUCUAAUUAGGUUUUAUAUGAUUUAAAAGCAAAUUAUAAGUCUAUUAUUAAAUUUCCUAUGGAUUUGAUAGAAAAUUUAUGCUUCAUUUGUAUACAUUACAUUCAUUUAUAUUUCUUUUGUCAACAUAAUGGUAUGCUUAUUACGUUGGUAUUAUAACAGGUUCAUCUAAUAUCCACGGAGCUCAUUAGUUUAGCGGGUGUUUGCCUCGCACUUUAAUUUGAGUUUUGCAUAUUUUUUUUGAAAAUUCUUUUUACUUUAAAUUGAUUUUUUUUGUAUAUGUUUUUGGAUUAUUUUAAUGUGCUAAAACCAAAAAUAAAAUUUAAAAAAUAAAAAAUAUAUUAUUUUAAUGCAUUUUCAAACAAAAAAUAUUUUAAAAAACAACAUUUACCAUUGUUACAACACCCUCUUGGAACAAAGGAAAGCAAAACAAGUAAACAAAAGAGGUUUGAUAAGCAUAUUGGGAUUUGAUCAUCAGAGGCAAAGUAAAGGUUGAUUUCAACAUGCUUCUUGCAAGCAUGAAAAACCAAAUUCAUUAUGAGAUGUAAACCACAAGAUUAUCACAUCAUAAAAAAGGGAGUAGAGGUCGAAAUCCCUAAACCUAUAUAUAUAAAGAACUAAGCAAUUUUAUCUCUGUAACGACAUUGACAAUAACUUUAUGCUCAUCCUUGGUACAAAUUAUGUUAGCACCUCUACACCUUGAGAUUUUGACAAUUUGUGUUUAGUUUUUUUAGUUUAGAAAUAUAACUUUUUGGUACAAAACCUUAUUUUACUUGUAUUUUAGUUUUUAAAUUUGAGAAAAGAUAAAAAGAGAGAGUUGUCGAAAAACUAUAAAGAAGAAAUAAAGUUAAUGAAUGACAAUUUUUUAGUGAUGAAACUCGUUUUUCUUAAUGUGAAUGGAUUUCAUUUAACGAUAAGAGUUCUAUUUCAGUUUUUUUUCUUUAUCUUAGUGAAAAAAGUAGAUCAUGACUCGAUAAUUAAUUUAGAUUCAGAUUGGUUUUUCAUUUUUAAAUCAAGUAAAUGUUUAUUUAAGAUCAUUAAUGGUUAAAUAACAAGAUCAUUUUAAUGAAACUCUGAUGUUCAAGAUGAAUCUAUUGAUAUUAAAAUCGGUCUUUUUUAUGACUAGAAUAUGAUCAGUCAAAUCCUCUCUUUUCUCCAUUUUCUCACCACAUUACCUGUCUCCUCUCAACAUUCAAUAACUAAAAAUAUGAUAAAAAUGAAGUUUUAAGAUUGAAUUAUAAAAAUUUAACACUAUAGGAUUAAAUAAAUAUGAAAAACAAAAAUUUCAAGGACCAUAUUAAACUUUUAUGCAACCUAUAAAAGGAUUGCAUCAUGGGAGAAUAGUUCAAUGCAUAAUAACUUGGGUCUUGCCCACAUUACAAUUUGUUAUGGUAAGAAUAACAAAUGUUUUAAUUUAAAAUAUAAUAUAAAGCAUAUAUAAUUAAGAUUACAACAAAGAGAUUUCAGGAAGUAGUUAAAGUUAGAUUAUAUCAUAUACGACUUUCGUAAAUUGAUUUAAUAUAUUUUUGACUUUUGAUUUUAAUUUUUUUUAGAAUCUCUAGCAAGAUAUCUGCUCGAAAAAACCAUUCUACAUGAGAUUGUUCUGCUAGGAAAGCAUGAUAUCAAUUCUCAGUCAUCUUGAGAUUUGAAUGCCCAAAUACAUUCACAUACUCAUACAAUAACAUUUAUUGAAGAUCUCGAGCAGCAUUGUUGAUGCCCAAAACCACAUGAUGCAUUAUGCAUUAGAAACAUAACAUCAAACUGAUAGAGAAAACAUGCUGAUGCAGAAAAUACUCAAGUCUUAGAAAAGAGAAUGCAUGAAAGUCCAUACUGAACAAAAUGAUAAUAUUAUUGUAUUAUGUAUUCAGUGUCUUCAUAUUGCAAAGAAGCAUGACAUAUAUAUACCCAAUUUACAUACAAUCAAAUCCACUAUUCUAGGAGAUAUUCUAGAAGCUAUUCUAGGAUUAACUUUGGUAAUUAAAUUAUUUAAUCCCAUUGAUUAUAGUAUAUGAUCUAAUUACUUGGAAUUCUUUCCUUCAAUACUCCCUCUCAAGUUGGAGUGUAUGUUGAUCACUCCUAACUUGCCCAGUAAUAUGGAGAAUUGGUUUGAACUUAGUGUUAGAAAUAUUUAGUUCUGGAAACUAAAGUUUAAGUAUAGGAGAAACAAAUUCAAGAUGGCAGAGUUGAGUAGAAAGAUCAAUAAAUUUCAUUAAUUUCGAAUGCCUAUAUAUAGGCUUACAUAGAACUUGGAAUGGAUUGAAACUCUCAACAAACUUGAGAGAUUAUUGGAAUUGAAAAUAACAAACUGCAGUAGAAUGAUACUGUUGCAAAUCCUAAAGAAUCAAAACAAUAAUAUAAAAUUCAAAUAACAUAACUACACUUAACUCUAUCUUACUCAAGGCAUAAUCUCAUAAUUCUAACUCUCCUCCUUGAGACUUACCUUGGACAAACCAAGUUUCAUCCUUAGAAAUUCCUGUCUUGAUCUAGGAAGAACUUUAGUCAUUAUAUCAGCAAGUUGAACAUCUGUUGGAUAAUAGUGUAGCUUUAUAAACAGAUUCUUCUUAGCUUCUCUUAUAGAAUGAAAUUUCACAUUGAUGUGCUUGGUUCUGCCGUGUUGAACCGGAUUUAGAGCAAUAGCAGAUUUGUUGUCAUAAUAAAGCUCAGUUGGUGAGCUUUGUUCUUGAACCAAAUCACCAAGCAACUUGUUCAACCAAAUUGCUUGAUUUGUAGCGCUGCCAUAGAGAUAUACUCUGCUUCUGUAGUUGAUUGUGCCACCACCUCUUGCUUCUUUGCAUUCCAACAGAUUGCACCUGAACCAAUGUUAAAAACAUACCUAAAGGUGCUUUUCAUGACAUCAACACUCCCUGCCCAGUCACUGUCUGCAUAACCAAUUAGUUUUACUCCUCCUAUCUUCAAGUACCAGAUGCCAAGAUCAGUUGUUCCUCUAAUGUACUUCAACACCCUUUUAGCAAUUCCUAUAUGAAUAUUGCUAGGUGAGCUCAUGAACCUUGACAGCAAACCAGCUGGAAACAUCAAGUCAGGUCUAGUUGUUGUCAAGUAUAGUAAACUGCCCACUAAGCUUCUAAAUCCAGAGGGAUCUUCAAGUUUCUCACCAUCAUUCUUUGAAAUCUUUUCAUUAUGUGCCAAAAGAGUUGCUACUUCUUUGCAUGACUCAAGUUUGAACUUCUUGAGUAUAUCAAUAGCAUAUUUCCUUUAUGAAACAAAAAUACCCAAACUACAUUGAUGUAUUUCCAUUCCAAGAAAGUAGUUCAUAAUGCCUUGUAUACUUUGUGUUCAUUACCAGCAACUACAAAGCCUUCUGGUUGCUGAACAUAAAUUUCUUAAAGAAGUAUUCCAUUUAGAAAAGCAGACUUAACAUCUAAAUGAUAUGCUCUCCAUCCUUUUUGUCCCGCAAGAGCAAGUAGGAGUCUUAUAGUGUCAUGCCUAGCUACUAGUGCAAAAGUAUCUCCAUAAUCCACUCCAACAACUUGAGCAAAGCCUUUAACAACCAAUCUAGCCUUGUGUUUGAAGAUUGAACCAUCUGGAUUGAAUUUGGUUCUAAAGACCCACUUCACUCCAAUUUCCUUUUUAUCUUUAGGAAGUUCAGUCAAUCUCCAAGUCCCAUUUCUUUCAAUGGAAUCAAUUUCUGAUUUCAUUACUUCAAUCCAAGCUGGAACUCCUGCAGCUUCAGUGUAGUUUGUAGGCUCAGCAUGUACAAGAUUACAUCUUUCGUACACAUCAGACAAUGGCCUAACUUUAAGUACUGCUGUAUUUGAAAUUGCUUCAAUGUCUUGUUGAACUUCAACACCAAUACUUCACACCAAAGCUUCAAGUGCAGCUGAUAUUCUGAUCAACUCCUUUUAAGUCCCAAUUCCAGCAGGAAUUCUCAUCAAAAUGAACAUCUCUACUGAUCUGAAUUUUAGCUGCAUUCAGAUUAAAAAUUCUGUAACUUUUGAUUCUAUUGCAUAUCCUACAAGAAUCCUUUUUCUGCUCUUUCAUCUAGUUUCCCUCUUUUGGUAGAUGGUAUAAGAAAAUAGCACAAUGAUCCAAACCCUUUUAGAUGUUUGGUUGUAAGGCGGACUCCAGACCAUGCUUCUAAUGGUGUUUUGUUUUGAACAGACUUAGUUGGAAGUCUAUUAAGCAAAUAUACUGAAGUAUUUACUACUUCAGCCCAUAGAAACCUUUGCAACUUCUUUUCAAACAAGAUACAUCUGGACUUCUCCAUCACUGUUCUGUUCUUCCUUUCAGAAACUCCAUUAUGUUGUGGAGAGUAUGGAAUCUUCAACUGGUGUACAAUCCCAGCUUCUAAACAAGAUGCAUUGAACUCCUUCAAAAUAUACUCUCCUCCAUUAUCAGUUCUCAACACCUUGAUCUUCUGACCACUUUGAGUUUCAGCCAUGCUUUUAAAGUUUUUGAACAUAAAUAAUGCUUGUGACUUGGUUUUCAGAAAAUAAACCCAAGUCAUUCUACUGAAGUCAUCAAUAAACAAUAUAAAGUGCAUAUUAUUGCUCAAGGAGGUUAUGCUCAUUGGUCCACAUAUGUCUGAGUGGACUAACUUCAGCUUGUAAGUUGCUCUUUUAGAUAUACCUUUGGGAAAUGGUUGUCGAUGUUGUUUUCCCAGUUCACAGCUUCCACAUAUAUGAGCAAUAACAUGAAUUUCAUACAUGUUUUCUACCAUUCCAGUAUCAUAUAGCAACUUUAAUGAAUUGAAAUUGUAAUGACCAAAUCUUUUGUGCCAAAGAAUGCUUUCACCAAUCUUAGCACUAAACGCAUGUCCUUUAACAACAUCAAGCUUCAAAUAGAAGCUAUUACCAUCCAUUUUGAUUUUUGCUAUCUCUGAAUUAUGUGUAUCAGUGAUAAAGCAAAAUUUCUCUUUAAAAGAGACUUCAUAACCAUUCUUGAGCAUCUGUGCAACACUAAGGAGAUUUUGAUCUAGUUCUGGAAUGUAAAGAACAUUUGUGAUGGUUUUAAUACCUUUAUUUGUGAUGACCGCAACAAUGCCUUUCCCCUUAGCCUGCACAAUAUCUCUAUUUCCCAACUUGAUCUUCGGUUGAACUGAUCUGUCAAUAGAAGAAAAGAUUGAUAGAAACUUAGACAUGUGACUUGUGCAGCCACUGUCUAUAAGCCAUGUAUUUAGUUCAAAAGUAUUGUUAGCUUGUGAUGCCAUAAACAAAUGCUCUUCAUCAUCUUUGCCUUUUUUAGAAACAUUUGCUUGUUGUUGUAUUUGUUGUUGUGAUUGUUUCUUAUUGAUUCUGCAAAAUUCCUCACUAUGACCCAGGUUAUUACAGAACAUACACUGGAGAGAAGGUUUACCCUUAAACUAGCAAUCUUUCUCAGUAUGGUUAGUUCUUUUGCAAUAAGGGCAUGGUAAGAAAAUAUGUCUUCUUGAAGGUGUACUUGUUUUCCUUUUAGAAAACUUGACAAGUUUGUUUCUUGGCAGGUUACCAGCAUUCCUUCCCUUGUUGUUUGCUUGGAAAGCCCCUUCAACAGUCUCAUCAUCUCUCAUAUGAACCCUUUGCUCCUGAACAUGAAGUUUGCUAAUUAACUCUACAAUGGUAAGAUUUUGCAAAUCGCAAGAUUCUUCUAUUGUAAAGAUCUUGGCUUUAAACUUUUACGGGGCUGACAUCAUAAGUUUUUCUACUACCUUAUGAUCUUCAAAUGUAUUUCCAAGAAGUCUCAUUUGAUUUACAACAUCCAUUAAUCUGCUAGAGUAAUCUUUGACAGAUUCAUUGUCUUUCAUCUUCAUCAACUCAAAUUCCUUUUUAAAUGCAAGAAGUUUUACUACUUUGACUCUGUUGCUGCCUUCAAUUCAAUUUGGAGCUUAUCCCAUACCUGUUUUUGUGUUUCCAGAUUCAUUAUCUUCGUGAAAAUAUGAUCUGCAAGUCGAGAAUGUAGGCAGGUAAUGGUUUUGUCCUUCUUGAGUUUUUCUUCUUCGUGUGCUUUCAUUUGAGCAAUUGUAGGAUUUGCAUUCAAUGGUGGUGGAUCAGAAUCAGUCACCACAACAUUCCAUAAGCCUUGAGAUCUUAAAUAAAAUCUCAUUUUGAUAGCCCAAAUAUGAUAGAGUUCACCACUAAACAUUGGAAUUAUAGAUGCAAUAUUGCUUGAAGAAGACAUUGAUAAAAAAAAACAAAAGGAAAAUAACUCACUAUUAUUUAUGCUCACCCUCUCUGUGUUUAGCACUCAGAAAACUUGCCUCACCCUCUCUGUUUUUAUCACUUAAGAGAAAAAAAAUGCUUGCCUCAUAGCCCGUAGGAUUUAUAUGCUUUGAUAACACUGUUAGGAAUAUUUAGUUAUGGAAACUAAAGUUUAAGUAUAUGAGAAAUAGAUUCAAGAUGGCAGAGUUGAGUAGAAAGAUCAAUAAAUUUCAUUAAUUUUGAAUGCCUAUAUAUAGGCUUACAUAGAACUUGGAAUGGAUUGAAACUCUCAACAAAAUUGAGAGAUUAUUGGAAUUGAAAAUAACAAACUACAGCAGAAUGUUACUGUUGCAAAUCCUGAAGAAUGAAAACAGUAAUAUAAAAUUAAAAUAACAUAACUACACUUAACUCUAUCUUACUCAAGGCAUAAUCUCAUAAUUAUAACACUUAGUGGCUUAGUGAAUAUGUUUGCUGGUUGCUCCUUGGUCCGUAUGUGCUUUGGUUUAACCAAUUCUUUUUGCACCUUUUCUCGUACCAGAUGACAAUCUAUUUCUAUAUGCUUGGUUCAUGAAACACGGGAUUUGAGGCUAUGUGUAUUGUUGCCUUAUUGUCACAAAACAAUUUAUCUGGUUGCUCAUGCUUAACAUUCAAGUCCCUUAAAAUGUAUUGCAGCCAUAUUAUUUCACAGCAUGUAGUAGCCAUGGAACGAUACUCAACUUCUGCACUCGAACAUGAUACUAUACUUUGUUUUAUUGUCUUCCAUGAAAUGGGAGCAUGUCCAAGGAAAAUACAAUAGCCAAUUGUUGACCUUCUAGUGUCCUUGCAAUGAACUCAGUCUACAUCACAAUAUGCCAUUAAAUCCAAUGACCAUUUGGAAGGUAAGAGAAUUCCCUGACCAGGUGCUUGCUUGAUGUACUUUAAUACCUUGUGUGUUGCUUCUAAGUGAGGCUGCCUGGAUUUGUCCAUGAACUGGCUAAGUAUAUGAAUUGUGUAUGCAAGGUCUGGUCGUGUGAUGGUUAGAUAAUUGAGACAUCUAACCAGUCUUUGAUAUUGAGAGGCGUCUUCUAAUAAGUCUUCAUCUCCUUGUAUAAGUGUCACAUUUUGUUCAACUGGAAAUCGUGAAGGUUUAGCACCAAGGAACCCUGUAUCUUCAAGAAUAUCUUGCUACUUCUAUUAUAAGAAAGCAUUUCAAUUGCCUCAUAUCCUUCAGUUUGAAGCGGCUUGAGAGAAAGCACUUGGUCUUUGUGAUGUCUUCUAAAUUGUUCCCUGCAAGAAUAACAUCAUCGACAUAUACCAACAAAGUUGUGAAGAUGCCUUGAUGGUUUCGGACGAACAAGGAAUAGUUGUACUAUGAUUGCUUGAAGCUGACUGAUUUGAGGGCUGAAGAAAGCUUCAAAAACCAUUACCUUGAGGCUUACUUCAGGCCAUAUAAUAAUUUGUGUAGCUUACAAACCAGAUUCUCCCCCUUUCGUCCAAAGCUAGGAGGAAGCUACAUGUAAACAUCUUCAUAGAGAUCUCCAUUGAGAAACGCAUUAUUUACAUCCAGUUGAUGAAGGUGCUAAUUUUGCAUGGCUGCAAGACUGAGUAAGACAUGAAUUGUUGUGAGCUUAGCAACCGGCGCAAAUGUUUCCCUAUAAUCGAUCCCUUCAACUUAGCUGUAACCAUUGGCCACUAACCUAGCCUUGUAGCGCUCAACUGUGCCAUCGGGAUUAUACUUGAUUUUAUAUACCCACUUACAACCAAUUGGUCGUUUGUGAGUCGAAGGAGAAACGAAACUCCAAGUCUUGUUAGCAUGAAGUGCUUGAACCUCUUGCUGCAUAGUUGCUCUCCAUUUUGAGGCCUUAAUUACCUGAGAAAAUGAGGUAGGCUUUCUUUGUAUGGUCAUAUUAGUAGUAAAGGUUUUGUGAGAGGAAGAAAGAUUAACAUGAGAUAGGAUAUGAGAGAGGCUAUGAGUCGUACCUAGAGAGAUGACCUUGUUCAAGGAAGCUGACGGAUUGGGACAUGAGGGGAGAGCUGCAUCAAUAUGAAAGCCCUGCAAUGCAAUUGGAAGUUUUAUGGCUCAAGAAUACCUGCGUGGUUGUGGUGAAGGCAGUUGGGGAGGUUGCAAAGGUAAUGAAAUGGAACUAAAAGAUGCUUCAAGUGCAGGAUUAUUUUUAGAAGUAAUGGAGGGAUUGAUAUUUGUGAGAGGAGUAAGUGGAGUGGAAAUUGGAUCUGAGGGUGGAAUCAAGGUUUUCAAAAACACAUUUUUGACACGGUAUGGAAAAUACAAAAUAAACUCCGAUUGUAAAAACAUAUCGUAAAAGCGUAAAAUCGUAAGAAAAUUUGAAAUUUUUACAAAAAAAAAAAUUCUUAAUAAAUUUUCUAAUACAAGCUGAAAUCAUUCCUAAUAUCUUUGUAUUUCACACAUCAGGGAGAAAUCUGUGCAAAAAAUAAGAGAUAUUUUUAAGAAAAGUUUUAGAAAAAAUAAGAGAUAUUUUUAAGAAAAUUUCCAAGCCCAUUAACCGAAACCAUUGUAGCAAAUUUCCCUUCACUGGAAAAGAGAAUUGUCUUGCUUUCUUGAUAGUCACUAAGAGAUUUUCUUUCUCGAUAGUCACUAAGAGAUUAGAAGAAAGAAAAGAUAUGGCUUUUACUCUUCACCACGAUUAACUCCCUUUCUCACCUUUUCUCCAUCAAAACACAACCUUCUCUCUUCAAUCUUACCAGAAGUCCACCAUAGAAUCACAAAGAUUGCUGAUAACUGAUUUCUCCAUAAACUAGAAUAACAACAAAACUCUCAGAACAUGCAAGUACUGUAAAACCCAGUUUAACCCUUCCCUUAACCACCCUCGAGCUUGUCGCUACCACACUGCUCAUUUUGGAGGCUACAAUCUGACAAUUUCCCACAUUAAAGCAAGUUCAAAAGUAUAAUGUUCAUUCAUGGGCAAUGAGGCCUUUUGUUUUUCUCUCUAAAUCAAGCCCCAAGUGACAAUUGCAUGUCUCUCUUGUCCAUCCAUGACAAAAAUGAAUUGAAGUAAUGUUUUUAUUUAUGUAGAGCAGGAGGACUUACUAUUGUUAAUUAUUUGUUGUUAUUAUUGUAUAUGAGAUUAUUAAUUAUUUGCUAGCAAUUCUUAGAAGGUAAAGGGGGUGUUUAGGAGUGUGAUUCUAAUUGUUUUUUAAAGUGUUUUUUGUUUGAGUGAGAUAGGUUAUGUGUCGCCUUUAUAUAUAAAUUUUUUAAAUCAUUAAGAGGCAGACAGCUAGUCAUCAUCCUUUUAAGAAAACUUGAAAACAAAAAAAAAGGUUUAGGUGCAUGGGCUGCUCCAGGCUCACGCACCUGUGCCUUUUUAUAGAGAUUUAGUACCUCUAGGCUUUCUUAGCAUGAGAGAUUGAACCUUUUUUUUUUAAAUCCAUUACAACUGGAUUUGUCUUUUUUUUUUCUUGCUUAUAUUUUGUUCAAUUUCAUCACCUAAUAUUUGGUUGGUUAUUAAUUGGGUAAUAUAAUUUAUUUCAAUUUGAUUUUUUUUUCCAAUCGCUUUUGUAUUUUGCAAGUUUUUAAUUUUAUAGGUGUAUAUUUUAGAUCAAAUAUUAUAAAAAUAUUGUUGAACCCUAAUAAGUUUGUGACCUAGGUCAUGGAGUUUAGGUGGUUUACUUUGAGUGGAUAGGAAUUGAACUUGAGAAUUUUAUUUUUUUUGCAUAAAUAGUUCUCAAUUUUUUUUAAUUAUAUGCAUGCAUGAAUUUUUUAAAUUUCGCUUGAGAUUUCUUUAUGUGCAAAAACAUGCUGUAAAAAGUUUGCAUAUAUAUUUAAAAAAAAAAAAAAAAAUUGACCAGUGAUGAAGCGCGGGUCUAAUAACCAAUACUACUACUACUAAUUCCAGCCUCACCUAAAAGUGAGAUAACCAACUCUCUGACAUCUACAUGCAUAGUGUGUUUGUUUAUACGGUUAGAUCGUGAUUUUGAAAGUUUUUUUUUAGUUUUUUAAGUUUUAAAUUAAUAUUUUUAGUAUUUUUUUAUUGUUUUGAUGUGUUCAUAUUAAACAUUUUAAAAAAUAUUAUUUUAAUACAUUUCAAAAUAAUUUGUUUUUAAAAAAAUAAUCUAAUAAUAGUUUACAAACAAGACUGCAAUAGGUUAUACCACGUUGCAACUAUGCCACUACAUGUGCAACAUUAUUUCCAUUUCUUGUGUGUCACAAUAUAUUUAUAUUUAGAGUAUAACCUUGGAGAAGAUUGCCCUGUCUUCGAAAACUUGUUUGAAUUUUGUCAGAUUUAUGCUGGUGGAACUAUAGGUAAAUGAAAACAAGAGAAGACUGCUGUCAUAGCAUUGUUUGGUUUGACCAUUUAGCUUUAUUUACCAUUCAACCUUAAAUGCUGACUGACAUUUUCUGACAGAUGCUGCACAUAAGUUGAACAAUCAGGAACAUUAUGUUUUCUGUUUUCAUACAAAGCGUUGCUGGUUACUCUAAAUCUUUUUCUUCUUUUUUUUUGAAUGAUGCAACAUUAUGUUUCUCCCCCUCAAACUCAGUUUGUCUGCCCUGAUAUUUAGUGAAACAGGGAUGCAACAACCUCAGAAAUAUUCUGCUGCCUCCUAAUAUUUUCCCUGGUUUCUAUGAACCUUUUAUCUAUAUAUCAUUCUUGUUCCAGACAAGUCUUGUACCAAGUGAAAUUGGAAUAAAAUACUGAUAUGGUUCUUAUUGAAGGAACUAGGAGAAAGAGAAGGAAAAUUUUAUGCUAUAAAUGUUCCACUGAAAGAUGGAAUCGAUGACACUAGCUUCACUCGACUAUUUAAAACAGUAAGUUCAGUUUUCAACCCGCCCACACACAGACACAAAAACAUGUAGCAAAGUAUAAUAAUUUGCUUGAUUAUCUGUCAUGCAGAUCAUUUCCAAGGUUGUAGAAACUUAUCAGCCAGGUGCAAUAGUUCUUCAAUGCGGAGCAGAUUCGUUGGCUGGGGACCGCUUGGGCUGCUUCAAUCUUUCCAUUGAUGGUGCAUAUCUAAUUGUAAUUGUUACAUUUCUUUUUCUUCCCUUGUGCAUUUGUUCUAAUUGUAAUGGUCUUAAGCCAGUUGGUGAUGUAUUAAUUUGGUGUGCAUUGUGAUGUUUGUUGCAGGGCAUGCAGAAUGUGUUAGGUUUGUGAAGAAAUUCAACUUGCCCUUGUUGGUAUGUUCUUAUUUGCUCCAAUUCCUAUUAGGAGUCUGCUCUUAUGAAAUGUCAAAGCUCACGAGAAGUUACUCCCCUGCAGGUUACAGGAGGUGGGGGCUACACAAAAGAGAAUGUUGCUCGAUGUUGGACCGUUGAAACAGGAGUUCUUUUAGACACAGAACUGCCCAAUGGUAUGCUAAUAUAAUCACUUCCCUUUUCUAAUUGAAAGGAAAAACUGAGCAUGGAAGAUGAAUUCUAACAUAUCACCCUCUGUGAAGAAAUUGUAAACAUAACUACAUGAUGUUCUGUGGUGAGUUCUUAGGUUAUGUAGUGUUUCUGGGGUUGGGAAGUGGCAUGUCAUUAAUAAUAUCAUGUUAUGAAAGUUUGCUUUCUUUUAUUUUUUAAUGUCAUAUUGUAUACAAUUUUGCAUUUUUCGGUUAAUGCAUGCCAUUAAUCAUGGUUGGCCUCAUCUUCUACCCUUUCCAUGCCAUUUAUCGUUAACACUUCUCCCACUAUACAUCAUAAUUCAUUAGCUCAGAUUACUCUUUUCUAGCAGCUGAUUUUGUUGUAAUCCAAUUUUCUUGCAGAGAUUCCAGAAAAUGAGUAUAUUAAAUAUUUUGCCCCUGAUUAUUCAUUGAAAAGUCCUGGUGGACUCAUGGUAUGUAACUGCACUGAAACUCCCUGUGAUUCCUGGUUUGCUAUUAAAGUCUGACCUAGUUUAAAUUGUCAGUGCCAAUCCUGCAUUCUUGGAGCCUUCCUAAUAUUUCUUCUUCUUUUUUGUUUGAGUGAGCAGGAGAACUUAAAUAGCAAAUCUUAUCUUAGCACAAUCAAAAUGCAAGUACUAGAAAAUAUCCGUUGCAUCCAACAUGCUCCAAGUGUACAGAUGCAAGAGGUGAGUUAGAUGCAAGUAUUUGUUAGUAGCUAAGCUAACCAAUCAAAGAUUCAAUUAGUCAAAUCUGCAGUGCUUUGCAAAAGGAUUAAAGGAAACUAAACUAGCUAUUUGUGCAUGGGAAGUCAUUAAUUAGUUGACGAUGACAAUCAUAUCUGCAGGUACCUCCUGACUUCUACAUUCCCGAUUUUGAUGAAGAUGAGCAAAACCCUGAUGAGCGCAUGGAUCGUAAGUUGAAUACUCAAAAUUAUGUGCUCUCACACUAAUGGCUGCACACAAGGUGGAGCACAUUGGUGUCUUACACUAGUGCACUUUUUGCUCCUUUGAGUUUUUUUUUUUCUCAUCUAGAUGUUUUUCCCUGUUACUAAUUUAUAAUGAAUUCUCAUUUCAGAGCAUACCCAGGACAAGCAAAUCCAACGCGACGAUGAAUAUUAUGAAGGCGACAAUGAUAACGACCACGCGGAUGGCUCAUGAACUUGAGCCAUGCCUUUUUUGUUUCCUUGGGAGGAUGAACUUUUGACAGGAAAAGGAAGAUGUAAGGGGAAGGCCACAUGUAAAUUCUCAUGGUCUUGUUGUCUGUGCUUAUGAAUUAUUGUAAAUUGUGUUGAAUCUAAACUCAAUCUAGAAGGUCAAGGAAGGCAACCACCGCCCAGCCAGCCACCAGCUGCCACCAACCGACCAGCCACCAGCCGCAGCCGCCAGCCGCCUUCACACUUGAAGGUUGAAUUUUCGUAUUCUGAUUUUGUGUAUAAAUAGAAUGCCCAGCUUAUGUUAUAUGUGUGGAGAGAAUUGAGAGGAAUACAAGUAAAAGAAAGAGAGAGAGAGGGCGUGUAUUAAGCUUUUGUUUUGUGUAAUUGUAAGCUUCGUUUUUGUGUAAUAAAACAGUGUGUUUUAUCCCCUCUGAGUGUUUCAAAGCCACCACCAGUGGUUUCUCCCACCAACAAUUGGUAUCAGAGCCCCGUUCGUCGGAAAACAAAAGAGUUUUGGGGUAUAUCCGAAUUUUCAAAGUUGUCCAAAACCAGUUUUGAUCAUUCCACAGUGUAGAGCUCAUCAAUACGAACUCACUGCCGCAAAAAUCAGCCAAAUCGGAGUUCGGGGUAGCCCACACGCGCCGCCUGAAUAUUCAGCCAGAUCGCCCACGCGCAUCCCACGCGCGCCAUAUUUGAGCCGCGCCGAGCCGUAUACGCCGCGUCCUAGCCGAGCCACAAGCCGAGUCCAGCCGAGCCGUACCUCGCGCCGAGCCGAGCCGCGUUCCAGCCUCAGCCGAGCCGAAGGAAUAUUCCCCAGAAUAUUCCCGGUUCACCCAGCGAACCGCCCGCCGUACAGAAUUGGUUUUUUGACCGGUUCACCCAUUUUCUGACCAGAUUUCAACAAAGUCAGACCGGUUCCCUACUAUUUGGACCAUUCCGGAUCGAUCUACAGUGUCCGUUUGGCCAAAUUCGGCUCCCAGAAAGGUGAUAUAGUCAUUCAAAGAGCAAAAUGACUACAGAAGGUACACAAACACUCAUCCCGAAGCUGACCAAAGACAACUAUGAUAGUUGGUGCAUCAGAUUGAAGGCAUUUCUUGGGUCACAAGAGUGUUUGGAUAUUGUACAAACUGGUUAUGAUGAACCAGAGUCCAAAGAAAGAGAAGAUGCUUUACAAGAGGCACAGAAGCAAGCCUUGAAAGUCAACAGAAAGAAGGACAACAAAGCAAAGACCAUCAUCUACCAAGGUCUUGAUGAAGAUACAUUCGAGAUAAUAGCUUCCGCUGAAACAUCACAUGAUAUAUGGGAGGCUCUCCAACAGAAAUACAAAGGUGCUGACAGAAUCAAGAAGAUUCGUCUUCAAUCUUUGAGAGGAGAAUUCGAAUUAUUACGAAUGAAGUCCUCGAGUCUAUUUCUGAUUAUCACACAAGGAUUAUGGUGAUAGUCAACCAGAUGAGAAGAAAUGGAGAAGCCCUCAUACUCGAAUUAGAGAAAAUUUUGAGAUCCAUAGAUCCAAAAUUUGAUCAUGUUGUUGUCGCAAUUGAAGAGUCCAAGGAAGUGGACAAGUUGACAGUGAUGAGCUUAUGAGUUCUUUGCAAGCUCAUGAGCAGAAGAUUGUAAUGCGAAAUGAAGAUAAGGCCAUUGAGCAUGCCUUACAAGCAAAGCUGUCUUUCAAGGACAGAUAUGAGCAAGGGGAGACUUCAUCAAGUGGCUACACCACUCAAGCAGGAAGUCAACAAUCCAGAGGAGGAUUCAGAGAUUCCAAGGAAGAGGUCUUGGAAUACAAGCUUCAGAGGAAGAGGUGGCAGAAACACCACCAGAGGAGGCCGAGGACAACAAGCAUUCACUCCUAGAGGAAGAGGAGGCGGUUACAAUAACCGUGACAAGAGAAUAUCAAAUGUUAUAGCUGCAAUCAAUUUGGGCACUAUAGCACUGAAUGCCGAUGGAAAGCUCCGUUGGAGAUACGUGAGCAAGCCAACUAUGCAGAGAAGAUGAGAAGCAUCUGCAUUUCUUGUCCAACAAGACUUGGCGAGAAACAAGAGAGAUAUGGUAUCUAGAUACUGGAGCCAGCAAUCACAUGUGCGGCUACCGAGAGUUAUUUGGUGAUCUAGAUGAGACCAAGCAAGGUCUAGUUACUUUUGGAGAUACCACAAAGGUUCCAUUCAAAGGUAAAGGCAACAUCCCAGUCAAGUUGAAGAAUGGCGAUUCCAGCUACAUCGCCGAUGUGUAUUAUGUCCCAGCCAUAAAGCAGAACCUGAUCAGCUUAGGUCAACUUUUGGAGAGAGGAUAUAGUUUUUACUCGAAGAAUUGUCAUCUGGCAAUUAGAGACAACAAUGGGAGAUUAAUGGCCUACGUGAAAAUGUCCAAGAAUAGGAUGUUUCCUUUGAACAUCCAGUAUGAUGCAACAAGGUGUUUGAGUGCCAUCACCAACAGUGAAGAAUGGCUUUGGCACCUGAGGCUUGGACAUCUGAAUUUCACAAGUUGAAGAUGCUAGCAAGCAAGAAGAUGGUCAAAGGUUUGCCUCACAUUGAUCAUCCAGAUGAAGUCUGUGAGAGUUGUGUCCUCAGCAAACAUCACAGAUCCAGUUUUGCCAAAGAAGUCAACUGGAGAGCAAAGAGGCCACUGGAGUUAGUACACACAGAUGUGUGUGGCCCAAUUACGCCUAUGUCGACUGGACAAAAUAGGUACUUCCUCACUUUUACUGAUGAUUUUAGUAGAAAGACGUGGAUAUACUUUCUGAAGAGGAAGUCAGAAGUAUUCAAUUGUUUUAAAGAUUUUAAAGCAAUUGUGGAGAAGCAAACUGGUUAUACGAUCAGAACCGUAGAUCUGAUCAAGGUGGAGAAUAUACAGCAAUGACUUUGAAGCCUAUUGUACACAACAAGGCAUCAGACAUCAGACGACGCCAGCUUAUACACCACAGCUGAAUGGUGUAGCAGAAAGGAAGAAUCGCACGAUUCUUGACAUGGCAGAAGUUGCUCAAAGCAAAGAAGUUGCCCAAGCAAUACUGGGCUGAAGCUGUAUCAUGUGCAGUGUAUCUGUUGAAUCGCUGCCCACCAGAAGUUUGCAAGGAGUCACUCCAGAAGAAGCAUGGAGUGGUCACAAACCAAGUGUUACUCAUCUACGAGUCUUUGGUUGUGUGGCAUAUGCAAAGAUCCCAGAUGCAAGAAGGAGAAAGCUCGAUGAUAAGAGCGAGAAAUGCAUCUUUGUCGGAUAUGGUGAAAGAAGGAUGGGAUACAGGCUGUAUAAUCCCAUCACGAAGAAGGUGAUUACGAGUAGAGAUGUUAUCUUUGAAGAAGAUAAAUCUUGGGCAUGGAAUGGUGAUCAAGAAGCAGUCAAAUGGAUCAAUCUUGAUUUGAUCCUUGAAGGUGAAGAAGUACCAAUACUUGUAAGAACCGAUUGUAGAGAACCGAUUGUGCCAGCAGCUGAACCACAAAGUCCGUGUUUAUACCAGCAGCUGAACCACAAAGUCCGGUACACAGAUUCCCUGUAUUCAACAGGAGGAACACACCAGGAGCAUCAUCAUCAACACCACCAUCAGCAUCCUCGUCAGAAGGACCAAGAAGGAUGCGGAAUCUUGAAGAGUUGUACGAUACCACUCAGGUCAUGGAAGAUACAACUCUUUUUGUUUCCAUGCAGAUAAGGACCCACCAGAAAAGAAGAAAAGCAAUAGGUGUCAAAAAGGUCUACAAGACGAAAGCCAAAUUAGUGAAUAAACGCUACAAGCAGAGAGAAGGCAUUGAAGGGAGAAGUAUUCAUGCUUGGCAUGAUAUCCCUAGAUUGAGUUUAUAGGGGAGAUUUGUUGAAUCUAAACUCAAUCUAGAAGGUCAAGGAAGGCAACCACCGCCCAGCCAGCCACCAGCUGCCACCAACCGACCAGCCACCAGCCGCAGCCGCCAGCCACCAGCUGCCACAGCCGCCAGCCGCCUUCACACUUGAAGGUUGAAUUUUCGUAUUCUGAUUUUGUGUAUAAAUAGAAUGCCCAGCUUAUGUUAUAUGUGUGGAGAGAAUUGAGAGGAACACAAGUAAAAGAAAGAGAGAGAGAGAGGGCGUGUAUUAAGCUUUUGUUUUUGUGUAAUUGUAAGCUUCGUUUUUGUGUAAUAAAACAUUGUGUUUUAUCCCCUCUGAGUGUUUCAAAGCCACCACCAGUGGUUUCUCCCACCAACAAAUUGUUGCUCAUUUGUAAAACUUCUCCGUGCAUUCGCCCAAGCAAACCCAUAUUGAUGACUGUUAGUUGUCCCAAGCAUGUCACAUGUAAUUAACUCUGCAUGCAUGUGUUUGUGGGCUUGUGCUCAAAGUCAGCCUGAAAUACAUGAUAGUUCAAAACUGUUAUCAAGGUAGAAGCUAAUGUUAUGGAUAUUUAAGAAAUUGCUAAACCCAGUAUAUUGCAUCACCUUAUGCUUAUACUGGAUGACAUAAUAGCCCUAUGAAAUUUUUGUGAAAUUUCAAUUGGCAUAUUCAAUCAAUUAUCUGUGAAUCAUUUCAAUUUACAUAAUGCAUAAAUCCAGCUAUGAUCAUCCACGGCAUUUUGACAUAAGUCCUAAAUGCUUGUGUUCGGCGAAAACAAUGGGAAGGCGCAUUUUGGGUCUUACAGCAGAUGAAGGAUAAGGAUGUGCAACCUUCUGCUGCGACGUAUGGACUGGUUAUGGAGGUAAUAGCUGUUUUUACUAUCCAUGGUUCUUAACAAUAUUUCACAUCAGCAGAACCUGUAUCUUAGAUUCAUAGCAAUACCUUGUUGUAUGAGUUUAUCAUUGUUCUGAUAAACAGCUAGUCAUGUUUGCUGACUUGCUACUAUGAUUAUCACUCCAUAUUUCAACUUUCAUAGAGCUGUUCAUAGAACUAGACUUCUAAUCUAAGCAUAUGGACUUAUUUUUUCUGAGUAAAAGUACAUCAUGAACUGUUGGUUCAAAUCCUACCACCAACCUCUUUGGUGUCGUCCAGAGAUUCAUCUCACCUGUUGCUUGGUGCAUGAUGGCUGAGAGGUUUGAACGUACCCAGGUUUUACCCAGUGCUAAAUAAAAGGUUUAAUUCAGAAAAAAGACUUUGAUUUUUGCAGUAUGAAGUUAGUAACCUGACCUAUGUACAUCAGUUUGGUUGAAUAGGGUGUCAUAUGAACUUGCUGUACAAUAUUAAUUCUCUGGUUGGGCUUUCCGUUUCUCAUAAUCAAUUUUAUGGUUCAUAUUCAAAUGACUGCGCCUUGAUACUUCACAAUUAAGAUAAUUCUAAGGUUUUUUUUAUCUUGAUUCACUCUCAUGUGUUCAUGUGGUAGUUUCUACUAUCUGUUAAUGUUGGAUUCCAAUGUUAGUUUUCAGUAGUAAGAGGGGGUACCAUUUCAUAGCAUCAUGAAGUGAUAAUUUCCCAUCAUUUUUGGCUCUUUAAGAUAGGUGCUCAAUCUAGCAUCUUUUAGGGUGGUUUUGGUGUUAAAUAUCAUUGUCAAAGCAUAGGAGCAUGAGCUAUCCUUUUGACCUGCAUACCAUCAAGAAAAAUGUUUCCUAUGAAAAGCCUUAUGUUGUAUUAUAAAGUGGACUUAUGGAACUGGUAACAGUUUGCUUGAUAUUCUCAUUUUCUUGAAUAUACAUCUUAGUUUUUGUAAUAACCAGGAAAUGAUAAAAUGGUUUUCUGCCUCGUACUUGAGCAGGUCAUGCUUGCUUGUGGCAAGUACAACUUGGUUCCUGAGUUCUUCAAAAAAGUUCAGAAGUCUUCCAUUCCAAACGCCUUAGUAUAUAAAGGUGUUUGACUGGUCUAUCAUUUCUUCCAUUUGAUUUUAUAGAACCUCAUUUUGAAAUCAAAUUCUUGUUACAUACAGUUCUCGUCAAUACUUUUUGGAGAGAGGGUAAGACAGGAGAGGCUGUGUUGGCUGUCAAAGACAUGGAAAGACGGGGAAUUGUGGGCUCAGCUGCUCUUUAUUAUGAUCUUGCACGCUGUCUCUGUACAUCUGGAAGGUGUCAAGAAGCACUAGAUCUGGUAAUCUUUUUAUGCUUAAUCUACUAUGUUUCUGUUGUGCAUGUAUAUUUAAAACUGAAUAUAAAGAACACUGUAUUGUGUAGUAAUCUAAAGAACAACCUUAUGUUUGCUGAUGGAGAAAAGAAAAGAACAAAGAACAAUAAUCACGAUGGAAAGAACUAAAGAAAGAAAGAACUCAGAACUGUUACUGAUUAAGGUUAAAGAACAAAGAGCAGAAUUGUGUUAUUAGUUACUGCCAUCCCAAGUCUUUAUUUAUAAGGAAAAAGAGAAACAGAAUUUGAAUGGAAAACAAUAACAAGAAACGUGUCUGCCUUCUUCUCCUUUAUUUAAGGAGAUGAUUACAAGUUAAUUCAAUCCUAGAUAAUCUUAACAAAGAAAUCAAAAGCAUAUCCUACACUAGAUAAUAGUCUCAGCUAAAACAAAGAAAUAAUACAGCAGUGAAUUACUGCUAAGUCUUCUGCUAGCUUAGGUACCAAGCUUCAACACUCCUCCUUGGUUCCAAAGCUAGUCAUUCCAAUUCUUGCCCUUAGAUCUUCAAACCUGGUUUUACCCAACGGUUUGGUGAAAAGAUCUGCUAGUUGAUCUUCAGAAGUGCAGUAGCAUAGUUCCAUUCUCCUUCUUGUUGAAACUGCCUGAUUGCAUGAAAUUUGAUCUUCAUGUGCUUGGUUUAUCAUGGAAGACAGAAUUUUUAGAAAUGGCUAUAGCUGAUGUGUUGUCACAAAACAAUGUUGUGGGAUUGUUGAUUGCAGUCUAAGUCACUUAGCAUCUUCCUCAGCCAUAUUAGUUGUUUUGCUGCUACAUAAGCAGCUAUAUAUUCAGCUUCUGCAGUAGAAUGUGCCACCACCGAUUGUUUCUUUGAAUUCCAGCAAAACAUACUCUUUCCCACAGCAAAACAGUAGCCUGACGUGCUCAUCAUUCCUUCAUCACUUCCUCCCCAAUCACUGUCUGAAAAUCCAACAAGAUUGAUUGAGCUGGACUUCACAAAUGUAUGCCAAAACCUGCAGUCCCUCUAAUAUCUUAAUACUCUCUUAGCUGCCACAAAGUGUUUUGACUUGGCUCUUGCAUGAACCUGGAAAGAUAAUUCACAGCAAAUUGAAUGUCAGGACGUGUGGCUGUUAAAUACACAAACUCCCAAUUAGACUCCUGUAUUUUCCCAUCAGCUUUUGGUGAGCCAUCCUCUUUCAUUAGCUUCUGCCCCUGUAUCAUAGGAGUGCUUACUGGCUUGCAAUUGUUCAUUGCAAAACUGUCCAGUAUUUUCAAAGAAAAACGUUUUUGACAAAGAAAGUAACCUUGAUCAGUUUGGUUACUUCCAUUCCUAAAAAUAAGUCAACAAACCAAGUUCAUUCAUCUCAAACAUGUCUUUCAUAUUGGUUUUGAAUUCCUCUACAAGCUGCUCCUUAUCCCCUGUGAUUAGUAAAUCAUCAACAUAAACUGAUACAAUUAGUUUAUGUCCAGCAGCAUGCUUCACAUAUAAAGUUACCUCAUUCAUGCUCCUGUUAAAUCCCAAGCUUAAGAGAUGAUUAUCCAACCUGCUAUACCAAGCUCUAGGAGCUUGUUUCAAUCCAUACAAUGCUUCUUCAGUAAAUAAACCUUGUUUGUUGAAUUAGAUUUUUCAAAACCAGCAGGCUGCUCAACAUAAAUCUCUUCAUCUAGCACACCAUUCAAAAAUGCAGAUUUAACAUCCAAUUGAAAUAUAUACCAACCGUUUUGUGCUGCUAGAGCAAGCAGGAGUUUCAUUGUUUCAUGUCUGGAAACUGGAGCAAAAGUUUCUGUGAAGUCGAUCCCUGCCUCUUGUGAAUAUCCUUUCACUACAAGUCUGGCUUAUGCUUGUUGAUCUUCCAUCUGCAUUUACUUUUGUUUUGAAAAUCCAUUUCACUCCAAUCACCUUCUUAUGAGCUGGUCUGUCAACUAGCAUCCAUGUUUGAUUCUUGUCUAUCAUUGCAAGCUCCUCCUUCAUUGCUGCUAUCCAAACUUGAGAGUUCAUGGCUUCUUCAACAUUUACUGGUUCUGCCUCGGCUACAUUGCACCUGCUAUAGAUAUCUGAUAGAGAUCUUGUCCCUCUUACUGGUUGAUCAUCACUUUCUGCAGCAUCCAAGUCAGUUUGUUGCUCAAUAUUCCCAGCAACAUCUGUUUGUUGAUAAUCAUGUUUGCAGCAUCCAACUCAUCUUGUUGCAUCGGUUUUGAUUCUUCAUUUGAUGAAUUUUUCCAGUUCCAAGCUGCAUUUUCUACAACUUUGACAUCUCUAGCAACCACCACUUUGUUAACAUUCAAAUCAUAGAUUUUAUAAGCUUAGAAUUUGUACUAUAGCCUAUAAGAAUCCCUAUAUCAGCCUUUUGAUCAAGUUUCCUUCUUCUGACUUCAGGUUUCAGAACAUAACAAAUACUUCCAAACACCUUUAAAUGAUCAAUACUGGGUUUAAAACCAUACCAGAGUUCAUAAGGAGUUUUAUCUGCCAAAACUCUUGAAGCCAUUCGGUUUAUAAGGUAUGCUGCUGUGUUUACUGCUUCUGCCCAGAAAUUCAAUGGCAACUUCUUCUCAUAGAGCAAGCAUCUAGCCAUCUCCAUCAAUGUUCGGUUUCUUCUUUCACUUACACCAUUCUGCUGUGGUGUGUAGGGAACAGUCAGCUGGUGUUUAAUCCCUUCUUUAGCAAGGUAUGCUUCAAAUUGUCGAGAGGUAUACUCUCCUCCAUUGUCAGAUCUCAAAGUCUUCAAUUUGUUUCCUGUUUCUAGUUCAACUGCUGCCUUGAACUUAACAAACUCAGCAAACACAUCAGCUUUGGAUUUUAGAAAAUAAACCCAGCAAUACCUGCUAAAAUCAUCAAUAAACAGAAGAAAGUACUUUGAACCAUUUAAUGAUUCAUUGUGCAUAGGUCCACACACAUCUGUGUGUACAAGCUGAAGUUUAGAUACUGCCCUGUAUGCAUUUUCUGGAAAAACAGUUCUGGUUUGUUUUCCCAGCUGACAAGCCUCACAUAUAGUUUGCUGCUCCUGAAUAUUUGGCAACCCGUGAGCCAUCUGCUGGUCAGCCAUUCUUUUUAAGUAGCAUAAUUGAAGUGUCCCAGCCGUUUGUGCCAAAGAACAGAUUCCUUGCACUCAUAAGUAUUAGCACUUAAACACACUUCAUUCCAAUUAACAUUAAAGCUUCGGUUCAUCAUUUUUGCAGACAGUAAAAGCAUUCCAUUUCUAUCUUUAAUGUCACACACUCCAUCAUUAAAAACUAUUGAAUAUCCAGAUUCAAUCAAUUGACCCACACUAACUAGAUUUUGGUUGAUCUUAGGCACAUAAAGAACAUUUUUAAGAAUUUUUGUACCUGACAGUGUUUCUACUGCAAUUGCUCCUUUUCCUUCAACUUUCACACAGUCUCCAUUGCCAAUUCUGACUUUAGACAAGUAGCUUCUAUCCAAGUCUCUGAAUAAGCUUAAGUCUGCUGUCAUAUGAUUAGUGCAGCCGCUAUCAAUGAGCCAUGAUGAGUCCUUUGUCUCUGCUGAAUUACAUAUGUCCUGAACUGUGACCAUGAAUAGAAGUUCUUCUUUGACUUCUGAACAAUCGGCUACUUGUGCUUGUUGUUCAGUUUCUGUUCUAUUUUUGCAGAAUCUUUGAAUGUGACCAAAUUGCUUGCAUUUUCGGCAUUGAGCAUUCUUGAGCCAACACCAGGCUUCAAGAUGAUUGGUUUUCUGACAGUAUUUGCAAGCAGGAAAAUGUUCUUUCUUCUCUUUCCCCCUCAUGAAACUGUUAUUGUGUUCUGUUGCCAGUUAGCAGAUUUCCAGUCUCUCCCUUUUUCUCUUUUUCCUUCUUGAUUAUUUCUGAAGAUGUUCUUAGCCCGACCCUUAUCCUUGUAAACUGCAACAAGAGCUCCUUCACUUGAUCCUUCUUGUCUAUAUGCUUGCCUUUGCUCAACAGCUUGCAAUGCAUUCACCAAUUCUUGCAGGCUUAUCUCAGAAAAAUCUUUAGAAUCUUCUAAAGAACAGAUUUUAUGUUCAAACUUUUCUGGCAAACUCACCAGGACUUUCUCUACAAUUCUAGAGUCUGGAAAAUCUUCUCCCAAGAGUCUUACUUGAUUCACAAGUUUUGAAAUUUGAGAAGAGAAAUCUUUGAUGCUCUCAUUUUCUUUCAUCUUCAGACCUUCGAAUUGUCUUCUCAGAUUCAGAAUCUGCAUCCUUCUUGAUUUCUCAUCACCAUGGAACUCUGCUUUUAAUUUAUCCCAUGUUUCCUUGGCAGAUUUGCAUGCCAUGAUCCUCGUGAAGAUGUCUUCACUUACAGCAUUAUGAAGACAAGAAAGAGCUUUGAAUCUCUUUGCCUUUUCUUCAUUAAAGAACUUCAUCUGUGCAAUUGUGGGAUUGUUACCUAGAGGAGUAGGUUGCCUAUCACUUUCCACUAUCUCCCAUAAAUCAAGACCUUUGAGAUAGGUUUCCAUUUUUACAGCCCACACACCAAAAUUCUGCCCUGCAAACAAUGGUGUUUUUGCUGGAAAAUUUGCAGAAUCCAUUGCUUAAAAGAAAACUCACUUCCUCUCUCGUGUAUCACUCACAAACCCUCAAAGUAAAAACUUUGAUUUAUCCUCACAGUACUCUCGUGUUUUUCACUGACAAAGAAUCCCUUCAAAGAUCAGAAAAGAGCUCUGAUACCAAUUGUAGUAAUCUAAAGAACAACCUUAUGUUUGCUGAUGGAGAAAAGAAAAGAACAAAGAACAAUAAUCACGAUGGAAAGAACUAAAGAAAGAAAGAACUCAGAACUGUUACUGAUUAAGGUUAAAGAACAAAGAGCAGAAUUGUGUUAUUAGUUACUGUCAUCCCAAGUCUUUAUUUAUAAGGAAAAAGAGAAACAGAAUUUGAAUGGAAAACAAUAACAAGAAACUUGCCUGCCUUCUUCUCCUUUAUUUAAGGAGAUGAUUACAAGUUAAUUCAAUCCUAGAUAAUCUUAACAAAGAAAUCAAAAGCAUAUCCUACACUAGAUAAUAGUCUCAGCUAAAAACAAAGAAAUAAUACAGCAGUGAAUUACUGCUAAGUCUUCUGCUAGCUUAGGUACCAAGCUUCAACAUAUUGUAGCUAAACGAUCCGCAUGCAUUGAAUGGUGUGUUGCUAAUUAGAGUUUAUGAGCACGGGGAGCUAUAUCACUGCAAAAUGCAAAAAUCUGUGUAUUGAUAACUGUUGCCUGCCCAGUUAAGGUUUCAGUUUAUACUACUGUUGAAUGCACAAAGAAUAUGCAUGUUUUGCAAGUGCGUCUUUGGUUCAUUGAGAGACUGAAGAAGCCUUGGGCUGCACAAUUGGGGCCCUUUCCUAACUGCUGGGAUGUCUCUUUGGGCAUUUAAUAGUUUGCAAGCUUUAAAGCUAUAUAUUUUGUACACUCAUUGAUGCAUUUGUAAGACUCCAUGAUAUAAACAAGUAGAUUGCAACCGGUUUGGUGUCACUUCAACCACCUACAAUUUGUGUGCUUAUUAUUACCACUAGCUUUUCUUUGAACAAACAGUCCAUCACAACCUCCUUUCAUUUCACAGAUUGAGAAAAUAUGCAAGGUUGCUAAUAAGCCGCUUGUAGUAACUUACACUGGCUUAAUCCAAGCUUGUCUGGACUCUGGAAACAUUCAAAACGCUGUGUACAUCUUCAAUCAAAUGAGGAACUUUUGCCCCCCAAAUCUUGUUACUUGCAACAUAAUGCUGAAAGCGUAUCUAGAACAUGGAUUGUUUGAAGAAGCAAACGAGCUUUUCAACAAGAUGUUAGACGAUGGCAAUCAUAUCAGCAGAAGAUCUGAUUACAAGUUUCGUGUAAUACCAGAUAUCUAUACUUUCAACACCAUGCUUGAUGCAAGCAUUGCAGAAAACAGGUGGGAUGAUUUUGAGUACGUUUAUCAAAAGAUGUUGCGCCAUGGGUUCCACUUCAAUGCAAACCGUCAUCUUCGAAUGGUACUGGAUGCUUCUAGAGCUGGAAAGGUACUUCUCAAAUCUAUUGUGAUUAUUUGAAAUUACACUUGUACGUGAACAUAUUAUUGAAAUGGAUGUUAAUAGCAUCUCCAUAAAAAUAACACUAGGCUGCCAAACUGCAUCUACGUCCUGACUGAAUAGCCUGAUUCGAGGUAUUAUAUGAGAACAGUCAAAAGCACUUGUAGGAAUAAAAUGGAUGCCUUGUUGAAUUCCUUAGGAGGGAUGAUAAGAACUUAUCUUUUUAGUACACUUUGGACGCAAUCUUUGUAAAAUGCUUCUAGGUAAUUCAUCUGUUAGAAAAUUCUGAAUUCUGAAAAUUUUAGGAAGUGUAAAAUCUCAGAAUUCAGAGUUAUGGAAAUCUAACUUUCUUGUCCUUAUCCUCUUCAAAUUUUAGAUAUAAACUGUCAAGAGAAAUUGAAAUUUCUCACUUUAUCCUUUCAAGACUUCAAAUUUAGUACAAAAGAAUUGUUCAUGCCUAUAUUAAUAAAAACAAAAAUACAUGUAGUAUGUGUGUAGUGGCAACGAUUAAACAGCAUCAAUAGUGUUCUUUUUGUUUCUAAUCUUCAAUUCAAGAGAAGUUACAAAUUCCCAUUGUGACUGCAGGGAGAAGUUUUGGAAAUAACUUGGAAGCACUUGGAGCAGGAAGAUAGGAUUCCUCCACCGCCUCUUGUCAAAGAAAGAUUUUGCAUGAUGCUUGAAAAAGAAGACUUCGAUUCUGCUCUUGCUUGUAUUACCACAAAUUCUGCUGGAGAGUCUCAAGCAUUCUGCAAAAGUGCCUGGUUGAAUUUAUUCGAAGAAAACGCUCAGCGGUUUAGAAAAGACACCCUCAUGCGGCUAAUGCAUGAGGUACGUGUGCUUGCUGCUCAAAGCAACUCGCCAAACCCUGUAUUGCAAAAUCUAUUAAUAUCCUGUAGUGAUUAUAAUAGGCCUCGUGUAAAGGUUCCUGGAUUCAAUCAAACAUAGAUUUUCUAUACAGUUAAAUCAUGAAAAUCCUUGAAAUCUUAAUGGAAUGCACGCAUGCAGCUAGCAAACCAGCAUGUCCUAAUAAUGAUGAUAAGGUUUAGGGUGAGAAUGAGUCUUGAAAUUAUUCGUCCUGAGAAUGCCUCAAGAUUAUGUGGGCCAAUUAAGGAGUUUCUAUCAGUAUAAAGCUCCGCAAUCUAUCAAGAAACCACUGUAAAGGGCUUGGUGACCUGCUACUAUGCAAAAGGACUCGAUGGGAUCUCUGCUUUAGAACAUUUCAAGCUGUCAAGCCUGUUAUAGGUAUCUAAGUUCAAUGAAGGUAACAUUUCAAGCUGUCAAGCUUGUUAUAGGUAUCCAAGUUCUAUGAAGGUGAGGUAAGCCUUUAAAAUGGAUUCAGAUGUAUCUACUUGUUAAUGCUUGUGAUAUACUGUGUUCCUUAGUGCGGUUAUAAAUAAUGUAUGAGCAAGGUGUCUUGAAGCCUCGUAUUGUGAUUACAUGCCCAAACUAGCUAGUCGAAUAAAUGAAGGGACAAUAGAGUUUCCGAGGAGAUUAUUUUUUCUUUUUGGAAAAUUGAUUUUUCUUAGUUAUUAUCUUUUUUUCUAUUUAUUUUAAAAUAUUAUGUUUAAUAAUUUUAUUUUUUAUUUUGUUUAUGAAUUUUAUUGCCUUUUUUUUUUCAAGGUUUUUAGUUUGUUUAGGUGUUUUUUUAGUUUAUUUAAGGAGUUGUAAAUCUCUUACAAAGGAAACUACUUGACAUGGUAAAUUAUUAAGAAAUAAAAUUUUGAAUUCUGGUUUUUGGUGUGAUGAUCCUUUUUAGUAGAAUUGAGUUGUUUGUUUUUGCUAUUUUUUUGUAUUAUUUCUGUUUAUAUUAGUUGGUAUCAGAAUCUAAUAAUCUUUGAUUAUUGUUUGCUUGUUGUAUGCUGCAAAACAACCAUAGCUGGAAAAAAUAAUAAAACUAAACAUGUUCAAGGAGAGGAUGAAGAGGUUUCCUCUUUAGAGAAAAAGGUUCAUGAGCUAGAAAUUGAGGAUAUACAAAGGUAGAUCGCAAAGCUUACGUGACAAUUGAAAUAAAACACCCAACAAGAAUAGGAGGAGAGUAAUUGUGAACCCUGACUAAUCUAGAGGAGGCAACCUUUUAAUUGGGCAGCACUUCAUGGAAUUUUGAUUUUUAAAUUAAACUUUCUAAUUUUGUAAGAACUUUACAAGUGGAAGAGUUUAUCGUUUAGUUGAAUGAAGUAUAAAGGAUUUUCAAGUGCAUAAAAGUUUAAGAACAAAUAAGGGUGAAGCUUAUUGGUAUUAGAUUAAAAGGGCGAGCUUAUGCUUGGUGGAAGCAAUUAAAGAGAAAGAUAAAGGAACAUUUUUUUUUUCGUUUGGAUACAUUUAAACUUUUUACCAAUGACUCCAUAAAUUGGGAUGGGAGAACUAUUGCUAAGUACAUUGAAAACUCUACCAACUGGUGGCUAAGAAUGAUUUUUCAGAAAGAGUAGUUGAUUGCUAGGUACUUAAAGUAGAUUAUGAUAGUUCAUGCAAGAUGUAUUGUGUUUGCAUUCUUUAUAAAUAGUUUUGUAAGCCUAUAAGAGAGCUUUGAUUAUGGAUAAACAAUAGGUUACUAGGGUAAUUAACAAAGGUGGCGAGGUGUGCGCUAACAAAAAAAAUAUCAUUCAUUUAGCCCGAAUCGAUAACUAAAUAUAUCACAAGUUAAAGUUAAAGUUCUAGAUAUGGUUUUAAAUUUUAGUGUUUUAGAUAUGAUGAAUUAGGACAUUGAAUUUAUAAGUGCCUUAAACCAAAGAGUCGUAAGUGUAAACAUUUGUAAGUAAAAUAGCAUAACGAGAAGAGAAGUGAUCCUAUUUAUGAUGAUUAAUAUGGUAGUGAGGAGGUUUUCUAAGAUAAUGAUGGUGCUACCUCAAUUAUCCAAAGAGUUUGCUUAUUCUUAAAAGUGAUUCAAAUCAAUAUUGGCUACACACUAGUCUUUUUCUUUCAACUUGUACCAUCAAGGACAGUGUAUGUAAUUUGAUUAUUGAUAGUGGUAAUUGUGAAAAGGUGGUGUUAAUUGAAGUAGUAAAGAAGUUGCAACUUAAAAUAAAAAAACACCAUAUACCCUACAAAUUGAAGUAGAUGAAUCGAGAUCCCAAUGUAAUCAUGGAUGAAUAUUAUCUUGUUUUAUUUUUUUUAUAGGUAAGAGAUAUUUUGAUAGUAUUUGAUAUGAUGUUGUGUCUAUGGAUGCAUCUCAUUUAUUGUUGUAUAGACCAUUGAUUAGUACUUAAAAGUGCAUAUUUAUCAAGGUUUUAUAUCAUUAUUUCGCACUUAAAGUAUCAAUAACUCCUUAACUAAAGCAUGUUUUAUAAUAACAAGUCUAAUACUAUAAAAUGCCCUAAUAUAUGGUAAAUGUUCAUCUUAAAUGCAGGCCUAUCACAUAAAUCAAAGGAUUUAUUGAUGAUUUCAACUACUGAAAUUUGUGAAAAUAAAGAGAGGUUUAAACUUAGAAAAGAGAUGUUGGUGCAGUCCAAACUAGAAUAUUGUUUGGUAAUUGGGUCAUAUCUCGAGUUCUAGAUGUCCAAAUGACCUCCAAUUUUUACACAGAUUCAGUAACAGAUAGGCCUACAACUUUCAUGUUUUCAUCAAGAUCUAAGAAGGCCGUUUUCAAGUCCAAAUUAUAUCAACAACGGAGAAGUCCGAAUCUGUCCUGCAGCCCGAACACUGUUUAGUGUUUGGCCCAUAUCUGGAGUUCUAUAAGUCCAAAUGACCUCCAUUUAUUUUUCCCUAGAAAGCUGAGUCAAUUUCCUACAACUUUCAUGUUUACCAGAGGACCCAGUUCGGAUGGUAGCAUUUUUGUUUUAUUCAGACAAGAAGAUAAGGAUUUUCACCAAGUCAAAAGUUGGUCACCCACUCAACAAUUAGUCAUCAAAUCAAUAAUUCUGAAUUUUGGCCUAUAAAAGGAGGCAUUUUCCAUGCAUUUGGUUGGCUUGGUUGUUCAGAUCAAGUUCAUGCUCUUUAUUUCUCUCUUUAUAUUUUUUUUGUUUUUGUAAUUUUUAAGUUUUGCUUUCAUUAAUAUCUUGUUUAUGCUUUUCAUUUCCUUUCCUUUACUUAGUUAACUUGUAUUUUCUUUAUGUUCUUGUUUUGUUUAUUUAUGUUUCUCUUCUUCAUUAUGUUUAGCUAAGUUUAUUAUGUCAAGGUGAAAAGGUUACACUAAUGGUGUAAGAAUAAGUAUGGUGUAAACUCAACAUGGACCUUAAUGUUUAAUAUUAACAUGUCUUAUCUUUUUAUCUUACUAAUUAUUAAUACCUUACUUGUUAAAUGGUUAAUCUAGAUUUGUGUUGUAUAACACUUGGUACAAUAAAUGCUUGGCACUCUCAUAGCCCAACCGUAUGGUAUUACCUACACCUGGGCUAUGAAAGGAACUUGAUUUGUUGUUAACAUCAGUUAAUAUCAUGAAUUCCUGAUAAUAUUUAAAAGUUUGGUGUUAUGUAAAUAAGAUAAUUAAUAUGAUCAUGUUAGUAAUUUAUAAUGAGCUAUUAAUGACAAAUCAUCUGAUUGGAACCUCCUCCGUGUGUGGUUUUCAAAUUGAGUAAUAAGAGUUUAUACUAUAUUUGUUUGAAAUACCAUUGGUGGAUCCUCUAACCUUGACAUUUGUUUUUAUCAUUGUUUAAUCCUUACAUUAAUCUUUCAUGUCAAAGUUCUCAUUAAUUUCUUUCUCCUCUUAUUAUUAUUAUUAUUAUUAUCACUAUUAUUAUUAUUAUUAUUAUUAUUAUUAUUAUUACUAUUAUUAUUAUUUAUAUUUUGUUUAUAUUAUAUAAUAUAUCUCUUUCAUCUUUUCAUAACAUCAGUAUAUAGGCUGGAAACCUGUGACCCGAUCUUUUAGAUCAUUCUCAGAUAUAACAACGCCACGUACUGAUUAUUAUUAUUAUUAUUAUUAUUAUUAUUAUUAUUAUUAUUAUUAUUACUACUACUAUUAAUAUUAUUGUUGUUGUUGUUGUUGUUGUAUUGUUAUUUAUAAUUUAUACAAUUAACCUCUUUGUAGUUCGACCUCGGUCUUGCCGGGUUAUUUAUUACUUCGACACUCCUGCACUUGGGAGAAGACAUCAAUCUUUUGGUCGUAUCAACCAUGAUAAUAUGACAAGAAUUUCAUGCAUAACAAACAAUGUAAUACUUAUACCCUUAAUAUAGUAAUGAAAGAAAAGGGAAGUUGUUAAUAGCGAACAUAAAAAUAUGUUGUCUUUAUCCUAAUUUAUCGAAAUCAAAAAAAAAAAGAGAGAGAGAGAAAGGAGAUUUUAGAGAAUCAAGAUGACAUGAAAAAGGGUAUGAUAUGGAAUAAGUCAUUGGUGGCUACUAAUGGUUCUACAAAGAUUGAGAUUAUACUAGUAUAAAACUAUUACUAAUCUUCAGGACUUUUUAGCCAUUCUCAUCAUGUCAUUUUGCAGCGACAAAAAUAAAAAUAAAAAUAAAAAUAAAAAACUACUACACAUGCCUUCAUCUCUUUGCUAUCUUCUUUUUAUCUCUGAAAACGAGAUAAAAAUGAAUAAAAUGAUCAAUGAAGAGUAAAAAAAAAAAAAAAAGAGUUUAUUUUACUUGAAAAAUAUUAAAUUAAUAUAUUUUUUUAUGAUUUUAAUUUUAAAAAAAAUCAAUUCUUGUUUUUUCUUUGGACGAUAAUUUUUUUUGUUUUUAAAAAUGUAAGGCAAAUAGUAUAUUUAAACUUUGUUUGUAUUUUUCAUUUCAAAAGUGUUUUAAAAAAAUUUAAAAACUAUUUUUUUUAUUUGCUUCAAAUUGAUAUUUUUUUAGUGUUUUCAUAUCAUUUUGAUGUGCUGAUAUUAAAAAUAAUUUUAAAAAAAUAAAAAAAAAUUAUUUUAAUUUAUUUUUUAAUAAAAAAUACUUUUAAAAAUAAUCACAAUCACACUCCUGAACACCUUAUUAGUGCAUGUUGGAGAACUAGUGGCUUUUGUCUCCUUUUUUUUUUUUCCUUACAAGCUAGGUGUUUGAAAGAUUUUUAAGAGUUAUUUUGAAAGCUCCAUCAACAUAUAUAUAUAUAUAUAUAACCUGCUAGUGAUAUUUAUAUGUAUUAGAUGGAUCUGAGAUUAUAUUUAUUUUAAAGUCCAAUGUGAAUAUAUUUUUGUGAAUAGAGUGAUAUAGCAUAUAGUUGCUACCGAUCAAGGAUUAGAUAUCACAAAUUUAACCACAUUUUUUUAAUCAAUUAAAUACUUUUAGCUUUGAUUUUUUUUUCCCAUCCAACAAUGUAAAAAAUAUUAUUAUACAAUUACACAUCAAGAAAUCUUGGUUAAGUUUUUCUUGUGUCGUGAAUUAUUAUUUUUUUAUAAUUUACUAUAAUGCCAUCGAACUGUUAUAAAACCAGUAACAACACCAGGAGCAAGUCAGCGGUGGCUUGGGACGACCAUUUCCAUGGCCAUUAAGAGCCCGUUUGGCUACGCGUUAGAGUUGUGUUUCUUCAAAAACGCACUGAAUAAACAUUUGGUUAAGAAAAAAAAACUACUUAAUGUGCAUCGGUCUCACAAUAAAUUGCGUGCAGAACGCAAGGAGAUGAAAAGCAGCAAGCUGCUGCUUUCUUGCGCGGCAACAAAAGGCAACCAUGCUACACUGCUCACUGAACAGUGUAGCAUGCCUCCAUUAUUAAGUGAACAGUGGACACUUGCCUCCAUUGUUCACUGAAUAGUGGAGGCAUGCUACACUGUUCAGGGACCAGUGUAGCAUGGUUGCCUUUCGUGGAGCAGCAAAAUGCAUUAAACCGGGUCCGACCCAGUAAAAAAAAAAUAUUUUUAUUUUUUAAUUGUGUUUUAUUUGCUUGAUGACAUAGUAUUUGUAGAAUUUGAUCACAAUUCUAAUUUGUUCCUGAUUAUAUUUUACAAGUUAUGUUGUUGCGUGUUAAAGAAACCAAGAAAAUUGUCAGAUGUAUUUCAGACGUGAUGGAAUUGUAGAUCGUUCAAUGGAAUAAUAAAAAAAAUAUUUUAUAUAAAGUAUGAUUUAUUUUAUGAUGUAAUAGCAAUAGUUAAAUCUACAAUAUUUAAAUUAAAAAUCAUCAAUAUUAAUAUAUAUAUAUAUAUAUAUUUAAAUUAUUUUAUAACCUUAAUUUUAAAAGCAUUCUUAACCAAACACAUUAAAUUAUUUUUUCUUCAACCUCAAUUUCAACCACAGCUUUAACCAAACAUCUAUUUUUUCAAACCACCUCAAUUAAAAGUACUUUUUAUAAAAUAAUUUUUUUCAAACCACAAUCACAACAGCUACAAUAAUACCAAACACACUCUAAGUAUCCAUUUCUGACAAACACAAUUAUCUCAUAAAUACCACAGAAAACUGUGCAAGUCACCCAUUUUAUCCACCAUUUAGCCCGAUAAACACUAGUCUGCAUAAGCUUCAAAUAACCAUUCCAUGGUGUCGCGUCUUGGAGGUUCCUACAACAGUUAAAAUAGCUAACAUGGUGUUAGCCAUUGAAAGAUAAACAACGCUAAAAUUCAAAAUAGUUGGAGUUAGAUAAUAUAUUAUCAAUAUAUAAUUUAUAAUUCUAUAUUUUAUAUAAACUAGAGCCAAGUUUGCCUUUUUUUAAAAAAAAAUCUUGGGGUCAACUAAAGAGUGUUUUUAGCUUUAAUUGUAUUUGCUACUAAAAAGUGAUUGGUUAGUAAUCUCAGUAAUAAUCUUGUUGGUUGUUAUUAAAUGAAAUUAGCCAAGUUAAAAUUGGUUAGGCAAGAAAUGAUUAGGUAAUUUUUUUAGAAAGCAAAAGUCUAAUGACAUUUUAAAUUAUUGACUUCUUGGUUAUAAUUUUUCAAUUUUAACAAAUCAUCAUUAAAUUCAUAUGUAUAUAAAGUACUUAAUUUUAAGAUUUAAUGGUUUGUUUUAAGAAUCAUAAUUGUAUAUAAAGUUGAUGAUUUUAAAAUAAAUAAUACUGUAUAGACAAUGCAAUAAAUAUAAGUUAAAUUAUUUUGUAAGAAUGAUAUUAGAAUAAUGUUGGAUUGCUAUUGAUUUUAUCAUUGAUAUUUGUAUAUUUUGAUACAUAGUAGAAGCUAAAUAAUAAUGGCAUUUGAUAGUGUCCGUCCUAUAUAUUCCACAAAAAUAAUGAUUUAUGGUUAUUGAUAUUAUCAUUGAUCACAAGUAUAAAUUUGGUUAACAUAAUAAUAAAAGAUAAUAAGAUAUUAGUAUCUAAUAAUUGCUUUUGAUUAUGAUUGAUUUGGUUAAUUUUGAUAUUAGUCUAAAGAAUGUUGGCAUAUGAGAAAUAAAUCAUUCUUAAAAGAAUGAAGUCUAAUUAUUGCUUUCAUUAAUUUGAAUACUUUAAUUGGUUCUCUCUCCUCAGCAUACUACAAAGUAACGGAAUAAUUAAAACUCCAACUUACCUAUGCAAGUAUACCCUCUAUAUAGAUUCUUGGGAUAUGAGAAAUCUUGGGCCACUCAGAUCCAUUCUCCUUUCUACAAUUUUCUUUAAGAUGUGGACAUCUCGAGAUAGUCAAUUUCUUUAAUUUGGAGAUGCGUUGAAUGGCUGUUGAACUUGGCAUAUACUUGAGAUUCUUGCAAUUAUAAAUCCGAAGAGAUUGAAGAGAAGAAAGGUUGGCCAUCCAUUCUGGCAAUGCUUCCUCAAACUCCUCUCCAUCGAAAUACAUUAUCCACAAUUCCUCGAGGGCAGUGAGGUGUUGAAGUUGGUGUGGUACACUCUUCAGUUUAUCCCAUCCAUAUAUCGAUAGGGAUUUGAGGGACCCACUCAAGUUGAGGUGUUGGAUUGAGUUUAAA
RNAcentral lists this long non-coding RNA (102269 nucleotides) under Populus tremula. RNAcentral's name for it is "long non-coding RNA (PTRE_LNC003282)". The stretch from base 39360 to 39516 matches the Rfam family "MIR2912 microRNA precursor family". Lineage: Eukaryota; Viridiplantae; Streptophyta; Magnoliopsida; Malpighiales; Salicaceae. The record is from RNAcentral.